RNAcentral lists this long non-coding RNA (162307 nucleotides) under Xyrichtys novacula (pearly razorfish). Lineage: Eukaryota; Metazoa; Chordata; Actinopteri; Labriformes; Labridae. The record is from RNAcentral.
UUGGAAGCAUUUGGGGCAUCAUGAAAUAGAUGCAGUUUGCCCUAUCUGACAUAUAGUAAUGGUUGCUAUAUCAACUGACAAUUGGCCUCUGACAUCUGACCUGACGACAUCUAAAGAGUUUCUGCACCCCGCCUGUGCUUCAAACCUCUACUUGUUUCCAUUGGAGAGAAACCAAAGUAAAAAUGUUCUUUUGUUUUUUAAAAUGAGGAUAUAUUUGGAAAUUGACUUAAAAAUAGAUUACAAUCCUUGAUUUUUACACAGCUAAGCAUAUUAUCACCCAGAGCAGCUCGGAAUUUUUUUUGCCAGAGUUCGGAGUUCUCUGACUCCAAUCGGAGUUCUCAAACUCUGAUCAUAGUCCGCCUAAGGUGUUUACAUGCACUUCAGUUAUCCGGUCUUAAUCAGAGUAAGGCAAUAAUUUGGUUCUCUUGAGUUUCAUGUAAACGUACUGACUGAUGUUCACUGACAGGUUUUUGAAACAUCCAUAGAGGAAUCCCAUGAAUAAGGCUUUGGCUCCACAGACACACUCCUGACAAAUAAAUGCUGUCUUUUCCUGUGUUUGAUGUAUUGUAACGGAUGUACCUGCAUGUAUCUCUCCUGUAAAACAAACUGAGCUGCUUUCACAUGUCAACAUCAAAGCCAGCCCAUGAAAGGUUGCAGCCACUUCAUCAGCUCUAUUUACACUUUGAUGACACACUAAUGGAUCACAGUGUUCAGACAACAUUGAGCCAUUACCUGCUCCACUAAAUCACAUGAAUCUGUUGUCAGGCUGUAGGAAAUGGAGUCUGAGUCUUUGUUUUGCUGAAGUUGAAGCAUAAAAUAGCAGCUCGGUCUGAGCGUCUGAGUCUUAUUUGGGAAACCGAACCCUACUUGUGGUGGCUCAGUGUUUUCCCAUCUGUGGAAUGAGGUGCAACAUCAGCACUAAGCUACCUCGCUGCACACUCACAGAUGAUUUAACAGCUAGCUCUUAAGCGCAGCCACGGAUUAAUAGAGCUUGACACAAAGCCUUUUCACUGGCUUUAUCUGUUUCUCCAAAGCUUGGGGGAACUGAGCACUGGUGCUUUUCCCAGCGUGACACCAGUAUCAUUUGUGCUGUUUCACACUAUUUUCUUUUCUUUUAAAACUUAAAGGUUUAUGCUGCGCUGGCAAGCAUUGCAACAGACUAGUGGCAAUUUCCUUCCUCAGAGAUUCACAUCAAAGAAGAAUUGACUCCUUUGCCCAAAGAUUAGCCUCAAUCAAGUCCCAAUUUAAUGCAAAGCCUCUGUGGGUCAUCUAAAUUUGUGGAGGACCCGCAGACACAAGAGUUUGUGGUGAUGCUGCAUUGGAUUAGGGGAGGUUAUCAGGGCUGACUUCCUAAUCCACUUGUUUACAGCUCCCCAUUUUUGUUCUAGAUACCCAGAACGGUAAAUUGAAGCUUUGAAAUUUGACACAGCUCAAAAAUAUAAACACUAAACUUGAAGGAGGUUUGGGGAUUUGGGGAGCUAUUGAGGUCUGUAUCUUUAAUCUGUGUGCACCUGAUACCCUGCAUUUUCCAUCAAAACCUCAGCAGUGGAAGAAAAAACUGCUCAGACCCGGCAGAAAAGUAACAGCAGAGGAGAGCAGAGUUGCUCGACAAUUUAACCCUGCUAUCCAUUUAGUCAUGAACAGAGACGUAGAUAAAUCAGCAAGGGUUGUUCCCAAUGAACUGAACAUCAAGUUAAAAGCUGCAUAAAGUCUGACUUUCCUCCUACUUCAGAAAGAGGUUAUAUAAAGUAAGCAAGGUGCUCUGUGGCAGCUGGGGAUGCCAACAAUCCGGUCUAACAUGGAUUCAAUCAGCAAUACACACUAUUAAAACUCCUGUUUACACACUUGGAGCACAUAUCACUAAGACUACUGUGAUACUGAACCCACUAUGUGUGAACCUGUUAUCAAAAGAGUACACUCGUUUGGUUGUAUGGCAGGGUUACAUUAGAUCGUAAUCUAAACAUUAUUUGUAAAAGUUCCACAAAUAGGCUUUUCCAGACACAGUUCUAGUGUUUGUGAGGUUUUCAUCAACUCUGUCAGCAUCCAUAGUGUUUAGUCUUUUUUUUUUAACUGUAACUAAAUACACUGAUAUUACAUUUCAAUGUUUGAACUACUGCUUGAAAUGCAUGUAAUUAUGGAGAAAUGCCAUCAAAUUCAUGAUUUCUGUCCUCAUUUCAAGACUAAAAGUCAUUAAAAUUUAGCGAGAGGACUGUUUUGUGAGACAUGUUAAAGCCUACUUUCUACUGAUUGAAAAGAGGUGGAAAUCAUGUCUUGUCUUGUGUGUGCAGAUUUGAUUUCAACCAGUUUCAACCAAAUUUCACUUCAUCCUCACUGGGAGCUAACCCAAGCAGGGCUUUAACAACAAAUGCAGCCUUAGCUGGUUUUAUCAGUGAGGCAACUCGAAACACAUGCAGGGUUUGCUCUUAGAGGCUUUAAUCCAUCACUAAUUCAUCUUAAUCGAUUGUAAUCUGCCAUUUAUUUAUAUUUUUGAUCAGAAAAACUACAGUAUUUCCUUAAAGAGUGUGUUGCCAUGGAAGAGUAAUUGACAUAAAUUGCAUAAAAUGGAAAAAAUACAAGAACCACAACAUAACUGCAUAAGUGGAGCUGUAUAAACGAGGAGAAAUUGCGUUGUAUUUUUUGAAUACAAUACACAAAGUAACAAGCUGAAGCAUUAUACUUACAAACUUUUUCCAGGCAAUGCUUUUUUGUUUCAUCUGUCAUCUUUAAAAUACCCUUGUGUGAAAACUUCCACAGGGAUUUAACAUGAGAGUAUAAUGAACAUAGGGUAACAGCAGUUUCCAUUUCUAAACACUGUUGAGCCCAACCUGAAUGUGACCUUCCAUAGUACAAAGUCAGUCAAAAAAAAAACCCAGAGCCAUAUUGAAGUUUUCACAAGAAAGGCAGUCAGCGAUAGAUCUGCACUGCUCAGAAUGUGAAUUAAGUCACGGCAGAGGAACUUGCGGAAAAAAAUAGCGCUGAGAUUAAGAGGAGAUUCUUUGGAGAUGAAACGGAGGAUUGUGCUUCUGCUAAUUAUCUCCCUUAGGGAAAGAGUCAGCCUUUUUUUUGUUUGAAAUUGUGCAAAUCUUGUGACUUUCUCCAUGUGCUUAUACUUGGAAGUGAGUGAUUUUCCAAUGAUGUCUUGCUGUAAAACAAAAAGCUAAAUUUAGCAGCUCAAUCUGUCACUCCAAUCCAAACCAUACAUCUAAAAACACCUUAGUUGUCACGUUGAAUAUCACAUGCACUUUGCCUUAUAACCCAUGUUGGUAUGAAUCAUACAACUGUAAAUAUUUGCAAAUAUUUCCUUUAAGCCAACCUCUAACGACCAGGCGUCUACCAUCUGGUGACCUUGCAGUAUAAUCUUCAUUGCGUGAUAUAGUUGGACAAUAGAUAGCUGCUGUAUUGGCUGAACUUAGCUGGCCUACUCCAGAGCUGUGGGGGAGAGCCUAACAAAACACUACAGUUUUUUUUUUUUUUUUUUUUUGUGGUUUAACAGAAAGUGACAACAAAUCCUCCUCUUUAAUAAUCCACAGUCUGAGCUGUGUACAGAUCAAAGGGAGAAAAUGGCAGCCGUGUUUUAUGUAGAUGCUUGCCUCACUGUAAAAACAGCAGCUCUAUUUCUCUGUCUUGCCUUAUUUUGCGGUGAUAUUUCUGUGUCUAAAAAAAAAUACUCUCCUUGGACCGUUAAGUCUUACAUUCACCAGAAAAACACUGCCGGUGAACUACUGACAGAUGAGGACUUUUUUUGACCUCAACAGAAAUCAUUGCCAAACCCUCAGAAUGGAAGAGCAGUGUGGAUCAUAAAUGCAGCUCGAGGAGGAAACCUCGGGGAUCAUUGACAAGCUGUCACCAAAAUACAAUGGAAUAAGAAGGAUUUUGAACCAAUUACCAAGAGUGCCUGCUAUUACUGUGAACUGGAUACAUGGAGCAGGAUCUUUGGAAUCUGUACUGAGUCUCUUUUUAGCUGUCUUUCUGGAGCAUCCAUAUGACUGAAAAUACCAGCGCUGUGAUAUUUUAUGUCAAGCACUAAUUUACAGGUGUGUUCAGACUUUUUGAUUGGGCGAAUGACCUAUGCAUGGAUAGCAUAAAGUAUAUUUCUAUAGACACCAAUAAAAAGACAUGUUUAAGUUUGCUAAGUAACAUAACAGAGAUUCCACAUAUACAUCUUUUGAGUUUAAAGCUUUUAUGCAUAUAAAAUGGACCAAAAUUUAUAUCGAUUCAUUUUAAUGAUAUCCUAAAGCAAGUCAGACCAUCAGGAAUAAGAUUGACGAUUUGAUAUUUUAAUUAUCAAUGCCAGAAACUUGUUUGAGCGGGUAGCUGUCAGUCAAAAAUCUGUGGAAACAACCUGGGUUUUACAUAUUUCCAUCUGCAUUUCUACUAGGCUGUGGUAGUAUGGAAAGCAAUAGUCAGGUAGAUAUGUCAUUCAUAGUACUGUCUUCUCACAGUUCCAGUGCUAACCUGUCACAGCAUGUCAUUUGCACAGCAUCUUCACUACUGUGGACAAGAAUAAAUAUUUGAAAGAAACUCCUCCAUACAGAGAGGGCUGGCCAAGUCUUCUUUGGGGUUACUUUACCUAUAGUGCUGGCCCUAUUCACAAACCCACUCAGUGUGUGUACAUGCAGAGUCAAGUCAAGCUUGAUUACAUGAUUUAAUCAGAGUACUGUUCUGGCUCUAGUCUGCAAGAACUAGGUUAGAAUCAAUUUAUGUUGAGUUUAUGUCUUAGCUCUCUAGCAACAUUAUUGCUUUUGCUGUUGCUGUAUAGGGUCCCUGUCACAGCACUAGCCACAAAACAUCUUUUUAGCUUUGCCUAAUUUCUUUAGCAAAGAGACCAAACACAACUCAGCCACUCUCUUCCAGCAGCCGCUUGUUUGUACAAAGACCUCAGAUGAGUCCAUUACCAACUGCAAUGGGGUGUCGCAGCUCAAGGAAGAACAUUUAUGAUAAUUUCUUCAUGGAAAUCUAAUUGGACCAAGAGGCUAAGGCAGAAGAACUCUUGCGUCUGCAGUGCAAAAUGAUUAAUAUGAUGAUUAUUAUUUCAAGGAAAUGAUAAAGUAAUAAAGUUAUAAAAGAAAAAGGAAGGAUUUUAAAUGCAUUGAGUGACUUCUGAAACUUUCACCAAAGAAAGCAACAGUUUUGUACAAGUGAGUAAACUUGCUAGGUCAGUCAAAAGAAAGGUUGACAUGCCAUUUCCAAUAUGGUGACCACUGUUAAUAAACUUAAAAACUCCACCUCAGGAACCUCUGGUUGAUGUCACUGAGACUACAUCUAUGCUGCCUAUGGUGUCAUUAUACUGGGUUUAGUAACGGUGUCAAAGUCAAAAGCCAUCACCACUGCAUUCUUGGCACCACAGCCCAGUGAGUUGAUCUAAAAAUACAUUUAGCCUCUGUCAAGACAAAUAGCCAAUCAAAGCUCUGGUUUUUGGUUUGGCACCAAGGGUGGCCAUUUGUUUUCAAAGGGGCCGCCAUCACCCCUGACACUUCUUUGGACACAGCCCUGCUGCGCUGACUCACUUUUUCAAACCUCAGCCCAUUCUGAUAAUUUUCCCAGGAUUCAUUAUAUCCUCUGGCAACAAACUGAAAAACAGCAACUGCGGUGGUUUAUCUCACACAGCUUUUUUAUGUGGUCAAUAUUCUUUUCGCCUCUUCAUAAUGUGAAGAUUAGAAGGAGGCUGUCGACUGAAGUAGCAGAGCUCUAACAAGAUUGCCAAUUUAGAGUGGCUACUGCUGACCACACGAACACACACACACAGAGACACAGAUCCACACACAGACCCACACACUCAAAACUAGACGAGAGAGAUAUGUGUAUGUGUGCGAGAGUGAGGGAGGGAGGGAGAAAGCGAGCGAACAUCAAUCUUGCCCAACAUGAUUUGCUGACUGGAUGAAAGCACUCCAUCUGUCUUACGCUGUUUAUUGAAGGAAAAUUGGUCGAAUUUAGCACAGUCGCCCCACAAAUAGUGAGUGAGAAAAAAAAAGAUUAGGAGAUGUCCUUGAGCACACCUGUGGUGGAGCGAGAUAUUACAGCAAUCGUAGGAAUCAAAGAAAAAACAAAAAUAUUACACCAGAUACAUUAUUACCACCUACAGUGCAGUCUGAGUGUUUGGACGGAGGUCCAUUUUUCUGUUUUCUUGGCUCUUCUGCUGCAGCACAUUGAGUUUGGACCAAUAACAAUGGGGUUAAAGUGCUGACUUUUAGCUUUGAGGGUGUUUGGGAGUUUCACAAAGUGUUUUUUUUUAUGAGGAGCUCUCGGUUUUUGAACAGCACAGCAGGAAAAUGACAGAAUUUAGAUUCAGACAAUGUUUACCACAGAUAUGCAAGAAGUCGACACAUUCAACCUCACAGCCCUUUGUUCAUUUUGGAUCUCAUGCUGGGGUACAGGUCCCAAAAAACUGAAAAUAUAGACCCAAAUACUAAAAGACUCACCAGUGUAAUUACUCACAACCCCCCCAAAGGAUUGCACUCAAAACACACAACAACCAAACAAUAAUUAGCUUAUUAUUGUCUUCUUGGAGUAAAAGUUAAGUGCAAGUAAGGUCAUGUUUUUCAAAUUAGUCUUGCUGAACUUAUUGCAGUUUGCUGUGUCAGCGCUCUCAGAAGAAUUAACAAGACAAAAGGUUGUGCCCUGCCAAAGCCCUAAUCUGCGCCCACACUUCGCCCUCAGCCGUGUGUGUCAGUCCAUGACUGCUAAACGGCAUGCUCAGGGAGAGGCAGAUGUGGCUGGACGCCCCAGCGGCUAAUUGCAGCAGAGCAUGUACUGUACAGUCAUGGUGAAUGGAAUGUCUCAAACAGGGUUACUAAAAGUCUUUCCCAGCAUAGAGUGACUGCGUACAUCUUUACUUUGUUUCAAUCAACAGCCAAAAAGAUGUUCAGAGGAAUAGUUUUGGUUCAUAUGACUCUUGUGCCUUUACAAGCUUUAAAUGUCAUAUGUUUGUGCGUGUGGCCCACAGACUUUAGUAGAUACAUCAUAGGGAAAAGCAAGGUCAACUUGUUACCCCUGUGAUUCUCAGUCUUAAAAGGGUUUUCUGGUGUAAAAUUAAUUUAGGGUCAACACACCGUAACACUGAGUUAGACGCCCCUUCGAGAGAUGAAUGUUGCUAACCGCUUGCUUCUUUAGUUAUACCACCUAUAGUAAUGACCACAGAAUAGCAAUACACAGCGGUCUGAGGAGCGAUAAACAAACCUCAACCGAAACGCCACUCUGUAGCCACAAAUAAUGCCCAGAACAGCACCUAACUUCAUCAACAGUACAUAUAGGGUACCAGCCACAGUACUAGCCACCAAACAUCUUUUUAGCUUUGCCGAAUUUCUUUAGCAGGGAGACUAAACACAACUUACCCACACUCUUCCAGCAGCUGCCUGUUUGUACAAAGACCUUGGGCGAGUCCAUUGAUUGCAGUGGGGUGACGCAGCUCAAGGAAGAACAUUUAUGAUCAUUACUUUAUCAUUUCCUUGAAGUAAUAAUCACCAUAUUAACCGUUUUGCACUGCCGACGCAGUAGUUCUUCUGCCUUAGUGUUUCGGUCUGAUUGCAUUUCCAUGAAGAAAUGAUCAUAAAUGUUCUUCCUUGAGCUGCGUCACCCCACAGCAGUCUGAUAUAGACUGGCCUGAGGUCUCUGUACAAACAAGCGGCUGCUGGAAGAGAGUAGGUGAGUUGUGUUUAGUCUCUUUGCUAAAGAAACCAGGCAAAGUUAAAAAGAUGUUUGUUGGCUAGUGCUAUGGCUAGGACCAUAUAUGUACUGUUGAUGAAGUUAGGUGCUGUCCUGAGCAUUAUUUGUGGCUAUAGAGUGGCGUUUCAGUUAAGGUUUGUGUGUGGCUCUUCAGACUGCUGUGUAUUGCUAUCCUGUGGUCGUGACUAAAGAAGCAAGCGGUCUGCGACAUUCAUCUCUCGAAGGAGCGUCUAACUCAGUGUUACGGUGUGUUUGACUCUAAAUUAAUUUUACGCCUGAAUAUCCCUUUAAAGCCAAGCUGGACUAACUGGGUGCUAGCAAUGCCUGUUAAAUAGUAACGCACUUGUCCAAACCUAGUGAAUUAUUCCUGUGAUAUACAAUAUUGAGAAAUUAGGUUGUAAAGCUGCCAUUUCUGACAAUUCAACUUUACAAUCAGUCACAAAAUUGUGGUUUAUAAAAAAAGGAUUGAAGGUUUAUUUCAGCCUAAAGUGUUGUUAGCACCAAACACCCUCAUUUUGUGACUGUUCUCUCAGGACUCUCGGCUAAAAUCAUUUCUUAGUCCUGUCUUUUUCAUGAACUUUGGUGGUAAAAAGUCAGCAGAUUUGGGAGUUGAUUUUUAAACUUGCAGUUUGGAGCCAGUCCCAGUAUUUGGGUCAUGUAACUCUGCACAUGCAUGGUUAGACCUUGACUGGCUGAUGCAUGACCUCUGUUGUGUGUGAUUAAUCAGAAGUUUUCCUCUGCUUGCAGUUAUAUUGAAAACGAAUUCUAUUUUUUUUUUUUUACAUAAAGUUUGAUGAAACUGACACAAUGAGGAGCAACUUUCACUGCUGCUUUUCUCUUUUUAUUUACUUUGAUCCAAGUGGAUCAAUUUUUAUCUGCUGUGGCGCCUAUGAAAGUCAAACUGAGUAUACACUGUAUCUGCAGAAGAGUCUUUAAAAUUUUUCUUUUUGCAUUUUCUUGAAAAUGUCAUUGCCUCAAAGAUGUUAUAAUGCAUAAGGGGCAUUUUGAACAAUUAUAAGACUUAUUACUAAAAAGAAGCAAAAUUCAAUGCUGCCAAAUAACAGCGAAAGCCAGUGAUCUGAUCUGAAGUCCAAACAGAUGGAAAUUAUUUGAUACUUUCCUUUCUCCACAAAUCCUACCUGUUUUACCAUUUCUACAUGAAAGUAUCAAACAUUAUUUUAUCCCUGAGUACAUGUAUUGUACAUGUAGGACAAGCCAUGGCUGUAGAUAGCUUUGAACCCAGCCUUAGGAUAACUGCAUGAUGCAUUCAUAGAAACAGCUUGGAAAUGGUCCCUCUUUUGGCUGGUGGUCCUAUUUGCUUUAGUUUGAUACAGUCAGGAAUCAAAUCAUCUGGAAUCAACAGUUUUUUUUAAUACUGCCACAAACAAAUAAACAAACAAAUAAAUAAAUACAUAAAUAAACUUUGAAAUAGCUAUAAUCACUUUAGGUAAUUGAAUAAUUUCCAAAUUGUUUCAUCACUAACCCUUAACCUGAAUCCAGACCGAGGACUUUUAUCGCUUGUUCCAUAUUCUGUUACCAAUCCAGUCCUCAGUGUUUGUCCCCCUGAAAGAUUCCCACCCACUGAUUAUGAUCUAGUAUAAUGAUGAUGUGAUUAUGAAUUCUGACAAAAAUCUAAAGCUUCCCUGGACUCGCCUGCUGUCACUCUAUAAGCCUGUGAUCACCCUGGCGUGCUCAGCCUCGCUAAGUUUAGCAGCAUAAUUACAGGUUAAUAAUGCUGCAUUUUGCAUCGCAUGGCAGCUGUUGAGGAAAAAGGAGGACAGCAUUCUGCGAGGAGCCGGUCCAAGUGAUCACAGACCCUGCAAAUGUUUGGCAGGCUGGGUCUGUCUUUCUGCUGCACUCUGUUGGGAUUUUGCUCUGGCAAAGUCUCUGCUCAGUUUCUUUGUGUGGUUUUCUGCUGCUUAGGCAUGUUUACACUGCAGUCGACAUGGUGAUGACUGGCUGUGUUUACUAUACGAGAAGAGACUUAGAUUAUAAUUCCUGCAGGCGUAAUUUAACGCUCUGCUUCAGACAGUCGACCAGAACAACUAGCCACACUGUCAGUCAGACUAAAGGAAGGGGAGUAGUAUUUUUGCCCGGACUUUGUUGUUUCGCUGGAUGUGUGUCAGCAAUCAUCUCUGGUGUUUGUGACAUUGAGGAAAGGAGUUCAUGUAGCUUGGACUAGAUGUCAACCAGGAGAGUGAAGUGAUGAGGUGUGACACAGUUUGAGCCCUCUCCUGAGAAGUGGAAAACAAGUUUUCAUUGCACUUGUCACUUAUUGCAGUUUCUGUCAUAAGAAUGAAGAGUAAUCUUUCUUGUCUGCAAGGGAGACCUUUCUUUGCUCCAUUAGCAGUUGUGACCAAGGCAACAUAAAAACUAUAAAACCUUAUGUUCAGUCUGUUUAUACACCUAAUUUAUUUGUUUUUAAUAUUAACAUUUAUUAUUGAAUUCACUGUGAGGCAAGCUGACUAAUAUUACAUGAGAUAACACAAGAAACUUUCUAUAGAAGAAAAAGUUUAUGCUAAAACUUUGAAUACUACAAAAUCUCAUUAGGAAAAUACUUAAAUGCAAUAUCACUGAAUUAAUUCCAAAAUCCAUACACUAUUAAGGGAAAACACAAGUGCUGUGAACUCUGUCUUAAAAAAAUUGGCUACUGUUGACAUCCAGAACAUGACUGACCAAUUUUCACUUUUUAAUAUAAUCAAUACAACAACAUACAAGUGCAAUGAUACCUAACUUUGACUGAAGAUAUAAUUUGUGAAAGAUGAAUUUGUAAAGUAAUUUUUAUUCACUGGUGGCUGUGACUUAGUGAAUGGAUUUGGAGUGAAUAAAUAACAUCUUCGGCCAGACUGUUCGUUAAACUUGCCUGCAGAUAUUUCCACUUAAAACUGUUUUGAGGAUCAUUAUUAAUAUCGAUUUUGGUGCCUCUGUGCACAAAGAUGUACAUCUCUUCUUUCUCUCGCUUGAUUUCGUCCUGUACGUGCCAGGGUAGUACUCUCUGAAAAAAAUCUUAUCUUGUUUAUUUUUGGCAGUCCAAUAUAUAACUCUUUGUUAAUAUUUGUUUCAUCUGCUCCGAAACUCCCUCACAAAGGCUUUGAGAAUUUCAGUACAGAAAUUUCACUCAAGUUGUUGAUAGUCCUGUUUGCUUUUGCAGAUCAUAAAGAAGCAUUCCAGCUCAUUUCAACCUGUUUCACCAAAACUGAGUAGCUACCUGUCAGGCUGCAGAUAAAAAGUAGAAUAUUUCUGUGGGCAAAAGCUGCUCACUUGUUAACAGUCUUCAUUUUUUUGCAUGAUCUUAAAAAUUAAUUACCAUAAAAAUCAGUGUGCAGUGGCCAGAGAAGUGGUACAAAUAUUGUAAAACGAAAGAAACCGAGCCAAAGCACCUGGCUAGAGUGCCUUAUUCUUCUCCUUAAGCUCUUUUUUCCAACAGUAAUAGAUCACAAUUAGAAACUACUAUCAGUGUGUGAGGGCUGUACUCCAGCAGUCCACACUAGCUCUGACCUUCAUUCAACUGUCUUUUUACCAAUUUUCAAGUCGACUGUGUGAGGUCAAAAGUAGGAAAUAAGAAAAAAGGCUUUCGGAGACACUUUCUAUGCAGAUUUCACUUUUCACUCAUCCAUACGUUUCACAAAAGUCAAAGGUGCUUUCAUGGAGCCAGAAGCUGCCAGUUCUGCAGCCAUUGUUUUGCAUGAAAGAAAGUGAACAUGCCUAGCUAUAUGCUGCUCUCAUGGUUGUUGCUGAAAGUUGUACGCUUGUAACCUACUCAUUAUCCUGAAUAGCACACCUUGAAAUUGGCAAUGAAAAAACAUAGAUCAGAGACAUGAAGAGAUGCAGGAUCAACGUCAAAGUUUGAUCAACAAUUCUUGCUCAAAAUUAACAAUGUACAUGAUAUUUUAGAAUUAGAUUUAGAAUUUAGAAUUAAUUAAGUUAAUUAAGACACAAUUUGAGCAAUGACUGAAGGAGGAUUUAGUGAGUGUGGGAGAAUUUAAUAAAAGAUUGACUUUGUCUAUUAUAUUAGCAGCUGAGAAACAAUACCGAAAAGUAAAUGAUGCACCAAAUAGAAGAGUAUACCAUGUUGGGAUAGCCGUCGCAAGGAUGCCAUUAAGAGAGGCAAUUGGACUUUUACACACAACUAAAAAACACCACACAUUGGAAUAUCUUAUAGAAUACAGAACAGCUCAAGCAGAUAUGAGAAGAGUAAUGAGGAAAGCCAAACAAACCUAUUGGAUACAACAUUGCAACACCAAAGAAGGAGAAACACAAUAAACAGAUAUCUGGGGAACGGUAAGAAGAAUGACAGGAGUCAAGAAAAAGAUUUCAUUUCCAGUUCAAGCAAGUGGUAACAAAACAGCAAUACUGAAAAAGCAGAACUAUUGACAGAAACUCUGGUUAAAGUUCAUGGUCAAUCCAACUUAUCAGAUAAUGCUAAACAAUACACUUGAGGCACCCAGGCAUAAAUGUAAGGAAAACAACAACUGAUUGUAUGGACCUGCCAUUCAGUCUACACAAAGUUAAGAGGGCUAUAGCAAAAACCAAGACAAUUAACACCAGGAAAAGACAGCAUUUGUAUGCACCCCUGGAAGAUUGUGCACUCAGGUAGUUUUGGCAUUAUUCAACAAAAUAUGGAGCAAAGAGGAAACUCCAUCAACCUGGAAACAAUCAGUCACAUCAAUACCCAAGCCAGGUAAAGACCCAUCAGAUCCAUCAAGCUUCAGACCAAUAGCACUUACCUUGAAAUUAGGGAAAACAAUGGAAAAAAUUCAUUUACAUAUUAGUACAUCUCAUCACUCUUGAAUUGGUAAUUCAUUUUGCUCGUUUACUUUCACCUUAUGUAAACUUUUAAAGCACAUUUUAUCCCGCGUUUGUUUGCGUGAUCGUUGGGUAACAUUUCACAACAAAGGCAAAGUAAGUUCAAGCAAACAUAGUCUUCAGUUUCAGUUACUUUUAUCAGGUUUCAGAAUUUAACACUGUAAUUGUUUGUUUGUCCAUACUCACUUUUGUUUGUUCUUUGUCUAGCUCACCAUGUGGUCCUCAGGUUCAAAAAAAGGGGCUGGCCCAGUACUUCCUGGGUUCAUAUGGAUUUGAUGAUGUCAGAGCUGACAUCAUGGGCUUAGACCAACUGUGGGUUUUUUUCCUUUGGUGAAGUGUUUCUCUUUGGUCAUACUUACCAUUUUUAGGGAAUGUAGUGAUAUGAUUUAUUUGUUUGAGGUUUCCUUUAUUUAAGUCAAGUACAGACAGGUAAUAUAGGAGUUUUAUUUCAUAUCUUUGACUUAAGAGAGACCUUAAACUCCCCUUGUGGUACUUUGGUACACUCUCCUGCAGGUUGGGUGUUGAUUGAGCUCCUUUAAAAGUAGAGGGGAGUUUUCCUCUGUGUAAGGGAGGUGAGGCCUAGCUGUCUUGAACAUGUGAUUCCAUUUGAGCUCCAUUUUGUUUGAUUUUGGUGAAAGUUUUGUUGGUUUUGAUGGAGGACGUGUGGAUUGACCUCACUGUAAAUAAAAAAAAAAACUCACCUCAAGGAAAUCCAAAGUUGUGUUUCCUUCCUCCCACCAUCCAUGACACUUGAGCCAAACUACAUUUCAAAUGGUAAGUAAGAGAUAAAUAUUCUAUUAAAAAAGUAAAAAGCUCUACUUUCAUGAUGUCCUUGGAGUCUGAAAUGGGGAUAGCACAAGGAAAUAAAGAAAUGGAUGUUGCUGUAUUUUUAGAUACUGAAAAAGCAUAUGAUAUUUUUAUGAUGAGGGGGUCUUUUGAUUAAGUUAGGUGAGCUAGGAGUUGAAUAUAAGUUAUAUAACUAGGUCAUGGACUUCCUAUUUGUAAAGAAUAUUGAGGUAAGGGUGGGAAUGGAAGAUGUAAAAGUCGAUCACGGUAAUGUGUGCAGUUCUGUAUUGUUUGAUGUAAUGAUUAAUGAUAUAUUUAAACAAAUUGACAGAGGUAUAAUUAAGUCAUUAUGGGGCCUUUUGGAUAGGGGUUGUAAUUUGACAUUUCUCAAAAAUAACAUGCAGGCUGCAGGGAAUAAGGUGGAGGAGUGGGUAGAUCUGUGGGCUUUCAGGUUAUCCAUUGCUCAAUUACACGUAAUCUAUUUUUCAAACUGGCAUUGAGAAAAGACUCUUAAAUUAUAUGAAAAAGUACUCAAACAAGUCACUGUAGUGAGUCUCCGGGGGUAUUAUUUGAUGAAAUGCUGACCUGGAAACACCAUAUAGAUAAAACCAAAGACAGGUGUAAAAAAGUAAAUAACCUCUUAAGAUGCCUGUCAGGAAGAGACCGGGGAGACUCUAGAGGGUCAGUGCUGAAUAUUUAUCAGGCCUUAUGUGGGCCACACAAGAUUAUGGCAGCAUAGUUUUUGCAUCUGCAGCAACAAGUCGCCUGAAGUGAGUUGAUGGAGAACAAAGUCAAGGCCUAAAAACAUGCUGUGGAGCAUUUAAGUCAUCACUAGUAACCGUGCUCCAGGUAGAAACCAGGGAAAUGCCUCCACAAAUGAGGAGAGAAAAACUACUACUGGCACACUGGGUAAACCUGCAGGGGCACCUGGAUUCUCAUCCAGCAAAGGCUGUCUUAAAUGUCUACUGGGAAAAUGGGCAUGGUAGUGAGGGGAAAAGUGGACCUGACUACCCAGGGCCCGAGUAGGGAGAGGGGCUCAUGCAUGAAAAUCCAGAUUUUUAUUUUAUUUUUUUUGCCCACGCGCCUCAUGCACUGGGAUGGAUAGGGGCCCACUGACAUUGAGAGUGUACAGGGCCCAGAAUUUGGUUCGCCCCUGGCUGAGAGCACAGGAAGACCAUAUUAAAAGCUUUGGAUGGGAGGCAAAUAUAGCAGCAGAGAGGGUGGGUCUACAUAAGUUUAACUUCAGUCCAACAGUGCCACUUCCUAAUAUAGCGCCUUUGUUAUUCAACAUACCAUCCGCUGACAUGAGCAUUCAUAGCCAGUUAAAAAGGAAAGAGUAAAUCGAUAAUAAAUGGGGAAAUAACAGUCAACCACAUCAACCAGCCCUACAAUCAGAAGGUAACAAUAUAGACAGCCGGCUCAAAGGACCCUGAGACUGGACGAUCAGGUAGUCUAUGUCCCAAAGCACAAGGCCUUUAGGAAAAAAACCACAGAUCAUAUAUGAAUAUACUUAGCGGUAAUAAUAAUAUAUUUUAUUUAAAAGCGCCUUUCUGGACACCCAAGGACACUGUACAGGGCAUUAAGAACACAGUUAAAACACAGUUAAAAUAAAUAAAAACAACAUACAGGUAUGAAGAUGGACAGUUACAGGGAAUAUGCAAUUUGGAACAGAUGUGUUUUGAGUUUUGAUUUGAAGUGGGGUAGUGAGUCCAUGUUUCUGAGAUCUGGGGCCAUAAUAGUGGCAUUGGAGAGCAUGGACAAACACAAAAUAGGAAAUGCAAUCAUUGCCUCAGAUAGUUAUGUAGUAUUAAGCAUUGAAACAGGACAGUCUUGCAGACAGGAUUUACUGAUAGAAAGUUACAGCAACGUUGGUUUCGCUUGGGGUUCUACCCACGUUGGGGUGGAGGGGAUUGAAGUGGUGGACAAACUAGCCAAGGAGGCCUGAAAAUCACAUUCAGAAAAAAAUCUGAAUUCUGUUCAGGAAGGCAAUUAUAAACAUAGGAUGAUAAAUAAAUGGUGGAGAGAAAAGAACACAGGCAGACAUCUAUACAGCAUUCAAAAACAGGUGGAUUUAGACAGAAGAGUGGGCAGGACCAGAAGGGAGGAAAUGAUAUUGACACGUCUACGAAUAGGACAUAACUGGUUUAAUUAAUUUCCACAUAAAAUUGGAAAACAGCCGACAGGAAGCUGUGAAAUACACGAGGAGCCAGAAACUGUAAAACACAUGCUCAUAUUAUGCAGGGCCUGUGAAGGGAGAAGGUGAGCACUGAUAUCAGCUCUCUAAGCUCAAAAUAUCAGUUUUACCCUAGAAAAUAUCAUCGGAAAAGCAUCGCAGGAAUUAUACGUACAAACAUUUGAGCAAGUAUUUGAAGGAGACAGGGCUAAUUGGCAGGAUUGUUUUUUUUAUAUUUUAUCUUUCAAUUUUAUGUUUUUUCCCUCACAUCUAAUGUUUCACAUGCCUGCCCGGUAGGUAGCAGUAAUGCUCCUUCAUGCUGGCUGCCAACUGCCAAAUAAAUCACAAGAAAAAGAAGAAAAAACAUCUUUUGUCCAAAGUCAAUGAGAUACCUAAAUCAAACAAAUGGGCUGUAUGUGAUGUAAAGUGGAUCCAAAUAAAAAAGACUGGUAAUUUGACUUUGGAGGUCUACAACCUUUUGUCGUAUGGCUGUGUUCAUCAGACUUAUGGCCUGUAAAGAAAAAAUCACCAUCAUCCUCACUACUUGGUUAAAUGGUGCUGGUUUGCUAAAUAUGACUAAAGCUUUCAAGUUGUUGACCUUUGUGACUCUAAAGCUGCUUCUAACUUUUGUUAUACAGAAAAAUGAAAACAAAGAGCUGAUUGAAAACAGAUCACGCUUCACCAGCUGUGCCAUGCAGUCAAAGCACUGCCUGCAAAACCACAGGUGGAGUUAAAGCAAAACGAGCGUGAAAGAAGCAUAACACCAAAACUGCACUUAAAAAUAAAACUACAUUUUACUGAGUAAAUCAUAGUUUAGUUGCCUUGUUUUAGAAAAUGAUGUUACCUGUCAUGUACUUUUUGUUUCCAAAAAGUAGUUUAAUUGACCUUGUGACCUCAUCACCACUUUUUUAACCUUGUUGACCCACAUCUAAAAAAACGUAUUAGGAUGUAUCACACAGGAUGAUGAGCAAGAACAAAGUAGUUCCAUUUAAAACUACUUUUAAUAACUUGAAUAAUCUACAUUAAUGAAAGUACUGCUUUGCUGUUUUCUGCUCAAGUUUUUCAGUGUUGUGAAUCCUGAUUUUUCAGGGCCCAGAGUUUUGGAACCUGAGGUAUAGGCAUCUUCAAAUGUUACCAGAGGGCAUGGGAGUGUUGUGAUACAAUGCUGCUUGCUGUUAAAAAUACAGAAAACCCAUGAGAACCUAUGGAACAGAUGGCAUAAGAGCUUGUGCUGCACAAUAGAUUAAAGCUGUUUUUGAGAUGAAUUAUUUGAGCUUAUAGCCUUUCUCUGACAAAAAAAAUAUAUAUUUUGAAAAAGGAGGAGGUGACAUGCAGCAAAUCCCGACAGAAACAGGAAUUAGUUGUAAAUGACCAGUACUACAGGACUACAGCAUCCAUACAUGCUAUGGUUUUUUUACACACAGAGCCAAACCAGGGCCCUAUAAACUGCAGUUUUGUCAUUAGUUUUUGUCAUCACCAGGUGUAAUGGUCAGGCUUUAACAUCAUGAAUGCAGCAAGAUGACGCCCAAGUUAGCAUCAGCUACCCUCACAUUUAUUAGUAGCAAUUUAGUGGUGAAAAACCUGCUCCUUUCACAUUCAGGGGGAAUAGGUUGCAAACAUGGAUGUUGAAGGUACAAAUAAAAGCAGAUAGACAUAAUAACUGUAACUUAGAACUGAACAACUUGUCUGAAGGCCCCUUGAACCCUUUGCUCCUUUCAGUCUCGUUGUAUUUUCGUGUGCUUUAUCCAGAUCUCCUGAGAGUGCAGUUCACUUGAAAAUCUUCUUACUGUAACAUCCUGAACUACACAGUAGCCCUCAUACCCCUGCCAAGCUGUUUUUCAUGGUCAGACAUAAAGUGGGCAUGCAUGAGACAAUCUGCUCUGUACUAACAUGGCUACAUCUGUUCCUCUCCUCCUACAGGGAGAACAUGGAGUCCACCAACAUCCAUCUUUACAGGAUGCAGCAGAGCGCAGGGCAGCUAAUGGUUCUGAGGAGGAGCAAAGGUCACAGUGAAGCCAGAUCAGCCACAAGGUAAAGACAUUUUUCCAAGUCUUGCUGUUUGCUCUGUUUCCCUUUUCUUUUCUGACUUAUUUCUUAGUGUUUAUUUAUAUAUAAAAUUCAAAAAAUGGUAUAGCUCUUUCACCUGCUUGUGCAACUUCUGUUCCGAUUUCAAACGGGGGUUGUUGCAUGCCUGCAAGCUCCAUACAGAGAAGAGAACAAAUCAUUUUGUACAAGUGAAGCUGCAAAUCUUUUGCCUCGAGUUGAAAAAUAGGUGGUCAGUAAAUAUACUUGGUUACCUGCUCAGUUGUGGCAUUGGCAGGUGAUGGCGGUGUACUCAAAAACUCAAUAAGACAAGAUAUCAUCAUGCUCUAAUGAUACCUGCAUCAAUGCACUUGUCACAGAUAACAGCCACAAAUGCUGUGAGUGCAGUUUGACGCAACAACUUCUUUGCAUUUGUUUUGAGUUUAAAGUCCCACUCUGAUUGUUUUUUUUUUUCUACUUAAAGUGUUCUCAGUGGUCUUCGCACUGUGAUCAUAAAGUUUUUAGCCAAAAUCAUGUUACCUGUGUCAUUUUCAAGGGCUUGUCUUCUGCAGAGCUCCAGUAGCUCAUUAGCAAUUCACCUCUGAGUCGUGGGCAGAGACAGCGCUGCUCUGCACACUCCUCAAGUUAGCUUGCAGCCGAACAUUGCUGGUGUAGUAAAAGGAGCAGGUAACAUAGGAGCUAUUCAGCUCUCGGACACUUUUGUCAUUAAGGGCAUGAUGAAAGCUAAUGCCAUAAUUAGUUUUCUUACGAGCGUUUCAAUUUGCUAACGCAGGCGCUUGUUUCGCUAUCGUCCUCUCUGUUUCUCUGAGCCUUGCUUGCUUGGCGGGGCCCCGGGGGCGGAGCUUGGAUUGGUUACGUACAAAAUCUCACUGUAUUUGAUCCUGCCGUUUGGGUCUGCCAGAGCUUCACAGUAAUUUGAAUGGAGAAAUGCUCAGAAAAGCAAUUUCGCACUUCUUUUCUUAAAGAUAUGUCUUGUAGAAAAAUGCCAUAUGAACAUGCAGACAACAAGAAAAACAUGAUUUUCAUUGGAGUGGGUCUUUAAGGACCUUAAACCAACCUUUGCUCGACUCACUACAUUUGUUUUUAGUUGUGUACUGUGAUGUUUUGUGGUACAUAUUGCAUCAUGAGGCUGAGUAACAAAAUCCAGACCCUAGCUGGUGAUGUGCUUGCUGUGGCUUUAUCUAGGGGGUGUGGUCACUAGUGCACCAGGUGGAAGAUGCAUAUCAUGAAAGGGAAUGACAUUCAGCUCCUAAUGGGAGGAAAAUACUUCUGCACAAGUCCCAAAUCUCAAGCCUACUUUUGGGCUUUCAUCCUUACGAAGUCUUGAGUCGUGUUUGUGUGUGACUAGAGUCCAAGUCCUACAUCUCUGGUUGCACACACAUGUGCUUAGAAAAUGAAAUUCCAGCUCUGUUCAUAACUUGGGAAAUGUAUCUUAAUAGAAGAACAUGAGCUUCAUGACACUUCGGCUAAUGCUGCUGGUGAAGAUGAUUGACAACCUCCGGCUGGAUGCCCUCUGGCUGUAGAAGCCGUUUUCCUCAUUUUACUGAAACAGAAAUUUUGUCUGUCAAGCACCUCAACCACUCUGACACUUUCACUAAAAAUACUUUCUGCAGUAGAUUUAAAAUAACUUUUUUUUUUCUGGGUUGAAAUUAAAAUUAAAGCUCCAAAAAUUGUCAGAGGUGAUAGUGGAAAUGAGGGUGGAGGUUAAGAGAGAUGCACCUGAAUCCCUGCCUGCCAUCAUGUUCCACCCUAUGUCGGCAUUUAGUUUUUGCCAUUUCAGUAAUAUGGCUGAAUCAAAGUGCGGACACGUUUCUGUAUUGCUGUGUGUGUGUGUGUGUGUGUGUGUGAGUGAGUGAGUGUGUGUGUGUGAGUGUGUGUGUGUGUGUGUGUGUGUGUGUGUGUGUGUGUGUGUGUGAGUGAGUGAGUGUGUGUGUGUGAGUGUGUGCGCUGUAAUCGAGUGUUUGGGUCUAUCUCCUCCUGCAGCUCAGGACUCCCAAGGGGACACAGGGAAGAAGUCAUUUGAUGGAUUUCCAGACCCCUGAGGACUAGCAAGGCCCUUUUCUCUCCCUAUUUUACUUUUAUUCAGGGAUGAAAACACAGAAAUGCAGCCGAUCUAUCCACUCAGUAUCAUUUUUUUUUUUUUUAACCUGACUGCUCCGUCUCUCUACCGCUGAGAAAAAUGAUCGCUUUUUGAGAGAGUUUGCUCUUUUGUGCCGAACUGGUAGGUCUAACAAAUAAACAAAUCAGAUUUUAUUUCCGUUACAUUGGCCACUUAUCUGAACAACGAAACUAACACAAAGAGAUUCAAUGGGCGCGCUGAUUCCUCCCUCUUAAUUACACAGCCCAGUUAAGAGGCAAAGUGAUCCUAAACAAAAGUCUUUAAAGAGAAAAAUGCAAAUGAAUGUGGAGACUAAGAGAGGGGGAAAUGAUGUUAUUAUUGUGGAGAGGAGUGAAAGCAGAGAUUAUUAGCUUUACUUGUCCAGGCCUCAAACUGUGUUCCUCCAACAACGAAGACUAGCUGUGUAGCUCCAUGUCUUUGCAUUCAUUUUCAUGGCUAUCUGUAAGCAUAACAGAGAGGGGGCGAGCUCUCCCCUUGGUCAAACACGGGGGCUUCAUGCUCCUGCAUAAUUCACUGUUGUGUGUAGUAAUCCACAGAGAAGGCAGAGUGGAACCGCAGAGCUUUUAAUGGUUAGAGGAGCUGCGAGCUGAGGGUCAUUGUGUCACUAAUGACUGAGAGAAACAAAGUGGACAGGGACCAGAGUCUGUGCCUCCUAUAUUAGUGAAAACCAUCUGUAUAAUUAACUGUACAUACACAAUUCAUCAUCGAAACUCUGCAGUUGGCGAGAGGACUGUUUGGAACAGUGCACCCACAAAGUCGUCCCGUACUUGAGUGUGACAUGCUAAUCUGAGGUGGCAUGUGCUGGAACAGUUUAAGAUGAUGCAAAAAUUCUGCUCGUAUCUUUCGAGAAAAUUUGCAAUACAUAAAUAUCUUCUUUCUGGGAAAAUAAAAGAAGACUGAUGCUGAAUAAAUGCUCGUGUGUCAUACAUGCUGUAGGCUACAUUGUAAUAUUCAUGCAGCUCCGUGAAAAUGUUUUGCCACUGUUGAAAUAUCAUGUUUGGAGCACAAAAACUGUGAUUUGCCAGUAUUGGCUGCUUCCAAGUGAGCACUAACCAUUCAUUUCUGCCCCCAUUCAGCUUUCCUUAUUGGAACUUUACAACUUACAUACUUAAAACAUAAAUUGGGUACAUGCCACAGCUUAGACUUUAUUACUAUUAGCACAAAUGCUUAUAGUUUAAGACCCUUUGCAGUGACCAACACUCUCCACCUCUGUUGCUGUUCGCUGGUCAGACUUUUGUGAACCCUUUUCCAAUCUGCCAUUGUUAGGGUCCUGAGACUGCUCUUAUCUGUGUACAAUGUUAGCUUAAUUUGAAUGCUGAUUGCAGUUAGCUUUUUUUUGCCACAUCAAGUUGUAGUUUUGGUUUACAGUGAGCAGCCAGCAUCACUUAACAUUGUCCCCAAUGUUUAUUCCUUUACACCACAUUGUUAGAAGUAUCUGGACUCUGAAAAGACUGUACAGACAGCUGAGGUGUGUGGUACCUCCCUUUAAAACUUUAGUAUUUUAAUUGAAUAAAAGGUAAUGAGUCAUGUGGCUGAUAAAGAAAACAAAUAAACAAGAAACCAAUGUUAACCCUUAUUACCUGCCAUCCCCCGUCCCCUGUUUAAGUUCUUUGUGAUUUUUUUCUGGACAAAAACUCUGAUUUACUUAGAUUCACAUUUGAGUAAUGCUUGAUAGGCAUGAUCCUUCAUCUGUUAUGUUUUUACAACACAAAUUCAUCUAAGCACAACAUUAACAACCAAUCUCACUUGUUCCUCUCUGUUCUCCAACCAGUAAUGAAAUGCAUGUGGUUAUUGGUAGUUUGUCCAUUUUGAGCUACUGUAGGAAACAACAUGGUGCAACAUGUCAGCCUCUGAAGAGAGGACCCUCGGCUUGUAUAAUAUAAUAUUUUUUUUCUAAGUCAUCAGAAACGAGACAAGAAACAACAACAAAAAAAAAAAGUAGACUUUGAGAUUGAAGUCGUUAAUUUGCGAAAAUAAAGUCAUUACUAACAAGAAUAAAGUCGUAAUAAAGUAAUUACUCACUGCGUUACGACUUUAUUCUUGCAAGUAAUUACUCCAUUACGACUUUAUUCUUGUCAUUAAUUACUCUAUUACAACUUUAUUCUCUUAGGUAAUUACCUUAUUACGACUUUAUUCUUUGAAGUAAUUACUCCAUUACAACUUUAUUCUUGUAAGUAAUUACUUUAUCAUGACUUUAUUUUUGUUAGUAAGUACUUUAUUACGACUUUAUUCUUUUAAGUAAUUACUUUACUAUGACUUUAUUCUUUUAAGUAAUUACUCCAUUACGACUUUAUUCUUGUAAGUAAUUACUUUCAAUUGUUUUUAGUCUUGUUUGUAACUAUUUUAUUAUGACUUUAUUCUUGUUAGUAAUUACUUUAUUCUCUGAAGUUAACGACUUUAAUCUUGAAGUUUUAAUUUUUUUUUCUUUAUGUGGCCCUAAUACUCUGUCAUAUAUUUCUGAUUGUAAACACAAACUGAUUAUAACACAGCCUGGUGAUAAUUACAGAUAAAAGAGAGGGCUUACACUGUACUUUGAUCAAAUAACAUUGUACAUCUUGAUCAUCAGAGGAGCAGCAGAGUGCAAGGAUGAGGUGUCUCUCUGUGUGCCUCUACCUUAUCAGCUCUCUGUGAGCUGAGGUGUCGGGUGAGAGUUUGCACUGCUGAGUCAAAGGAAUUCUGGGUUCAUCAUAAUUUUCUUCAGAGAAAGCGUCUGUUCUUUCACCCUCAAACCACCUCAAGAGUGGGAAAAACUGCAGUGACGAACAUGUGAUAUCACAAACUGGGAUAGUGACAAAUAUAACACAUAUGCCUCUUUGUGAGAUUUCUCUGUCUUAAAAUACAGAGAACGUCUGUUUUUGCAUUUGGCUGACAGCAACCGUGUUAACACCGACUUAUUUCUGAGACGCAGGUUGUCUAAAAUAACUGAAAUGUAUUUCUGUGGCCAUUAAAUAAAAAUAAAAAUAAAAAACAUACAGCUUUUUACUUGUCAAAUACUGAUAUUAUGUGAAAACUGGGUGCAAACAUCAUCAGUCAAGGGUAUCAAAACAAAUGCAAGCCAAUAGCAGAAUGACAGUUGGUCUGCUGGAUAUGCCAUGCUAUAAUUAUGGGCUGAAUCCAUGACAGAUAUGUCUUAUUGGCUUGCAAUUUUGAAAAUCAUGGCAAUUUUUUGAAGCUUUUUGUUGGAAAGAUUAGAGUGUUCUUCUAUAAUGAUGAGACACCAAAGCAGUGUAGUGACAUAUUUUCAGAUACGUGUUUAUAUAUUUACAUUUGCUGCCUCUUCACCUUGCAGUGGGAAGAUUGAACAGACUGUUUUCUGGCAUGUAGGUAAAACCUGUGGAAACACUUGUGGUUAAUGCUUCUCAGAAUAAAAACAAAGCUAGAGCACUUACAGCAUCCAAGCUCCUGUCUUACUUUCAGAUAACAAACAAGGCCAGAGCAGCAAAACUCCCAAGUAGCUAUUUACGUGGAGGUAAAGGCCUGCCUUCGGAAGUUUGACUGCAAGUUAGGUCAAGUCAGCAUUAUUAAUAUGGAGACCACCAUCAAUGAGCUUCAAAACUCUGCAAUGUGCUUCUGCAUCAUCUUCUCAAGCCUGGAACUCGCCGCUUGUAAUCAAUAAAUCAUGAAAGCGCCUCAUAGUGCCUUUAACCCAAGUCUGUGCCCCCAUCUGUAAAUGUUGCAUGUAAAUUUAGCAAAGAUUUCGAUGUUUUUUCUCUUUAUAAAUAUGUAGAGCUCACUGUACGACUGUAAGAAUCAAAUCUUUUGAGUGAACGUAAACCGAAUCAUUUCCUCAAGUGAUUUGUUCCCUCCUCUUAUCACGCAGUGAACUACACUCUCGAGAAUCAUUUUGUCUGAGGGUUACACUUUAAUGGCGACUGUUGUUCCCCGUUGUUUUAACAGAUUCAGUAUCCAGUUAAUCCAACUUAAAACAUUAGGCUGGUAGUAAGAAGAAGAGAGUGAGACCCACCAGCUGUAGCAAGCUCUUGACAGGAGCGAAGGAGGGAGAUGUGUUGUGUUCAAGUGUACCUCAGAGAAAACUAACUUUUUUUUUUAACUCCACUAAAUUGCCACCACAACAGCUUGCUUACAGCAGGACACAACAUGUAACAAAUAGUGUAUAAAACCCACAGUUUGAGAAAUGCGUGACUGCCUGAGCCUAUCAUUGUGGCGAUUUGCGAGGGAACAGUGCAUGUUCAGUGUGAAUUCUUCACUGAGUGUACUGUCGGGUACACGUUCAGUAAACGAAUCACCCACUGAGCCCAAUUUACCGUGUAGACCAGAUAAAUAGCACACUAUUGGACAGUACACCUAAAACAUCAUGGUUUUGAAACAAGUUCAUUGUUAGAAACCUGUUUGUCAAAGCAACACAGCCUCCUGGUCCCAGAGGCUAUGAUCUGAAUUAAAUCCUGAACCGUUCAGCUGUUUCGGUGAACGAAUCUUUUGAACAAAUCUUUUAGUAAACUGAUUCUAGUGAUUCAGUACAUCUGAAAGAACUGUCAUGCCCACCACUAGCUUGGUACAUUAAAAAGAACCUGGGUACAGAAAAAUAACUUGUUUUGAGGAAGAAAGAACCAGCCAAAAUGUCCCUUCUUUAAAAUAUCUCUUCACUCUGAAGGUCUAAAGCUGUAGUCCUCACAAAGAAAGAAAAACAAGCUCGCACACGUGCGCACACACACACACACACACACACACACACACACACACACACACACACACACACACACACACACACACACACACACACACGCGCACACACAAAGGGGUGUAGGAAUUGAAGUAUCUAGGCCUUGCUGUCAGAGAGGGAAUCAUUACUUUCUUCUGGUUUGAACUUUAUGUAGACACUGUGACUCACACUCCCUCACCUUCUCUCCAAUUUUGUCCCUCUCUCUCACACUCACACACACAUUUCCCUUCACACACUGCGCUCAUGCCCAUAUGUGUGUGUGCUUAGAGGGACAGAGUAGACAUAAGUGUUUCAGAACGAUACAAAUAGGAGAUUCCUUGUGUCUGCUUGUGUGGGUGACAAGAGUUCAGCCCAACCAACUGCUCUCUCCUCCUUCUCUGAAAGUGUGUCCCUCUUUCUCUCCGUCUCUCUCUCUCUCUGCUUGGCCAUGUGUUAGCCUGUCAUUUCCUCUGGCUGGUUCCUGCAGGAGUCUGGCUGUCUGCUCCUUAAAUAGGCUUGACCUCAGCGCAGACUGAGGCUGCUUCAGUCUUUAACUCUGCACAAGCUUCUACAUUUACAUUACAGUGUGGUGUAGUGGAGGCGGCUCAUUUUCAUACAGGAGCCAAACGCACUGCAGGCAUGCGUGGCAUGGAUUGUUAUGCUUCCAGACUGCUACAUAUUUUAUUUGAUAUCAUUUUUUCCCCUGAAGUGCUUAUGUUGCAUUCAAUCAUGACUUCAGAGACAAUAGAGGUUGACGUUCAACAACGGAUCCACUUCAUACCAUAUCUCUCACUCACUGGGGAACAUUAAAUAAUGCAUAAUGGAUUCAGAGGAGUGACAAAAACACACAAAUAAUAAUGAAAAUGGUAAUGGCAUGAAAACAAAACAAACCUCUGUCACUAAAGUCCUUGACUGCAAGCGCAGAUUUUUUAUUACACCCAGAAAUGCCCCAUGGGAUGAAACGCAGCUUGAGACCAGAAUGUACAGACGUGUACCUGCACGUCUAUUAGGUAUUAUGAAAACUAGUACUUUCUUUGAACAACACUGUGCAGUGUCUGUGUGAUUCAUGACAUUAAAAAUCUAAAUCAUUCACUGUGAAUAUGCUGCCAGGAGCUGAAUGAUAUUAAUUCAACCUUUAUUGGAAGGAAGAGCCAACAGGCCUUCAAGUCUCAGUGAGGCUUUAGUUAUGCACAAGAUGCUUUGAGCUGUAUGCUAAUAUUGGUAUCCUGACAUGUUGGAACUACAAUGCAUACCUGUUGGCAUCACGCAGGUACAGUGCUUACUGCAAAAUAAAAAAUAAAAAAAACAACAAAGUCUGAGGAAAUGAGUUAGUGCUGUUGAUGCAAAAAAAAGUUUGUGAUAUUGUGAGAACAAGUGUGGAGGAAGAGCCGAGGCCACUGAGAGAGAGGCCUUCAGGCCCUCCUUGAAUCUGGGCUGAGGAUGCUUGGCUUAUUAGAGGAAGCAAAGAGGAAGAGAAAUAAGUAAUCUUUUCUUCAGCUUGUUUUCUUUCUUUGACCUUUUUUUUAAUUCUUUUUUAAAAUAAAAAAUAAAGUUGAAAAAUGGAUUUCUGAUUUAAAGCAGUGUAGUGAGUUUCCGUGCAAUUCCUGGAGGACAACUUCAGAUGGAAGUAAGAAGAUGACAAUGACAAAAGUGAUAAAAAAGACGUGAAAAAAAUAGAAGAACAAAGAAGAAAACCACAGCGGAAGAAAGGAUAAUAGUAGAAAAUGACAAAGACAAUAAAAUAUAAAAAGAUGAAGACUUUGAAAAUGUUAAAUGACAACGAACGCAAUUAAGAAAAAGAAGGUGAAGAAUAAGAGGAAAACAAAGGGGGAGGAUGAAAGGAAACGAGGAAGACAAAGAUGGCAAAGACAAUGGAGAAGAUGAUGAAGAAAUUUAUGAAGACAAAGAAGAAAAAGAUAAAAAACAGGAAGGUGAGGUUUCAAGAAUUACAAGAAGAAAGCAGGAGAAGAUGAUGAAAAUGACAACAAAGAAGGUAACAAUAUAGAAGACAGAGAUGAAGACAAAGACGAUGAUGAAGACAUUUACCAAAUCGAUGAAAAAAGAGGUUAAAGAUAAGAUGAUAAAGAAUAGAACAAAGAAGAAGAAGAAAAAGAGAAGAUGAAGAAGACAAUGCCAAAAGGAAACUAAAACAAAGAAGAGAAGAAUGAAAGGAGAGGAGGUAAAGAAUGAGGAUGAAAACUGUCGUUUACAAUGACGACAAAGGAGACGAAACACAGACGACAAGGGAGAUGGCCAUGAACAAAAAGAAGACAAAGAAUAUAAAAUGAAAAAGAGGGAAAAAAAACAAAGACAGAGAAGUGAUACAGUAAAACUGUUUUAAGGAUCUUCCACUGAGCUUCAAAAAGGUAACUUUUGAUUUCAGGAGCAUCAAACAUGAGUUUCAUUCUUGCCUUUUUUUUAUGUGGCAACAUGAUGUGACUUCCCCAAAAUCUGUCCUGAUGAUCAAUCCCUCCCUGUUGGAUUCAUUGGCAUUCAGAAAAAGUACGAGAGAAAAUUUCAGCACUCAUGGCACAAACUGCCUGACCCAUUUUCCUUCUCCAAAAUAAAAACGAUUUUACAUCAAAGCCCAAGUUUCCAUCAGCUUAGUUCAUCUGGUAAUUUCCUGUAAAAUAGUUAAUGAGCGUUAAAGCCUUAUUUGCCUGUCAGGGUUACCUUAGCCCUGAUUUACAGCAUGUCAAGCGGUGAAAAUAUUGAUUUCGGUAGGUCCAGAAGUUAUAUAAUAACUGACUUUAAAAGUUCUUGAAAGCGCCUUAAACACUUGAUAAGUGUCUGAUUUUCUUUUCCAUCUACAUGGCUCAAAUGGACUAAAACUGUCCGAAGUGUUCUGAACAUGCUCCAGUGUUUACACGCUGGGCUCUGAGCUGGUGACUGAACAGCAAGGAUGCGUUGCUAGGAAGCUGGUAGUAAGCAAAACCUCGACGUCAUCAUCAUCAUCAUCAUCAUCAAUGAAGAUUGGUGUUUUGUGAUGAAUAUUCCAGAUAAUUUUAAAGAUACACAAUUUUUUUCAAUAAGGACGAAUCUAACUGAGUUUUAGUGUACACAGCUUUAAGACAUAUGUUUGUGUCGAUGUACAGUAAAAGAUGAAGAAGCAGCUUGAAAAUAUCAUCUCCCAAAUCCAUCAUCCAUCCAGUAGUGUUGGGCGGUAUGAACAAAAUCUUUCAUCACGGUUUGAGUAAUUUCAUAUCAUGGUAACGGUAUAUAUCAUGAUAUGUUUUUUCUCUCCCUGUAAAUUCAAUUAAUGGCUUAAAAAUAACAACACUGAUGCAUUUGUUCAUUUUCCUUUUAUUUUUUAACUCGGGUUUGUAUACAAAUGCAAACAAAAUGCAAACACGUGCCCUUUUUCGGAAUGAGUUUCUCCUCCUCUUUCUCAUGUUAGGUGGGUGGGGCAGUCUCCAUUUGCUAGGUACUGCCACUAAUCUCCAAGUCAGCCAUGACCACCACCAGUGAAGCUGUUUCUUCUUCGUCUAAACUAUGCCAAGCAGUCUGCUGGACACCGCUGGUGAUUAUAGGGUGCGCACCCAAACCUGACCAAUCAAAGAAAGAUGCAGCAGACAUCUGCUCUCUCUCUCCGGUAUAAAGGGUACAGCAAAAUUUCUAUCGGUAGACACAUUUAUACCGUCACACGGUAUAUACCGUCAUACCGCCCAACACUACCAUCCAGCGUCUAUUACGAUCCAGACUACAGCCUCUGCACAUGGGCUCCCUGUUCCACCAGCUGAGCUAAACCAACACUGUCGUUAAUGCUAAAUUGUUGGGGCACAAUUAACAUGGUCACAUGAAACUGCAAAGGAAAUGGACACAAAAUGGUCCCUUCCCUUUCCAAUGGAUGGGAAAUUGCAGGAUAAAGUAUGUAAUAAAAGGUUUUACCUUUAAAAGCCUGAAUCAUCGUAUCACUGAAACAGCAUUAUAGUCCUUUUACCCUAAGUUCACCCUGAAAGCUUAUUUUACCAUUUGUUACAUCACUCAAGCUCAAACAAGAGCUGGACGGAGCAUUUAUCCAAAGUCUCCUCAUUGUCUCAAACCUGUUGUGAUGGUCCAAGCAGAAUGAAGCCAUGAGAAUCUUUAAAUUUAGCUUAAUUCCUGUCCUGCCGUGGUUUUCAUGCAGAAUUUGUGUAAAACUUUAGCAGACAACAACACAGAGCUCUUAAGGCUCCACCUGUUCAGAAAUGCAUCAGCAUUACAGUUAUUUACUCUUCAAACCAGGGAGUUAGACUUCAGCUCAUUUACAUGUGUGUAAGAGAGGAAGUAAGAGUGGUUAAAAAAGUGUUUACUUCAUGAAUUGUAAAUUCUGUUGAAAUGACUGGACAUAAGCUUUGCUAAGACAUAUCCUGUUAGGCAUCCUCCAGUGAGGUGAAUCAAAAAGUUAGCUCAUGAGCUACAUCUGCUCCCUAAGCCUAUCACAGCUUCUGGGGAUUGUCAUAGAAUUAUAUGCAAGACACAAUGUUUACUUCAGCUGUGUCACAUUGAUAAGGCAGAGGAUGGAAGCACUGGAGAGAAACUAAAAGCUCAGGAGAAAGUAAUAGUUUGUGGAGCAGCAGAAAAAACACAUGGCUGCAGUCUGGGACCACCAUUACAAAUGAUUCAGAGCAAAGCUGUGGACCCAAACCCAGCGGCAGAGAGGGAGCUGAAUGAUCACACUGUAUAAUAAUGAGUCAAAAUAAAAUAUGUACGUGUCAAAUAGUAAGGCCUUAAUAUAAAACCAAACAAAGUUUCUGGGGGUAAUUGAAGAAGUUCGGACACAGUGUGUCCUGAAUAUCUGAGCAGAAAUAGUCUCGGAAAGAAACUAAAUGACUCUGAUAUUUAAAGGGAGAAAUGAGAGAGGUAUACUCAGGUCAUUUAUACUCGAGGUCUUGUCAGAGACAAGACACCUUUAGUCACAAGCUCUACCUCAAAGUCAAGAACAAGAAGUAAAAGUGAGAAUGAAAAGGAAAUGAAAAUGGAAAGGAAUGGUAGCGUCCAAGGGUUCAUAAGAUUUGUUAGAAUAUUUUAGGAUAAAAAAAACACCCUGACAAAAUGUGUAGGAAGAUCAUACGACUGAAAUUUGUCAAAGUAAAAAUUAAUCUUUUAACUACACUUUUGAUCAGUUUUAUCUACAACAAUAUGGUAAAAUUAGUGAGUCCAUCCAAAUUUUAGUUUGUAAAAACUAAUGAGUGACCAGUGAAUUACAAUGGGAUACAAAGUGGCUCGGAACAAUACGGUACGAUACAACACCACAUGACACAGUUAGGAUAAGAUACAGUAUAACAUGAUACAAUACUUUAUGAUUAACAUGAAAUAAUGCAGUCGGAUACCACAUGAUACUGCAUGGUAUGGUAUUAUAUCAUACAACAUAAUACAAUAGGACUCAUUACAACACAAUAUGACAUACAGUACAUUAAUAUCUGCAUAUGCACAUACACAUACAAUCCUCUGCAUUGUCCCAAUAGGAACAAUUUGUUGGACUCUACUCAACGUGCUCAAUAUGGGACAUAUGUGUCCGUGUAUAAAACAUUUGUCUGUAGAUAUGUAUUGAUAUAAAUUAGAUAUAUGUCUUUUCUAUUCUAUUAUUUCUUUAAUUUUUCUGUUGUAUACUACAUCUCACUAUACUAAUACUACAUCCUUUAUAACUGCUGAUACUGUGUUAUGCAGUGGUGUCUAAUUAUUUUUUUUAUCUUGAAUCUUCCUGCUGUUUAGCAGUGAGUCAUACUACUUACGAGUCUUUGCUUUCGAAAAUGCAAACAGGAUGUUGUGGUGUGCUGUAACUCACUUCAUUUGACAUCUAUUCCCAGCAGUGCCAUUAAAAAUAAGUAUAUAGAAAUAUUCUAUGACAUCACUGGCGGUCUUUUCGUUUUUGUAGGUCACAUAGAAACAGCAGUAUUCAUUUCAUCCUGUUGUAUAAACAGCUUAAAAACCGUCAUGGCAGCUUUGGUAUUGACAAGAUAUUUUCAAUUUUCUAUUUCAACCACAUUUUCCUAAAUAUAAGUUGGUAUUCUAUAUAAAUUGCAAUGAUUGAAAAAAAAUUUCAAAAUUUGAUGCCACUUUUUAGGGUAUUAUAGAAUGUGUUAUGGAGACGGAUGAAGUGACAGAGGGUAGAUGACACAAAUGCAACAAAUGAUCUCCAGAUAGACGUUAAUCUGAGACCUCGCCUUUGUUUCCUGAUCCCUAUACUCUUGGCUUUAAGGCGCCACAGGAUUAAGUUUUUAUUUAUUUAUUAUUAUUUUUUUAAUCAAAACAAUUACAUUCAUCUCUGUUUUAUCUCAUAAGUUUCGAUCUGGGUGUCCUGAAUGAGUCUGGGAAAAACAUUCACUAACAUCAUGUUUAGUUGUUUCACCAUGAGUGUGCAAUAGGCACCACAUGAAUGACUCACUGACUUAAUGGUUAUCUUAAGGCCAUUUAAAGCACUUAGAUUAGGUUCUAGACAGAUUAGUUUCUUGGCCUAACAUUAAAAGAGUCAGGGGUUUGUUGUUUUUACUUAAUGUUAUGACUCCACACAGGAUACAGAAUGAGUCUCUGGAGUCAGAUUCAGCACUGACAGAAGACACUUUCCUUCUUAAAGUGGAAAUAGGAUGGCAGUAACGAUUAUUGUCAAAUAAUAUAGAUAAAUAAAAACUAGUUAAGUCUAUAUUUAAGAGGCAGCGUAGGAUGAUAGGUCACGUAUGCCACUCGCAGUUACCUUUUUAUGGAGAGAUUUUGUAGGUGAUAGUCUCGAGAGAAAAUAACCACGAUUACACACUCAGUUUUCUCUUUUGCUGUUCUGCUGACAGAAAAUGUCUCACAAGCAAUUUCACAUUCAGUCUCGAUGGUUAAUUACAUUUCCAAGGUGUUGCUUGGUACCUGGGGAGACGUUUGUUCAGUGAAACCUGGAGAAGGAGGUGACUUUCCCUCCCUCGGGCAUGGACGGCGCUCUGAAAUGGAACAUGGGUCCUGAAAGGUGGCAUUAGCGGCCCACUGAAAUGAAAUGGUGUCAGCCUUUGUCUUACCACAUGAAUGAAUUUAAUUUGUGUGAUCUCCAUGUUCUCAAACCAGCGGAGCAAUAAAAGGUACUUCUGAUGAGACUCAAGGGCAUCCAAGAGAGCUCUCAUGAACUGUGAGCGGGUAUAUUCAGAAUAAAAAGCAGGAUUGAAGGUUUUCUCAUCAAAAAUAAAUUGCAAAUAUCUAAAUACAACAGUGAUAAAUCAAUAAGGUCAACAUGUGUGAUCACGUAGGGUUUCUUUUAACCACAAAGACCAGCAAAAAGCCUAGAUCUCUAUACGUUUCAAGAGUGAUCCGGUAAAGAGGUAGUUUGGGUCUAUGGACCCCUCUGCUGUGAAGUCAGCACAGACAGAAUAGCCAUACUUCAUUUAAAUUAUGCAUCAGGGCCAUGGGGCAGGUCACAUAAGAAGUCCAUGAUAAAAACACAUUUGAAUGUCACACCCUUGCCCAAGGAGGCCACGGUAUGCUGAUCCCUGCCACAUUAACUGUCUUGACCAUAGACUGUAUGUAGAGUGGACAGCGUCUGCCUCCUCGCUGGGUACAGCCACCCUGAGAACAGCACCCUCUGGUGACGGGCUGCAGUAUAGGUCAUAAAUCCCGCCUCACUGGCAAAGCUUAUGGUGCUGUGGACAAACUUUAGAAAUUUAUUACAAAGACUAUAAAUUUCUCUCCCCCAUGAUUUCGAUGUUGACAUGUAGUUAUUGUAAGACUGGUUUGUGCUCAAGUCCUCUUUUUUCUGUGAAGCUCCGUUUUUGAAAGUUAUUAGGGGGUUCAUGUUUUCUAUGAUUGACACUUGAUACAGCCUAUGGGCGUACGAAGAUUGCGUAGCUCACCCAAGGGAUAUGCUGUUUGAGCCGAGAGUCAUCACCUCGACUUUAGGCUACUCUCCCGCCAAAUGUGUACAAUACUACCGCGCAAAUGGUGGAGUGCGUACAACACUACUGCACAAUGCUGGUUUCGGGAAGUGGAGUAAAAAUGUGGAAUUACCGAGAGCUUUUCGGCUUCGAAUACGUAUACUGGCGGAGGGCAGAACCAAGUUGUCCAUAGUAUAUACAGUCUUUGGUCUUGAAGUUAUAGUGCGCUAUCCCUUCAGCUUGCGGUCUAGCUAAAGACAAAAGUGAGAACCUGGUUGGUUCUGUUUUCCCUCAGUGGAGUGAAAGACUAGUAGAGCUCGGUAGAUACAAAUUUCAUUGUGUUGAAUCUUGUCAGUGGGUUUGAAUUUGAAAAUUUUUCAGAACUGGGGCUGUGAUAUUAUAACAUCGACCUUACUUCCAUACGGGGUUAUUAUCUGGUAGCUUUGGAAAUAGCCCUGUAGUUUCCCACAAUAACAAGUAGUUAAUGUUAGUGCUGCUGAGUAUGACUCUUUUCACAGUUACCUACUUUUCAGAUCCAUUAGCCAAUUUCUUUCAACUCAAUCAAAAAGGAACACUAGGAAAAUUACAGGGGACCCAUAAAUGCUUUUGAGAGCCCAGCUUAGGCAGAAACUCUGGCUGUGUCUUUUUACUGUUACCAGGCAACUGCAACAUCAGCUGCUGUCAGUCAUCUGUGUAACAGAACUGAUGACAUGAGCUCAUGACCCUUAUGGCUUCAUGUGCCAACAACCAUUUCAGUCACUAGACUUAGAGUCUGGAGGUAACGCCGGGUUUGAUAGUGGACCCUAACCAGAUAGAGACUGGCCUUUCUCUGGACAUCUUUUAGAUGAGCAGCAGAGACAGAGAAAAGUGGAUGUAGAUGUUUCUUAUUACUCCCUUGCAAAGAUAUAAGACAAGACUAAAGUUACCAUUCCCAAAGCACGCUAUGCUGCUAUAGAUUAUACUAGAUCAGAAUGUGUUUGAAGAUACGCACACCACUUUCAUGAUAGCUUGUAUUUCUGGUGUUCAACAACGACAACAUUUCAAGAUAAAGUUUCUCAGUUCAGAAAAAACUAAUCAUGGUACAGGAUGAUAAAAAAGCAAGGAUGCUUACAAAGACCGUCACAGUUUGAACAGAAAGUACAAAUAAAAGAGUUCUGUUUUUCAAGAAAAACACAAAAAGAUAUUUUUAAAGGAUAAUUAAAAAGCAAUUAAGAGGAUGUGGAAAAGAUGAGAUAAUGCCGACUUAGAUACGUUUAAUCAAAUUGUAACAGAAUUGCAAUAAGUUUCAAUUAUUUUCAAGUUGCCUCGACUACAACAAAGGAAACAAAACAUGCAGUAAUGAAAGAAACUAAUCAGCAGCUUGGAAGAAAAAUAGAGUAACAUCCUCCAUUAGAAGCUGCACUUGGCUGAGAAAACUUCAAUUGUGAUGAGGUCGGAAAAAAAACACCUACUUUUCUGUUGAUAUUUUCAAAGAACAAUAUGAAGUUUAGUUGUACUGAACAAAAUAGUGGAAUGAAAAUGAUUAAGAGCAUGUAUUCAUUUAUUUAAAGCUUACCACAGGAGUAAAAGUAAUGCUUAUAGUUAGCUUAGAGCUAUGUGAUGUACGUAUAAACACACAUGACUGUAUUCAAGACUUUGUAAAGAAUCUUUUGAGUGUGUCUGUGCUUGAGUUUUAGUGAUGAAUCCGCUACCUGAGACAUAAAAACAAAGGUUCAAAGUAGGGCUGUCACAAGGAACUGCCAUUGACAAUAAGUGUAUUGACAAUUGAACCAAAAAUUAACAUACAGUGAUACCAUACAACUGCUUUUUUCAUAGUAUGGGGAGGUAGGGGUUCUCUGGUUGCUAUCCACCUUAAAAAAAAAGAGGGAGGAUGAGAAGGCAGCACUAGCAGCAAUGUAGCAAGCGAGCUAGCUGUAGCAUAAAGACGCUUAGACUUUACUUGAACUGGUGUUUCAUGAUUUCAUGUGAAUCUAAUUGACAGCGUUUCUUGUAUCGCUAUUUACCACAAGAUUGUUAUUAUUUUUUCUUUAGUGGUUUGAGCCUUUUUUCCCUUCCUUUCUCUGAGCUGGAUGAGAAGUUCGGGAUGAGUGAUACUGCUCCCAUUUCCAAUUAUAUUCAUCCACUUUUUCCAGCAAUUUGGAAGUGUCUGAUAACUGUGCAAGGGCAGCCAGCAGACCAAGAGAGGUGUGCCACAGGGUAGGUGCUGGUGCAGUGCAAGGUUAUAAUAGUUGGAUUUUUCAUUAUAGUUUGGUUUUAUUUCAUUUGGACUUUUUUUCUCUAAUUCAGUUAGUUUUAAUUUGUUUUUAGAGCAGGUUUGUUCAUUUUUAUUAGUCUUUUAUUUUUUUUCUAAACGAUUAGUUUUAGUUUUAGUUUUUCAUACAUGGCAAUGAAACGCUAAACUUUUCGAAGGCAUUCAACUUACACAGUCUUGUCGACACACCAGUCUCAAUAAACGUACGAGUGCAUCUUCCCACUUGUGGUGUUCCUGCGUGUUUACUAACUGGCAGCUCUUUGGUCGUCGGUAAAAACAGUCCAUUGUAGUUGUCUCCUGCUUUCUGUUGCUAUCUCCUGGCCGAGAUGUUGCUUCUUUUUAAUGGGAGCUACUCAAAGAGGCCACUUUGCCAUGGUACUUGUGAUUAGCGUUCUUGUGUGAGCUUCUUAAAUGGACUUUCAGAUUUGUGAGUUUUUUUCCCUUGAGAAGUAUUCCAAAUACUUUUUUGCCAGUGUUCAAGGCACUUGCUUUUGUCUUUCUUGCUGUCGUAUGUAAAGAAAUUUCAUAUAGGACUCUGUUUCUUUCUCCCAAGUUUUGUUGUCAUUUUUUAAACAAGAAGUGAUGAACUGGGAGGUGCCAUACAGUGCUACUAACUCACAUAAAAUUUCACGAGCGAAAUAAAACUAUGACAUAUCAAUCUGAAAUUGACAAAAAUGAAAACAAAGGGAUUUUUAUCUAUAAUUUGAAUUAAUUUUAUUUAAUUUUGCAAACACACAAUACAGUUUUAUUUAUUAAUUUUUUAUUUUAAUUAUAGUUUUUAUUUAUUUCAGUAAACGAAAAUGUUUUUUCAACUUAAGUUUACGUCAUUUUGUUAGUUUUAAUUAACUAUAAUAACCCUGGUACAGUGAAGGAUCUCCAUUGCUGAGAAGUUUCCCACCUUAUAUGAAGACAGUCUGCCAGUGGUAGAGGUAGAUCACUCAAAGUAGCUGACCUAAGAGAAAUAGGGUGGGAGUGAAAGAGGUGUCCUGGCUAAUAACUUUAUCUACAGUAGUAUGUAUAGUCAGCCAGAACUCCUGAACUUUAGGGCAACUCCAAAGCAGAUGCAUGAGGGUACUAUCUUUGUUGAGACACCUCCACUACUCAAGGCUGUCAAUAACACCCACUGUGUGCAACCUGGGUAAUAUCCAGUACACCCUGUUUGUGACUUCAGAUUGGAUCAGUCUUCUUCACAGAUCUCCUUCUUAGAAUCAUUUCCUACUCUGCUCUCCAAGUGACGCCUUUAAAUCAUCCUCCCAUGUCUAAUGAAAGCGCUGUAUAUCUGUGGUUCUUGGGAUCAUAGACGAAUAAACAGAUGCUUCAUGACCCCAUCCACUCUUCUGUUCUGUAAUGAAAAAUGUAAUGUUACAUAUUCUUAUAGACAACAGCUGAUAUCUCGUACUGCCCAUGGAGAACAUGCUUGGCCAUUGGCUCAUGUUUUUUAAUUACUGAUUGAAAAAAACAAGACUCUCAGUUUUAGUCCUGACCAGGUUAUGUUCAGUGUAAGUUUCUAUAGUGAACCGAUCAGGUUUAAAGAGAGCUAGUUUGGUGAUACUGAAAACUUUAGGUUUAGCCUAAACAGACCUGGUUUACCCUCUAAACCUUGCUUCGCGGUGAACCCCCUACGUUUAAAACACACACACACGCACACACACACACAUAAAACAAACAAACAAACAAACAAACAAAAACAACUUUUUUGUUUAAAACUCUCUGAAAAUGAGAGCUGCAGGGGGUGACUGUAUUUAUAUCAUAGUUUGUUGUUUUCUUUGAGCUGUUAACACCCCGGGUAGACAGGAAAAUUACAAAUACCACAAUCUAUCACAAGCAGGUCUAUGUAAAUAGUAAUUUUUGCAUUCAGAUGUUUUUUUUUUUUUUGUGCAGAAUGAAAAUAAACAGCCAUAUAACGAUCAAGUAAAUCACCAAUUCGCCUCUCAAGGGAAAAUGAGUACCUUUCCUUGCAACCGUCUUUUCUCAGCUUCAAUGGCUAUUGUGUUUGACUAUAAAAACAAGGUUGUGUGUAAAGCAAAGUGGGACAGUGAGGGAUGCUUUGGUGUUAAAAAAAGCCGGAAACUGUUGAAAGAUAGCAGACAGGUUAAGUAAGAAGUUUUCUUCCUGUUUUCAAAAAGCACACAGCCAACAUUUGAAAAGCAGAGCCAGAGAGGGAGCAUUAAAUUUCAAAAGAACAAACGUUACCUUGGUUGGGAUCCCACUCAGCUGCUCCACUUUCUGACAGGUCUGGUUCUGUGUUUCUACAAAUGGUACAAACGCACAAACUGGAUAAAAACUUCAACAGUUUGCAGCGGUAAAUGGGACCACUCACUCUGACAGCUGAUCCCAGGGCUGAUCUUUAGCGGGGAAGGUAAAAGUAAAAACGCAAAAUUCAGGAAGUCAAGCUUGAUGUUAAAUGGUGCAGACAACUGUGGAAAAACAAGGCACCCUGUCGAACAGCUAAGUGCUCUCUCUGGGUUAUGUUUGGGGCCUUAUUUGCUGAGAAGAAUGACAAAUUUCAUCCACAACUGGUAUGUAACCCAUAAACUAAUGGUACACCUUGCUCUGUUGGUUGCCUGUAUGCUAUAAAAUGUGAUUAUAGUGUUGUGUUUCCUUGAGACAGAGCUCCUGUGUUUCCUGAGGUUGUCUACAACACUUUAUGUCAAGCUGGACCUCCCAGAUUUUGUUUUUGUGUAAACUUGGAGGAGAAUCACCCUGACCCCUCAGAGGUCCCACAGCAAGUAGAUUUGGACCACAAGGGGAUGUCCACCUCAUAGGGUCUUAAAAGUGCCUAUAAUUAAUCCUUCCUCUCAUAAUCAGAUUGUAGAGUUUACAUAACACCUAAAAAUACAGUUUAAAGAUUUAAAAAGCCCCCAGAGAAAGAAUAAACUUAAUUAAAUCCAAAUAUCCACCCUACUGAUUUCAACGUUAUACUGGUGAUAAAUUAGUCAUUAAAAGGAACUGUUGUUUUAGUGUUACCUGCAGAGAGGGGGAGCAAUCUAAAACCAGACCUACAGUUUGUUCGGUAUCUUUGUGGGGAAAAAAAUACACAAAAUAAUAUUUAAAAAAAGAAACAUUUAAUUAAACAUGUAUCAAAAAUAAUGGAAUUUACUAAAUUUUUAUACUUGAAACUAUAGGGUGAAUGAGCAUGUUGUAACUAGAUAAUAUAACUCAAGGUCUCAGAUUUACAGUUAAAUGUUCGUCAUUGUGUCGGUUUGAUAGCGAUAAACAGAAUGGGGCAGAAACUAUGACUGCUGGUAUAGACAGACAGACAGACAGACGGAUGGAUAUUCAGUGAUUUUUACUGAACCCUUUUUUACAUUGUAUUUAUUCAUUCCAUGAUGUCUGUCAUGAGUAUUUUUUAUAUAAAGUAUGUCAUUUUGUGCUGUGUAUUAAGUAAGUGUGAUACACUUUAUGUUUAAUGGGCCAAUUUUGAGUCUGAAUCCCCACUCUGCAGUAAAACUGAGUAAAGUCCCGAUUCCUUUUAUGUCUCCAGAGAUUGUCCUGCUAGACUUUCCUGAGGUGGGAAGUAGAAGUAAUUUUAUAUCCCUUAAUCUUGGAAGGACAAUGCAUCCAGACUCAUUUAAAAAUUCAACUAUAAACAACUUCAAUACUCUGGUAGACACUGAUGGUAUUCUUGACAUGUAGGAGUUUGUAUUUGCUUUCUUGCUAAAAGUGAGAUGAGAAGAUUCCCAUCUUCUGCUGAUAUGAAGCUGCAUUGAUCAGGGAGCUUAGCAUAAUGUAAUGAUUUACCUCUUCCCCAUUAAAACAAACAUAAAUGAUGUUGUAUUCUCAAGGGUUGCUGGUGUAUGGAUUUCAUACGUUCUCUCAGGGCCAGGCCACUAAUUUUCUCCUGCUUAGGUAGUCCUCAUGUUUGCUAAGCUAGCUCGUACUUUUGCUCACCUUUAACACAGUAUUAUUGCCAACUCUGGUAUCAUCAAAAUGUCAAACACCAAAAGCUUUGUUCUUAAAAUAUUGAUGCAGUUUUAAAUAUACUACUUGGAAAGUUAGCUUAGAACUCAAAUCACAUCAUUUUUUGGGCUCUAUGUUUCUUUUGUGAUUCAGAAGAGGAACCCUUUAUGAGAAAACAGCUGUCAUGACUUUAUUCCUCUAUCAACCAGCUCUAAAAGCCAAUGUCUGUCAAGUCUGAGUCAAAUCUCAGACACUUCACAAUGUUAGCUUCUACAAGUCACCAUAUUUUUUCAAGGUACUUCAUCAUCCUGACAGCUGCUGUCAACAUUUUGCGAGCAAUUCUUUACUUGGGAUUUAGAAUAAUAUGUUUUUAAGGCAGCACCCAGAGUUAACUUUCAAUACGGUGUCAUUUAACCUCCCGCUUAUGCACUUUUUUCAGUGAGGUGAAAAAAAAAAACACAAAGUUGGAUUAAAGCAACCGACGUCUUUUGUAAGGGUUUACGGUGACAGAAUCCCCGGGCUACAGCAAAGAAGUCCCAAUGAAGAAGGUCACGUCUAUCUAUCCUCCACUCCUGGGAAAAGAAAGUGUCUCUCCAGUUUUUUUGAGAGGUGUCCACAUGGGGUCCGUGUGACGGAAAUGGAUUUCCUUCAUGUGCUCAGUUGAAUAUUUGCAUCAAAGGAAGCUUACAGCGCUGUUGGGGGGGAGGGCAGUGAUGUCUGUUAAUGCCGUCUCUAAGGCAAUCACCCGUGACAAAUUCUCUGCAGACCGAGGAAGUCACAGAUGCAGAGAAACUUUCAGGCUGAUUCUGGGAACUUGUCAACCCUAGCUGUCACCAGUGCUGACAAGGUCCACGCCACACAAUGACUCUGUCUACACCAGCUGGUACCAGAGUGUCAGUGCCAGGAGGAACUGAUGGGUAAUUUCUGCAGAUAUUUCAAGACAGUUACUCAGUGCAUUCCUGUUUUUGCAGGAGUGAGAAAAACACAUCACAUAUUCAGUUUGACCUCUGAAUAUUGCUGUCCUCAUGAUGUCUGGACAAUGAUGUUUUUUUGUUUUUUUUGGCUCUGCUCCAGCACAUUGUUUUUAGAGAGUGACAAUAAGAGUGAAGUGAGGAUACAGAGUUUUAGAGUUCACAUCCAAAUACAGACACUGCACCUGAAUUUACUGUUACUGUAACAUUUGGUGAAACCUAAAAAUAUCUAAUCGUGAUGCUAGGUCAAGAUUAGAGUCAAGUACAGACCAAACUGUGGCAUGCUGUUGCAUUCAUCGAAUACCAAAUUAGCCACCAAUAUCAACUAGUUUUCAUAACUUUUCACUAAUAGUAACUUUGUGGAUACAGUUAAUCUAAUACAUAACUCUGUUAACAGUUACUUUGUGAGCAAAGAUGUUAAAGGCACUAUAAGUGAUUUAGAAACAGACUGAAACUAGCUGCAUUUACAUUGGCACAAAUAAUCGGAAUAAAGGCCUGAUCAGAAAAAAAUAUGCGUCAUGUUUUGAUCGGAAAAUUCUGAUCCAAUUCGACUCAAUUGGAAAGAAAUUGUAUUCUGAUCGAGAGGGGUGGUUUAUGCCGAUCGUUAUUCAGAAACACGUUCAUGUAAACACUUAUUCUGAGCGUGACUCUCUAACCUGACUUGGUCUUCACUCUUUGGCCUUUGACUUAUUUGUUGAGGCCAGUACAGGAGGUUUCAUUAUUAACACUGGCAUAAAACACAUCCGCAGGUGCCGUGUCUGCUCCUCCGGUAACAUAACAAGGUGAACAUCCAGCGCAAUGAUGUCAAAUCUGCAAGCACAGUGCAACCUUUGACAGAACAGUAGAAUAAGUAUGCAAGGGUGCUAUCUAGUGACAACAUUCUGACAAAUGCUGAAUUGGAUAUGUUUGUUGGUUUGUACAUGUUUGUUGGUUUGUUGACAGUACAGGCGUCAAUCCAACUCUUUUUCUGCGGUUGUUUUAGCAAAAUCAGACAACCCUGCGCUUGUCCAAAUGCUUCUGAUCUGAAUAAAACUUGGUGCAUGUAUACGCACGUCAUCAUCGGAUCAUUUGAUUUUGCACCCAUAUAAACAGUGGAUUCAGAUCAUCCGAUCCAUCAAAUUUUUAAUCAGAUCAAGAAAUUUUGCACAUUUAAAUGUGGCUACUGACUGAUGCUUCUUUUUGAGGUUCAGAAGUAAACUAGACCAUCAGAAAUAAGGCUGGCUAUUUCUCUGUUGUAACUUUUAAUGCCUUAUAUAAUUGUGAGGAGGAGGGUGGACUGACACCCUGCUGCAGAAAAAGCCCCUUUUCCCCAUAGCAAUUACUAAGCGAGUGAAACAGUCUCAAUCUAAAGAAAAGAGGAUGAAGUGUAUGUCUGAAAACACCACUUCCUCAUACAUAGAACAAGAGGGAGUUUCUCUCUGCAGCUUCUAUUUUGGUGACAAUUUUCUGCCUGUGUUGAUUUUGGUACCCCCUGUGGACAAAGUAGGAACCAUUAUGUCAGUGCUGCUUUUGUUUUGUCAGUGAGAAAGAGGUGUUAAUUGACAGAAGACUCCUCUUGUUGUCGUCUUUUUAUGGCAAAUUGUCUUGUUUUUUUUUCAUAACCCAUCAAAAAGUCCUCACAGGAGCUUUAAAGGAUCCUUUCUCAAACUGUCCCCUCUCCACUUUCAGUACGAUACAGAGUGCACUCUGCAGAUUUUAAAGAGAUAUGUUCUAACUCUGUGCCAUAGCAAAAUAAAGAUCAGAAGCAAAGGGCAGUUACAUAAACUGAUUUUUUCAUUAUCUUUCUAAUAUGCAUUUUUCAUGUUAACACUGUAAAAAAAGUAACAGUCUCAAGCAGAACCCAAACUUUGGCAUCUGGAGUCAAAAAUUUCCCUUGCAAUUCUUACCAUCCACUCAAAUCUAUGUGCAGAAAAGUUCCCUCUAUAUCUACUCCAGGUAGCAAUGACCUUUGCCACCCAAACUGUGCAGAGAAACACAAUUCAGCAAUAAGUCAAAGUAAUCUCUGGAAGAUAGGGUUGCAUAUUUGUUGAAAACUUUAGGACCCAUAAGUCUUAGGUAGAUGACACCCUCCUUUGGGAAGGAGGACUCUGGGCUAAAAUAUAAAACAUGACAACCGAGGAGAGUUGAUAUAAUGUUCUUGAUGGGUCAAGUUAGUCCCCUGACCUCAGUCUACCUGUGUGUGUAACUCACAAACUAGAGAACGAUGCUGAAUACAGAGAAGCUUCAGCUGUAAACAGCCCCGCCAGAAAUGAACUGCGGAAAGUGUUGGCAGGGUGAGGUGAGAGACGCAGAAAGUCAGGCGCAAGGACUUUGAAAUACAAUGCUUUAUUCAGUGUCUUAGACGCUGACUACUUUAACGCAUUAAGUGUGACAAAACAAGAGCCAUUAGGGAAACUAGAAACACCAAAGGACCAUCAUUUACAAUCAAAACACACAUGACUUGGCUGAGGGCAUGGUAGUUAAAUCCUGUAGCACCUUUUAUAACAGUUACGACUUCUUUGACACAUUUUUUUUCUUCACUUUGCUCUCUGUGUGUUUCUACGUUGUCUUCAAGACACAUCCCAGGAUGCACGGGCUGAGAGAACAAUUCAUGGUGUGUGGGGGUGAAGUAAGGUCACCAAAGACUCAAACUGCAAAAAGUUUGAGAAGAAACUUGCACAGUUUGUCAACAAGACCCCUACUAAUAUUGUUUUCGACGACAGUUUUGCUGUCUUUACCCAUGUCAGAUUUACCCAACAUCAGAAAUUUGCAAGGACAAUAUUCCAUCGGUAAAAACUGAAUGAUUCAUACCCUGAUAUGCUUGCACCUCAGCUACAGCACAAGGUAAAAUCGACUAUAUUCUUGCGACAGGGAGAUGGUGUCAGUACCUCAAUUUCAUUCUCAGCAGAUCUUGAAUAUGUAGACAGUGCAAGCUAGAAAUGUGGCAAAAUUAAGUGUUCUUGAAUGAUUGCAUUAGAAACUGCGAUGACAUAGCUCAAGGAAAUACCCGAAGAAACCAAAAAAUAAGCAAAUGACACACAGAAAAACAUUUUACUAGAUCUUUGUGACUUUCUAAUAAUUUCGACAAUUAUAAACCUUUUUAAUGUGUUUUUGCUGACUUUAGUUUAAUAGUUUGUUAUUGGUGUGAGAGUAAUAAGUGACCACUGAAGAUCAUGAGUCAUAGAUUAUAUACUGAGCUGCCAUGCUGUCCAUUUUCACAUCGAUUAUGAUUCUCAAGAAUGACCCAGAUAGUCACUGAUUAUGAAGUGACGCUAAACAUAAAAUAUAAUGAGCUGCUGCGAAUAAAGGAGCAGACAUUCCUUUGCUCUUCAUCUUGGGCCGAUGCAGAAACUUUCACAUUGAAGUGAGGAGUCAGCACUUUAUACUCAUUGAGGAAGUUUGAUUUGAAAUCCGAAGCUCUGGAGCAAGGAGCCAAAACAAUGAAAAAUGCACUUCUUUCCUAAUACUUUCUGACCAUACAGUACAGCCUGACGAUAAAACUGAAAAUAUGAUGACCCAAACAGCCGCGGCCUAUACACAAAUAUGAUCUGUGUUAUACAGUUGCUCCCUGCAUAUCCUUCCUUUGGGAAAUUUGCAUUUAGAGUGUAAGGUGUGCACUGCAGCCCACAUUAACCGCCCUGCUAUAGAGCAAUGCAGCGUGCCGACUGUAAAUGAUGCCAGUAGCAGAUUAAUGACAGCCAUCAGGAUGAACUAAUUAGCAACACUACAGUGGGGCAGCCUAUAUAGACGCUAUUGACCCUCUCUCUGUCUUUGGCGGGGGGGGGAGAGAGAGAGAGAGAGAGAGAGACAGAGAGAGAGACAGAGAGAGAGAGAGAGAGAGGCUGCCUCAGUCUGAUUAACGAACAGGAGGAAUAUCAAAGCCUUAUCUCUGAAAGAAGUCAUCAUGAAAAAUGUUGAUAGCAGCAUUCGUGUGAGGAAUUCUGAGUGGGAGCUGCCUGAAAAAGCAGGACACAAACAAACGGCAGGAAAUAGAAAUAUUUGCUGAAGGGUGCUGGCUACCCUGAUAGGAUUCUGUUUGGCUACAUCAGCUAACGCCAUCCUGCUUAUUACCUGGCGUCCAAGUUAAUAUAUAAACAAGUCAACACUCGGUAUCCAUGUAAAGAUAAUUUUAAUAACUUGAUGAUUUGUUUGUUCAAACACCCAAUAAAAGUUAUUGCUCUUGUGUUGCAAUAACAUUGGACUAAACACAUACAUAAUUUAGUGAAAAAAAAUGUGAAGGAGCAUUGCUGUAACAAGAAAAUGUUCAAAGUACAUAGAGUGAAAUACUUUGAAAAAGUGACACAGGCUUUUGUCCUGUCACACCUUAAGCACUGCCCUGCCAUUUAGUCAUCUGCUUCAAAGAAAAACCUGCAAAAAUGUCAAAGAACUCAAAAUAAGGCUGCAAGAUUAAUUUUCCUGUGCUCUAUGCCCACAUAUACCACAGAAAUGCACAGAGAGCUCUCAUGGCUUCCUGUGGAUAAUAGAUUACAUUCUCGUAUGAUCACUUUUCUCCAUAGUGUUUUAAUGGACAAGAGACCACAGCAUUUAUAUGAUAGAGUUAAAUAUACACAAAAUAUACAAAACCACAUGACUAGACAAGCCAGUUCUGGAUACACUGAACCAUCGAAACCGAGAACAGAGCUACUUAAAUCUACUUUUACCUAUCGAGCCAUAACAGGAUGGAACUCAAUGCCUAAUUAUUUAAAAAAUUCAAGCACAAAAUUGGUUUCAAGAAAAACUUAUAACAACACUUGAUGAGAUUAACCCUGUACAACACCCUUUUCCUGUUUUUAUUUAAUUGUUUUGUAAAUGAAUGAUUAUAUUGUAUAAUCAUGGAUGGAUGUUUAUGUGAUGUUUUAUUUUCUGUUUUGGACCCCAGGAAGAUUAGCUUUGUCUUGACAAAAGCUAAUGGGGAUCCUAAUAAACAAUAACAAGUUUACCAUAAAGUACUGUAGUUGAAACAUUUGAACAGUUGCCAGCCUUGGCUUUGAGUUAAUAACAACAUUAGGAAUCACAAUGAGGCGAUGUGGUUUUACUUAGAAUGUAUAUGUACAGAAAGGCCUACAUCUCCACAAACACACUGUUUAAUCCCUGAUCCCUGCUUUAUGAGAUGCAGCCACAGCAGCUUGUCUAAAACACCAUAACACAUGGUAACUACCUACAGUGAGGCUCACAGCGUGAAAUACUGUAUGCAUGAAUAUCCAGUAAAUCUGCUCUGUUUAAAUGUUUAGCUUCCAAAGUGCAAACACAAGGUUGAAAAUGUGAAGAUGGCGAGUGAGUCAGACAUGGCUGUUAAUAAAUAAGUUGAAACAAUAGGCAGUGCUGUGGUACCGGAGCCUCGUCUCAAGAUGUUUAUUCCGUUACCUUGGGUUUUCUUGGUGUCUCCAUCUCGUGGGUGUCACGACUGACUUGUUUCAGUCUCAGCAGCCGUGCUUUAAUAUUGCAGUCUGUUCCCGAUUCUGUUUGUACCUUAAUGUUUGACAUUCAGCACUGUGCUGAAAUAGCUGCUUUGAAGUGAGGCAGUAUUUUUCUCUGUUUUGAGAUUGUCUCUUUUGGUUGAGAUGCUAAAGGGCUCUGACUUGGACUAACAGAGGAUCUGAGCAUUUCCCAUCUUAAUUGUCAUUUAAUUCAUCAUUAACUUUCUCAUUCGAUAACAAGGGCAUUUGGAAAACUUAGGCAGUGUAAAAGACACCCGGGUCAGAGAAUCCAUUUAGCAGAUAUUGUUUAUUUGUAAUGCAGGCAUGCAUCAGAGUGCAUAUCACCCACAGCCACUGCUGUAAUUUCAGCAAACAAGGAACAUAUGGUGUUCUCAGUCAGCUUUCUAAUUAAAAUAUAUAUCAUGAUAUAUUAAUCUUCCCUGUGAACACAAACUGAGAGCUCUCUCCUGUGAUGAGCACAUGUGUUCUGACAGAUAACAGAUGGAAAUGCUCGCAGAGACUGUUUACAUUUUGUAAUCCUGCAUAUCAACAUAAUGCUGUAGCUGUAUUAGCUGGUUUGAAUCUUUUGGAGGUACCAACGGUUUUUCAAGAAUUUAUGAAAGAAGCACCUGCUAGAGAAAUGAUACAGACAUUGUAUUAGACUUAUGUUGAGUUUUAUUCCUCAAGGCCUCUUCAUGUUCAGCUCUUGGGAUUAUAUUAAAAAUCUGGUAUUUAUGGUCCACAGAUGAGAAAUCUACUGAUUCUGAUAAUACACUGGUUCUGUGCCUUGGUAUAACACAGUCUGCUUUUUAUUGUGAAAUAUUGGUAUUGUACGAAAAAGGCAUAAAUAUUGCUAAAGGUAAUUGGUUCUAGUAGCAGUCCUUUACCCCUUGGUGUAGGCGUCGCCACUUUCUACGAAUAUUAACAAUCUGAUACAAGAUUCCUUUAUUCCUUUUCCUUUGUUCCUUUAUGCUGUGCUGUUACCUUCAGACAGAGUUAGCAGUUCAAAGUCCUGUUGGGGUCCACAUGGAUCAGGGAUUGACCAUAACCAGGAAGUAUUUCUCAACCAAACGAACUGAUACACAGUUGGGAGUUUGCAAAUGGCGUUUCAUUGUGAAAUACUGGAUGACAUGCACAGUUUUGGUGUUUGACUUCCUGUCUAGAAUGACCUUCUCUGUGUGGAUUGACGCGUAUUGGAAACGUAGAGCAGCAAAAAUAGACUGGUCGCAUAUCUUAAGCAUUGCUCCUCUCGAGACGCUUCUGCGCUCGAUACGAUGCUGUGAUGGAGCUGAUACCCGUCCUGUAUGCGAUGCUGCAUUGAUUAGAAUGGCAACCUAUUUGUUGCUUGAUAUGUGACGCUGUCGAUACGCACUAAAUAUGGAUCCUGUAUGUUUUAGCCUUUAUGGAACCUAUUAAGACAAAAAUAAGCAGUACCCUUAUGUCAAGACCCCUCACCGUUUUGUCGUAGCCUUCAGGUCCCUUAAACGAGAUUCCAAGUGUCAAUAGUGGUAUUUUGCAGUACCUUUAGACAUCCACAAAUGGAACAACCGAUGUCCUCUUGAUUAAACAAUGCAUGACUGUUGAGAGGAUGCUCAAGUCCCAGUCGAGCAGCACUCUAUGAAAAACACUUUCACUUUCAGACCAACAUGUUUGGGCAUUCAUCCAUUUAAAUCACCGGCAACAAGAAAGAAUAAUUUACAAAACCUGCUGCCAGUAUUUCAGAAACUUUAAUCUGGUCACGAACAACUUACAACAGAGAGUUGACACACACCCACACUCAGAGGCUUGUUGAAAGUCAUUUCAGCUCUAAGCAGGAAAUCACUGACUGAAGUGGAAAGAGGUGAGGUAGGUAGAGUGAAAGUGGGUGCAACAAAACAGAGAAUUACAGCAGCACUUCAUCACAGGAAUAAAAACCUCCUAGAAUACACUGAACAUCAUAAAUCAGAGAGGGAGUAUCCAAGAGAAAAUCCAGGCUUUUCUGAAGUUAACUGCCAUUCAUCAACAGCAUGUAGGGAUGAAUUUUAGCUGUCAGUAUGGCCAAAAAUCAAACCCAAGGGAUGAGUUUUGAAAUGAGGCAAAGAGGAAAGUUCACAGCCAAACAAAAGAGUGAUUACUGGGAGAAAUUAUGUUGAAGGAUUACUGCUGCUUCAAAUCAACCUACGCUGGUUUUUAGUCCUCUUUUACUGGCUUGUAAAGGAAGCAGCUAGUUUGAUGAAUGGCGGUGUGCUGCUUUGACCUUUUCCUUGUAACUGCUGCUGGCUUAUAAUGGAUAAGUUGUCAAACACCAGUUCAACAUCAUUACUGGUCACAUGACAACACGGCUGUCAGGAUGACUGCGUUCGACAGCAGAGAGCAAAGAGGAUAUCAGGGACGUCUCUGACACUAUUGAUUAUCUGGUUGAUGGAAACAUGUUGGCUUCCUUGAACACAUGUCAACGUCUUCGGGUGUGAGCUGAGGCUCUCACAUGGUAGAGUCUAUCGCCUGUCACUCUUUCGGUUCAGCAGGGGGAUGUAUAACCUUUCCCUUACAGAUGAGGUUGAUCAAAGAUGGAGAUGUGACAUUAGUUGGCUGUUAGGACCAACAAUGGAGCAACAUAUCUCUGGAAAUAAACCUUGACUAUGCUUAAAAAAAAAAUUGAGGGUGGGGUUAUGCAACCUUUGAAAAUCCAAUGACCUAUUUUUGAAUCUCCUGUUUUCUUUAUCAUGGCAAGUGUGUCUUUAAUUUUACAAAUGGCCCCUGUUUGGAACUGAUUUUUAAGAUAUUCAUUGGUCCCAAAAUUAAAUUCUGAAUCUGUCCCUCAAACAUCACUGAGUCGCACAGGUUACUCAUAAAUAUACUGCUAUUUGUGCUUUAGCGUUUUUUUUUUCAUUGUCAAGUCAAUCACAAAUAGUAAGCAAAUACAUAUUCACAGGAUGGAGUCAAAUAAGUAACUCAAUCAAAUCAAAAAUAUACAAUGUUUUGGUAGCAGUACAAACUGUAUUGGGAAUUCCAUAUGAAACCAUUCAAAUUACACUUUGAUAGAGCCAAAUAUGGCGAUAUGGCCUCAAAUCAAUUUCAUGAUGUAUUGACCAGUUCAUCUCAAUAACGAUAAAUGGACGAUAACUACUCCUCAAGCUGUGCACCCCCUCCCACAUUAACUUGGUCUACAUCAGCCGCUACAACUUUUGAACUGUCCUCCAUCUCUUCACCGGUCUUUCCCCUUUGUUACGGACUGGAUGGGGUGGAGUCAUGUCUUUGACCUAGGGCAAAGUCUUAAAGGGACCGGUAAAUUUUCAGUUUAUCACCCAGCCAGAUGGAGGAACAAACUUUUGUAAUUCAAAACUCCUUGUUUUUAGAUUCAAAUUUUAAAUAACUUCUACACGCUCACAUAUUACUUAAACCUGAUCACUGACACAAAACUUACCUGUCAGCUUGUGGAUGUGAGUAAACAUGGGUCCUUUUUUAAAACCUCAGAUGAUGUGAUCUCAGUCUUUUCUCCCUGUAGAUCCCAGUUUGAAGGUUGAAGUGUCAGCAGUUAUUGUGGUUAGAGCCACUUCCUUGGACUGGCCAAUUCCCAUUGCAUUUGAUUUGAGAGAUUGCAGGCUCAGCAAUAGUGUUCUUGACUUUAUCUAUUUUAGCCUCCAGUGAAGCAAGGCUUGUUUUUAAUCCAGCCACUGAAGAUAGCACGUGUUCUUGCAGUAUGCCUGUCAGUGCAGCAAUGCUGUAUUUUUAUUUUUAGAGUGGUAAAAUCAUUUUCAUAUUGAGUGUGCAACCUUUCCAUUUCCAAGAAAACCUGUGAAACAUCUUGAUCCUCACUCUUUACUUUUUCUCUUCCUAUAUCACUUUGCUGUGUCUAUAUUAUUAUUCUGUAUUUUGAACAAUUUAUUUAAAUUAUAGAGUCACUUUUGUUCAGCGUGGGACCCAGCAAUGCAGUUGGUAUAAGUCUAUUUCUCUGAAGUAGUCAUUUACUUGAGAGAAGUGUCCCUCUUUCACACAGCUGUAGGAUUUUCAUUUAUAUUUUCAAGUUGAAGGACCACUUUAGCUGCUAUUUGUGUCUGCAUGUUUUACUUUCAAAAAUCCAAUAUCUUCCGUUCUUAGAGUGCUUACUGAGAAAGAGAGUUUUAUCGUUUGAGUCAAAUGUGAUAAAAAUAUACGUAGACAGUAUGAUUUUUGUGUUUUGCUCCUCAGAGAAAAAACUUGCCGUUAACAUACAGGCUGAAGCCAGAGGUUACUUCAGGAUCGUACUUUCCCACUCAAUCUGCACAGUUUCAGGUUCAGUGCCUGCUGUUUACAGGUCAGUAAUAUGUGGCAGCGGUUCACAAACACAUCGCUUCACUUCAUCAGAGGUUUACUUUACCUUUAGAAAAGCCUUGAAACAACAAUUUUCUGCCUUUGAGACAACAACUGUGUCCCACAGUUAAAACAAACAGAAUUUAUUCAUUCAAAGUUUGGAGGUGUUUAUAUUUCUUUUACGUAUUUGAAGUAUCUGUGUUUCAUAAAAAGGAGCAGACCCCCAACAGAGUGAUGAACAGACAGCCUCAAAAAAAUUAAACUCACUUGGUUAAAGAAAUGAGUUGUGCCAAGAUUAGGUUUUUAUUUAUAUGAAAAAUAACAAAGAAAAGCCUUUAAAAAAAAAAGAAAAUAAGGACAAAUAAAAAAAAUAAUCAGCCACAUUACUAUUCUUUUAAAAUGUAUUUGUACAUUUAAACAGAGACGGAGACAGCUACAAAAGUUGUUUUUAGAGGGUUGGCAUUACGAUCCUCUAAAAACGAUCGUAUUGUUUCUUUUACUGCAUCGAGUAUUACAAAAUGAAAAAGGAUUGUGAAUAUUAAUGCGUAACAGUUUGGCCUACCUUUGACAGGAAGUCUGUCUAAUGUGAUGAAAGAGACAUAUUUUCUUUACUGACAGGAACCAUGCAUCACUUCUUUAUAUCACUUUAGGAGCGUUGGCUUAAUUUUGAUAAUAAUAUUGAAUAAAUCAAACACUGUAUUGCACUUGUAGUAAAAUAUUUUGACACUGUCAUAAAGAGUUGAAAGAUUUGAGCUCUGUUGUUGCUUAGAUUUUAUCACAAGUGACAAAUCAGUCUUUUUAAGCCUUUCUAUAACGCCCUUUUAAACGUCAACACUUGGGCUUAAACCCAGCAGUCGUCUGCCUGUUAUCGCUGCUGCCUCUCUUCCGUCAUGCUCUUCCUGUCCCUUGGCUUUUCAGACUCACCCAGAUACUGACACCUGCUUCCUUCAUAUCCUCUCCCUGCUCUCCUCUCUCCACCUGUGGCUGCCUGACAAUUUGUACUGUUUUUUUUAACAUGUGUUGAAGAUACAGCGGUCCACCAUUAACCUAAGCGGCACUCUCCGUUCAACAUAUUGGCAUAAAGGGGGCAGAACAGCAGGCUGCACAACAGCUCUCAGUGUCAAUUGUCAUAUUUUUAUAAAACCUUUAGGGCCAUAAUUAUAAUGGAAAUGAACAGAAAUUGUGACCACUGCUGCAGGACUCAACAAGAUUGACAAAAUGAAAGAGUUUCAAAAAUCAACACCCACCAGUAUUUUCACACAGGAGCUUUUAGUGAUGAAGGCUUAUGCACGUACAGAUGUAUAAAAACACAAUUUAAAACUGGAGCCAUGGGUUCAAACAUUUAUGAUCUUGGUGACAGUAAAUUAAAUCUUUCUCUGAUGCAUAUUGUACACUUGAAUAUUUUGACUGUCCUCCUUAAAUACACACACAGCAUGCAGCUCACUGCUCUCUGGAUUGCAAAACAUCUAAGCUUUCAAGUUGGCUCAUACAGACUCUCUGUACUGGCCACAAGCACUCUCAGACUCCUUGCUUCCACCUUGCUGAUUUUUCUUCCUCUCCUCCACAUACACACACAUGCACCUCAUUCCCAGCUCUGUAUCCCCUGCAGUGCUCCACGCGGCCUGCUGUCACUCUAUCCCUUUUCCCUCACCACAGAGCAGCACUCCCUCUCUGGCUGCCUGGCCCUGCAGCGCUGAGUGCCCAAGCUUUCAUUCCUGCCUGUCAGAGGGGGUGAGAAUGGAGACGCCGGGGCAGUAAUGGAGGCAAAGUAACCAGCUCUCACUCUGAGGCUGACACCAGCGUACAUGACCAGUGUGUGGGACUGUCCCUGGAGCUCUCGAGCCUCAUGUUUAUGCAGCUCGUGCACUUGUUUGUAGGAUUUUGUAUAUUAAAAGCAUUGUUGGAGGACCCUCCUGUUGGACACACAAAGACACAAACAAAACACUCAUUUAAUGUUGCAGUUCCAUCAGAAAAUACUGAAUAGGUAGAUUCAGUUUCCCCUGUAUGCGAUCAUAUGCCGCUUCAACUUCAAAUUGAAUCCUUUCUUUGUUGAAAAAACAAGUUUUAAAAGCAUUAUAAAGGCCAUCAAAUGAGUCACUGCUGUAGUUUUGCUCUGCAGUGAUUUCAGGCAUACAGCAUGAUUACUUCUGAAGUGGGAGAGCUUCACACAUCAGCCACAACAGCAGAGACCCUCCCAGGAGAGGCCAGCUCAGAGCUUCCAGCGCUCUCUGAAGGACUUUUGAAGCAGUGGCCACUCCAUGUAUCUGCUGCUCUGUAAACCUACUAAUAAUAUCACUAUACGCAGUGAAGGAGUUAUUUCACCACAGAGCCUAUAGAUUCUAUGUGGCCUGAGCACAAAGAGCGUUUAGCCUACAGUCUGAAAGAGAUGAGCAUGUAGAACAUAUUGAAUUUCUCUUUUUUUCAGGGCAGAAUAAUUUUGUUUUCUGCUGGAGUCUGAGCACACUAGCUUUAUAUUUGACUGUUUUUAAUAUACAGACUUACUUUGACUACUGUUUCUUCAUGAAGUGAAUCACGUUUAUCACAUCCUCCAAAAGAGAAUUACUUGUUUUAUGCCCUGAUACCAAACUGUAUUACACAAUAUAUUCAAGUCAUGUGAUUGUGAUGCAUGCUUAAACAAAUUCACUUCCACAUCUAAUAUCUGAUGAAAAUUGUGUUCACAGGUUUAUGUAAAUUUAUAGAACCUUAUCUGCAUCUCCAUAGUAAUCUCCUCCUGCCCUGUCUCAUAUUUUUGUCUGUUCAGUCAUGAAUUAAAGCGCCUAAGGUGUCAAAUAAAUCUUGAUUUAUAAAUUAUAAACAAUGCUGUAAAAAUAGUACUUCACACCAUAGCUUGUAAGUGACAGGAACAAAAUAGAAUCGCAUACCAAAAAGAAUGUCAUAUACACUCAAUGGCCACUUUAUUAGGUACACCUGUACAGUUGCUUGUCAACACAAAUUGCUAAUUAACCAAUCACAUGGCAGCAACUCAAUUUAUUUAGGAAAAUAGAUGUGGGCAAGAUGACUUGCUGAAGUUCAAACCGAGCAUCAGAAGAUUUAAAGGGAUAUUCAGAAGUAAAAUCAAUUUAGGGUCAAACACACCGUAACACCGAGUUGAACAGCCCCUUGAGAGAUGAAUGUUGCCGACUGUUUGCUUUUCUAGUUAUACCAACUUUAGUAACGACCACACGAUAGCAAUACACAGCAGUCUGAGGAGCCAUGCGCACACCUCAACCAAAACGCCACUCUAUAGCCACAAAUAAUACUCAGAACAGCACCUAACUUCAGUAACAGUAAAUAUAGGGUCCCAGCCACAGCACUAGCCAUCAAACAUCUUUUUUAACUUUGCCUGAUUUCUUUAGCAAAGAGACUAAACACAACUCACCUACUCUCUUCCAGCGGCUUGAUGCAGCUCAAGGAAGAACAUUUAUGAUCAUUACUUUAUCAUUUCCUUGAAGUAAUAAUCAUCAUAUUAAUCAUUUUGCACUGCAGAUGCGGUAGUUCUUCUGCCUUUGCGUCUCGGUCUGAUUGCAUUUCCAUGAAGAAAUGAUCAUAAAUAUCAAUGCAGCCUCAAGUCGUUGGGGAGGUUUUGGACCACUUUGGGAUUCCAUCUGCUGAAAGGUUGAUUGGGAUUUCCUCUUUCGGCAGGAUCUAGCACCUGCCCACAGCGCCAAAACUACCAGAAACUGGUUUGCUGACCUUGGCGUUACUCUACUUUGCUCAAAAGAAAUAUUAGAAACACCGGAACACACAGUACAGAUGAGCUGAAGGAGCUAUAAAAGCAACCAAAGCUUCGUAACUCCUUAGCAGUCACACACUGACUGAGCCCAUGCCAUGUUGCAUGGAGUCAGUAGUUUUCCAGAAGGUAAACACAUUUAUUAUAAAUCUUUGUUUUUGGAUUGGUAUUUUGUGAUAGUCUAAUGUUUCAAGAAAGUGGAUUUUGUAUAUUUUUUGUGAGCAACAAUCAAAAAAAUUCAAGCAAGAAAUGGAAGUUUAACUUUUUGAAUUAAAUUAGGGGAAAAGUAAACUUUGAGUACCCUACCAGGCAUGAACAGCUACACUGGUAAGAGAAGACAUGGCGACCGUUGGGAUUAGACCUCUAAAUCUGAGGUUCCAUUGUUGUUGUCCACUCCAAAGAGCAGCAGCAGCAGCAGCAGCACAGUGAGGCCUGCAGAGUUUAAAAGCCUGUAAAAACCCUCAGCGUGUUGUAAGAAUUUGGCGUGCAGAGCCACGUCUUGAUUGCUCUUUCUCAUUUAAGGGUUACAACCCAUUCAGCCGUGUGGUGUACAUUCAAGGCUGCAGCUGCAGCUCUUUUGAGCUUUUCCUGAAUUACUGUAUAAUGCAGACAUUUUUAAUCAUCAAUAAAUGUUUUUUUUUUUUUAAUUUUUCAUCAAUCUAGCUGGUAUAAAGCACCUCCUUCAAGUCUGAUUGAACCUUUAGCUCAGAGGAAUCCUCUCAAUACUACAGCUUUUGGAAGUAUUUGUGCAGUAUCCUCGCACAGUAAGUGCAAAGUUACUGAGAAAAACAGGAUUGAACAAAUACUUGGCCCUUAAACUCUAUAAAGAGAUACUGGUGUGUUCGACAUCAACAGCAUAAUUACAUCUCACGCAGUGCAGCCAGUGAUGAUGGAGGUGCUAAGAUAUAUCUGAGGCGAUGAGGUGAGCACGUAAUAAUGGCAUAUUAUAGAGAGACAGCUGAAAAAGGACUGGCUUGCAGACAGCAUGUUUACUUAGGAUACAUACAUUGCAAAAUCUCUUCAAACAGAUUUAAGUGAUUCAGAAAGUCUUUCCCCUCAAAAAAUCUUUGUUUUAGCGUCAAUGAGGAGCACAAAGAGACGUUGCUGCACUUAGAAGCUCGCUGUUUCAAUUCUGUACGUCUCUCAGCUUAGAUAAACACAUUAUUAGAGACAGAACAGGUGUGUCUCCAACUGUGGACAAAAACGUGCUGUAGAGUGUAAUUUGUGGGUGUGGAAAGAGAAAAGUUUCACAAUUUCAUGCAACUUCUCUCUCUUUAGCCAAUGAUUUCACCCACUCAAGCACAAAGAUUCCACGCAAGACACGCCCGUUGUAAUCCUGUAGAUAAAGCGUGAAUAAUUAUACCAAUAGACAAGACUUGUGUCUACAUUUUAAAGUUUAAAUGGGGUCUCUAGGUGAAAGUAUGCUGAUUCUUGCCAAAGUAGUAGAUGUUUGGAAAACUCCAAUAAUUGCCCUCUUUUUUUGUUGCCUGUACCUUUGACCUCAAUUUUAAAAAAUGUUACCAGAUUUUUGCGACAAAUGUUGCAAAAAAUUCUUGUAAAAUUGAGAAAAGUAAUAGCACACAUUCCUGAUCAAACCAGACAUUUUGAUAUAUAAUUUGUCAUACAACUCUUCAAGAUGUAGGACGAGUAGCGAAUCAAAAUUUGUACAGAUGAGGAAUAAGAAACAAAUCCCCAAUACUUUUGUACAGGAGCCUGUGCCUCGGUGCAUUUGCCCCAUGGUCCUAAAGCCUAGCUUAUGUUUGACGCAGUCACUAGUGCGCGAGGCUCAUGCACCACAAAUGACGUAAAUGCGCACCUUGCAACAGCGUUGUAUGCUGGCGCAUUGUGCUGUCGCGCACCUCCAGAAUUUUGAAACUUGGCGAGCGCCACUCAAGUGUCGCUCAGUUCUAAAUGGAUGAAUUUGAGGGAAGACUGGCAGAGCUAGUUCUUCUUCUCUGUUUUUUGGUUGCGUAUGCUACUAACUAAUGUAUUUUUUCUCUACCGCCCCCUGUCUUUGCUGCGAAUAUUGCAAUGGAGAACGUGUCAAGCAUAGACGCCUGUGCGCAGACGCCCGUGCGCUCUGCCGAGGUGCACGCGCCAUCCUCAAAUGGAGCCAGGCAAAAGUAUAUCCAGGGCUUAAUAGUAGUAGUAGUAGUAGUAGUAGUAGUAGUAGUAGUAGUAGUAGUAGAAGCAGCUGUGGCUGUGAAAUAGCAUGUAUAAUCGCCAAGGUGUGGGAGCCUCUAAAGUGACUCUGUGUACGACAGACAAACUCUCAGAAUAUGAGUUUGCAGGUAUUUUUGAUGUUUACCUGCAUUGAUCCCUCCACAGUAGGAAUGUGAAGUGUAUUUCUCAUUAAGGAGAGCAACAUUCAUGCACCAAACACCAUGAUGUAACUUCAGUCUCCAGACAUGCUGACAGGAUCAGUCAAAAUCUGAUGUCAAUAAAUGAAAUCUGUUUUCUGCUCAUCCAAAAUGUCCCCCACAGUCAGUCCAGCUUUAGUGAAUCGUUUGAAGUGAAGCAGGAGUCUUCUUUGUUAUAGAUAACAGGGACUUGACUCAGAUUCUUCUUUGGUAACUGGGAUUUGAGGUGCUGAAUGCAAAAUACCUGUAUUUUAAGGAGAACAGCCCAGAGCAAAUUGGUCCUGAUUGAAAUGUCAUCUGUGCUCUGACUAGAAUAAUCAGGUUUAAAUGUAAAUUUCCCUUUCAGUAGAAACAUUUCUUUCUUGUCUCACUUAUAAAGAACAAUGUGGGGGCGCAGCCACUGAAACACUUCUGUAAAAAAACACCCCUAAAGCAUCAUGCAUCACCUGAAUUUGCAUGAAACUUACUUCAUCAUUCCCCCCUUGCCUGGUGUAUGAGAACAGUCGUGAUUGGUCUAACGUUGUGUGUAACAUGAAGGAGAGUGUAUGACAAAACCUGCUGCAGAGCUGUUGCUGGUGGCGGAGUGUCAACACUGACAAUGAUGCUUAAAGCAGAAACGUGGGCACGAGCCCAGAUCCAGCAGAGGAGAAGAUUAAACCCCUAUUCAGGUGGGAUUUGUUUCAAGGACAAUGUGCGAAAAUAAGCGCUAACAAAGGACAUCCGCAUCUGUAGAAUUUACGUGGAGAAAGACAUCGGUGUAAACAUUAAAACAGACGGUUGUUUCUGCUCCAUUUAAAGAAAGCAUGAAUGUGAUUGCUGGAAGAAAAUAACUUUUAUAUUUCGACCACCUGACAAGGAGGACAUCAGACUGAAAUAAUUCUGAAUGUAUACCCUACCUAUAGAGUGAGACUGGGACUGUCCUGUUUUGAAACUACCUGUCCUGAGUCCAAUCAAAUAUCUAUGAAACACUUUGAAAUGAUUCCCUCUUAAAAUACAGUCUUAAUCCACUCACAGAGACAUGCCUCACCGAGCCCAUAGUGUGUAUGUGGCUAAGUGACAAAUAUCAGCCACUGACAUCUCCUACUCAACCUUUCUAAUGAUAAUUAUCCCUCCAUAUCAGGGGAGAUGGAGUUGGUGUGAUUGUGCGCAGACUGGUGUGAGCUCAGGGUCUUGCUGGUGAAUAAUGGCUUUCUAAUGGCAAUAUUAACCUCCUGAACAGAAAGAAGUGCUUAAUGCCGGCUAUGAUUAAGCCCAGAGAGCUGUAGUGUCAGAGGUCAGAUGCUCUGAGCAAUGAGAAAAAUUAUCAAGACAAUGUGCCUGUGAUAAUCUAAACCAGGAGACGCUCAGCCAAUGAAUAAUGUGCUGAUAUUUAGAAACUGCAGGGUGACUUUCCUUCCUUGACUUUGACUCACUGUCUUGGUUCACAGUCAGAGCUCCAGUGUUUGUUUUGACAUCCUGUAACCUUAAGGACCAAAGGAAAAGUUGAGUUCAACUUAAAUCUCCUUUGAGGGUUUUCCCCAUAGACUGUAUAUAGAGUGGACGCCGUCUGCCUCCUCGCUGGGUGAAGCCACCCUGAGAACAGCACCCUCUGGUGACGGGCUGCAGUAUAGGUCAUAAAUGCCGUCUCCUUCAGCCAUCCUUAUGGAGUUGUGGACAAAUUUUAGAAAUGUAUUACUCCAAAUGCCUGCCAGGUUGUUGUUGUUCUGGUUUGUGCUCGAGUCCUCUUUUUUCUGUACAGCUCCCUUUUUCUCGGUUAUUAGUGGGUUCUUGUUUUCUUUGAGUUGCUGUGAUAAUGCCGAGCAUUAUCACAGCAACUCUUGGCGACUCUCCCGCCGAAUGCGUACAAUGCUACUGCGCAAGUGGUGGAGUGCGUACAAUGCUCCUGCGCAUUGUUGUUUUCAGGAAGUGGAGAAAAAUUGCGGAAAUACAGAGAGCUUUUCGGCUUCAAAUCUGUAUACUGGCGGAAGGUGAAACCAAGUUGUCCAUAGUAUAUACAGUCUGGUUUUUUUUUUAUGUUAAUGAAAGUGACUGACAUUCACAUAAUAACUUUUUCAUAGUAUAUUUUAUGGUAUAGCGUUAAUGACAUUUUUCUAUGCCUCUCAUGCAAGUUCAAGAUAAAGUAAAUAGCUGCUGCAUGGCUUGACGUUUUCAACAGAAUUCAAGAUAGAGCAGGACAUGCAAAAAGCUUAAUGGAAAUCUAGUGUUGUGUUAACAUUAAUUAAGUAGAAAACAGAUAAUAAAAAAUGCCAAUGACGCCAAUGUGUAAUAUUUGUAAAAGCUGCAGCCAACAGCUUCACCUGUAAACAACGUUUUAGCUAAAUCAACCUAAAAGGUAGUGAUGUACAAAAUUCACAAAACUGAGAGUUUAAUUGAUUAUAAAGCUAGUUAGAAAUUAAGAAUAAUCCUAAUAGCAAACACAAAUAAAAAAAGCUAUCAGAGCAAGUGAGAAACAGUGUGAUUUAUGAGCACAAAUUACAUAUAAAAAGAUAUAAACAUAUUGCUCACAAUCACUGGUAACAAAGUUGACCAGUGUCUACAAUCAUAUGAACACCAAACACAGAUUGUCUAGAUGUAGCUGACAUUUGCUGAUUCUCCAGCAACAUAUUUCUGCUCCUCGCUGCUGAGGCUGCUGUCAGAGAAGAGGAGUGUAAACGCUGAUGUUUGCUGCGUAACUGACUGACAGGACCUUGAUCAAAACAACAUCAACAGCAACACUAAAAUAGCUCAAACAUCAGUGAUCAGCAGGUGGAUGUAGGUGCUAACCACAUAUACAGUAUAUAUAUGUAUAGAGAAAGAGAGACAGAGAGACAGAGAGAGAGUUUUGCAUUGGUACAAAAAAGUUCUUUUAACAACUCUGUUAAUGUUUGGCAACCAAGGAGAAUGUCUGAAGGUGAAAUGCUGUUUAAUCUGUAUUUUUGAAGUGGGGUUGUACAGGUUACAUGUCACUGUCAAGUGUCUCGGUCACAGUUGAUGCUGGUCAGCUUGUCACUGUGGCCUUAAAACAGGCUUUGUGCCAAGUUAGGAUGGCCUCAGCUGCGACGAGCUGAAAGAGAACUUUAACUUUUCUUUCAAGGACAACAGGCCUCUUUGGGGAUUAUAUUUGGAUGUGUCAGAAUGAAUUAUGCCUGUGACAUAAACAAAUGUGAAUCAGAUUUUGAAAAGCCCCUUACUGCCGCAGGGCAUCUCUUUCAGUUUUUAAACUGCCAAUAAAACAGACAACAAAGGGAAUUGUGAUGCAUAAAUAAGAACACAUAACACGCAGCAGUCUGAGAACAACCAGAACUGACACUGCUCAGUCUGCUCCUCUACCAUGGUGUCCAACAUUGAUGAAUGUCUGCAAUUUUUCAUCGGAGUAUAAACAUUAAAUGAGGCAUUUGCAGCUCCUUUUACAUCUCUCAUAAGAAUCAGACAGGGUGACAAAUUUGAUGUUUUUUUUCACGUUUCCCAAACGCACCUCUUAUUGACUUCAAGUGUCACUAUGACUGUCUAGUACCUUCCCUCUUACAAAGAUAUCAGGAUGCAGUGAGAUGAAAGAAAUAAUUCUGCAGAGGCAAUUUCUUCUGUGCGCAGCCUUUUGAAAAUCACUUCACAGGUCAAGAAUGUGCUGCUUUGUAAAAAUUUAAUGUAAGGUUGUGAAAGGAUGCCCACUUUAGAUUCAUGAGAGAAAAGUACAAUCAGUUCCUCUCUGUUGUGAAGCGGUGAGAAGAUGUGUGAAGCCAAAGAUGACAUUUUACAUAAACAAAUAAAUUGAAUUUCUUCCACGGUGCGUCUAUCUGUUUUUCUUAGAGAAAAAGACACAUUUCCUCUGAUGCACAAAUGUCAAUGGAAAAAUAAUAUUCAAUCUGAAAGACUUACAGCCAACAAAAGGAUUCAUUGUGUUCCAGCUCAGACACACCCCAGGAAGCGGCGGAUAUGAGAAUCUGGCUGCUUGAGAUGCAGAAAGGCGGCUUCAUUGUACUGAUUCACUAUUUCCCUCACAUGAGGCAUACAAUACAGUUAACACUGUCACUGAUCAGAAACUCAGAGUAACACAAAGCAGGGAGCUCCACAAUAUCAGCCCACUGACUUGCUCUUUUGACUCUCAGUAGCAUUGUAGUUGCUAUUUUUGAGGGGAAGCUGAACCAUAGCCAUGCUCGAAGGAGGCCCAUUGUGCUUCUUUUCACCUUUUAUUAUGACAGUUUGGGACCCUAUAGAGUACAUCUGAGAAAACUCUGAAUUCAUCUCAUACUAUUGUCUGUGGUAAAGCGUGUUUUAGCUCUAAUCAGCCUCUUUCUGAAACACUUUUUUUGUUGUUAUUUUUCUACUGAUAUUAACUCAUUCAGUGCCAGGUUCACUAUGCAAUUUUCACCCAGUGCCACCAUUGACCGCAAUAGAAAUUUCCAUAUCUCAUAGGGUCUCUAACCCACUCCUGUUUGUAGUUAUUGCCUGCUCGAUGCAGCGUGGUCAUAUCAUCUUUGCCGAUCUGGAAAAAGAAGCCUCGGAAAAACACAUUUUUACAAAGGAGAGACGUUCAAGCAGAAUGUUGAUCGUCUAUUUCAUUUCACUUCAAACUACUUUACUGGUGGAAUCAAAGCCCUCCCUCCUUGGACACCACUCCUUAUCUGAUUGUGAUGGGUCACUUUGUGAGUCGUAUUGGCCCUGACGCUGCGACGUAAACUACACGGACUGCGGGACUGUCGCUGAAUUCUGGCUCACCAGGCGGCACAACGACAUGCCGACAAACUGUUUCUUGAUUGUCUGCUGACGAUCUGAAGGUCCAGUACCGAGAUCUCCACUGGAUCCAGAGACAGUAGCACCGCGCCCAUGGAGCUUAUGUGCGGAGGCCGUUAGCUAUUGGCUAAUGACUUUGGCAUUUUCCUACUCCCUUCAUAGAGAAACAACGCUCCAUAACGGGGCUAAUUGGCACACUUGAUGGCACACUUGUCACUGGCGAGUUCUUGUUUUUGUUAUUUUAACAUGGUUAUGAUGUAUUUGUCAGCUUUUCUGCGUUCAGAACGACCCCAAACUUAGUUGCAUGUUGGGGAGGAGCGCCCUAUGGCGGAAAACAAAAAAAACUGAAUAAUUUGUCAAAAUUUGUCAAUGGCACUCCGGGCAAAUAAAAAAAUCUGUCCAAAUCCAUCGUUGGCACUGAAUGAGUUAAGUUAGACACAGCUUUUGGGUGUUACUUUACACACAGUUUUGUUUUCAUAAAACAACCUCAAUGUUAUGUCUUUACAGAUAAUGUCGAAGACUAGCUGCUAGCAGAAAAACUUCCCACUGUUUCCUGGUGUCUUCCUGUUUUUAGGUAUAGAAAAUAGCCGUCACUUUACUUCACAACUAAAAGGGAACUUGCGUGAAAAUUUCUAAGACUGAAUCAACAAAGUGCACAGUGACGAAAAGUAGGGCAGUGAAAAUUGACUUUCUGCAAGUGGGCAUGUCCUCAACAGAGUUGUUGAAUGGACCCAAGCAGCAACCUCCAGUCUUGAGACAUAAAGCUGAUGAUGCAUCCUGAGCGCUUGUUUGAGGCUGGCUGCAGAAGAAACCUUAGUUCACACUAAAAAAAAGUUCAGUUGAAUCAGCAUUACUAACUUUGUACGUUGUCAUGAUGGGAAUAUACAUCCGCAUGACUCUUUCCUUUACAAAAGCAAAUCACAGGUGGCAAAAAGUAAUGAUAGCUGGUAUUACACCUGGUCAGAGGAGCAGCAUUGGUGGAGAAUCACUUUUGGAGAGUCUAACAACUUGCUCCCACUCCACACUUGGAGGUUUUCAAUGGCACUUGAUGUGGCUGAUCCUCCACAUGAAUGUGCAGCGGGAAAAUGUGGGGAUAUGGUCACUCUCUCCCCCCAAAAUUUAUCACAAAAGGCUGCAGAAAUCAUUCUUGCCUGUGGCCAUCAAAAUGUACAACCUUUCCCCACAAGUGCCUCAAACUCAGAGAGGAUAGAGUGAGAUAUUUCAACUCUAAAGCUUAAAAUCUUCCACAAAAUCACAUAUAAUGUAUUAUCACAUAAAUGUACAGUCUGAUUCAAACAUGACUUACUGUUAAAGACUCUGAUUUUCCACUUGAUCCGAUUUGUUCUUCUAUCUCUAUUCUCAUUUCUAGAUAGUGUAUAAGGACUACUGAGAUGACUACAUUUCUUAGUGAUACAAAUCAUUUUUCUCAUUCAUAUCCUCAAGUGUCUGUCUUUGAGACAGGUGAAAUAAAAUGUCUCCAGAACAUGAGCUCAGUUCAGUAAGGCUGCGGCUCUCAAAUCAUCUCUGAGCACACACUAAAUCUGAAUGACCAGCACAAGCGCACUUCUCUGAAGAUUUAAUCUUGACACAAGUCAGGAAACAAAAUUAAAUUGAUUUUUUGGCCACAGUUUCCUGACUCCCCCGACCCACCUCAAUAACAAACAUAAAAAGGGGCAAAAUGAAAUGUCUUUCCUGAAACAUAAUAACACACACUGACACAUAUAGAAGCUAAUAAUAGAAGCUUCUGUUGCCGAGCAUUUCAGUGAGGAGACCCGGCCAUGUGUUUCAAAACGAUUUUUCUUGGAAAGCAUCCUGCUAUAGUAAUCUUGUCCUGAUUGCAUCGAUCACAAUCACACAGCUUGAAAUGACACAACUGGAAUUUACUCUUGGGAUCCAGAGAUUUAUGGCUGGGAUAUCAGAAAUAAGACAAAGUGUAUGGUCACUCUAAGUAGUGCAGGUCAGCUUUUGGUAGAUUUCUCUGACAUGAAGUAACUAGCAUGCUCUGAAAAAUAACAAUUCAUAGACAGAAAGCCAAGCAAGGGUGCAAAAAAUUUGCAUUAAUUCACAUUAAUCAAGUUAUAGUAAUAUUACUUAUGUAAAGUGCACUUAUGUUCUUAGUUUAAAACUCCAAUAAAAAAUCCCUGAUUAAAACUGUGGCUCAACUUUUUGCUCCUUAAACAGCAACUUAUAUGAAACUAUUCCAACUCUCAAAUAAUAAACUGCACCAACAAGCAAUUAUGACCGAACCAGCAAUAAAUCCCACUUCAGUUUGCAGCCUGUGCAUAUAAAUGUAUCAAAUUAACCAGAAAAUAGGAUGGGACUCAGACAAUUAGACAAAGAUGGCUGCUGAUAAAUAAAAAUGAGUGGACACCGUAUUGGUUUCAACAAGAAAUAUUCAGCCAUCAAUUAAAGAGCCUGUCACUUUAACAGCAGAGGAAACUUCAUCAGGGCAGACAGCCCUGGGGAGGAAACUGUGGACCAGCUCCUUGAACUUGUUUGUCUCACUGUGCAGCUGCCUAUUUCCAACUUUUACUUCAGUGUUUAUGAAAGUGAACUUUACAAAGUCUGCAUCUAAAUUUGGUGACAUGCAGAUGUAAUGUACUGCAUCAUUUUAUGUGGUAUAGACUCAAGUUUCUUUGCCUGCGUGUUCAAGUCUGCAGCAACUUUGCCUUGUGUGGCUCAGUUACCCUCAGCUGGCCUGAGGAUUGUUGGUCUAAUGUCCAAUGUACAAAAAAUAGCCUUCCAUGUUUAAAUAUACAAUACCCAGCUUGUUCUCUACUGUGGCCCCUGGACACGCUUUCCUUUGUUUCAAAAAGUUUAUGAAGACCUUGGUGCAAUCUGAAAUAAAGCCAAGUGAAAUGCUCAGAGUACUAUAAGUAUUUUACUUGUAUGCAGGAAGAAUCUGAAAAUGGUAAUGUCUUGCAUUUAUGGAGGAACUUUCAUUAAAUGUGGCACAGAAGUAGUGUAUGAAUUGAGGGCUGAAACCUCAGCUGACUUGUUUAAUGACAAUAUUGAAGGAUGAAUUGAUUCCUGUUGCCAUCUUGGACAGAAACAGAUAAUGGCAUCAAGCCCAAUGAAAUUUGUCAAACGAUGAGAUGCAAAAGCAGCUAUUGUGAAUCCGCCAUAAAGGUUUGACGCAGCCCCAUUGACUCAAUGACAUGGACGAAAUCUCAUUGACUCUACUUACUGUUUUUUUGAAAAGCCCAGUGAUGGUGGUUGCCAUCUUGGAAAUGCAGAUUCAACCUAUGUAGAGUCAAUGAGCCGCUGUGAACCAGUCAUAUUUUUGCACCAGGCUGUAAACAUGUUUAAAUCUGUAGUAUAAAUCGAUUUUUUACCAUUGGUGUUCAUUGGUAUUUCUUCUCUGUUAAAGGUGGGGUAGGCAGGAUUUCACUAAAGAGGCAUCUUUUUUUGUGGUGUAUAUACAAAAAGCUUUUAAGAUCAGUCAAUAGCUAUUAGUCAUUGAUGAUAUUUGGUAAUAUAAUGAUAUUGCUGUGUUUUGUUAUGUCUGUGUAGUCAACAUUGUAGUCUAACAAAGCCACUCUCCGCCUCCCCCCACCUGAUUGGUUGUGAGGCUCCUUAGUGCUGAUUGGUAGUGAGGCAGACGCUGCUCCCCCGUGUUGUGAUGCACGUUCCAUAUCCUCGAAUAAUGUGCACGAGUCCAAACAAAGUUAGAGUGCUACAACAUUGGACAGUAGAAACCAACAAGAAAGUACUGAAAACACAAGCAAGAAAACAAAGUAAAUGGUGGAGUAACAGGUGCUUAAAACAGAGGAAGAACUAAGAAGCCGGGUCAACAUCAGCAUAAAUAAUGGGGGACGCUUCGCGACCUUAACAACCCUGUAAUCUUUCUGCUGGACAGGUACACCGCUUUAACAAAGUGAGCCAAGUGUCUGUAACAAUAGUGAUUCUUGUCAAACGGGACCUGCCGCGUAUUUUAGCGCCGCUAAACUGUUAACAUCGGGUCCUGGACUAUGUCACUUUAUCCUAGCUGUAGAAGUCCUGCAAACAUUGUGUUUGCUGGUAGUCUGUUGGCAUCUACUGUAGCACUAAUGCUUUUUACUUUCAUGUUGACUGGGCCCCAUUUGUAAUUAUUUGAAGUAUUUAUCUGCAUUAUAUCUGAAUUCAAUUGAAAUGAUUCGAGCGAGCAGGAGCGUCUGUUUGUGGGCGGGGCUUGCUGGAGCAGAGAGGGAGGGGAGAGGAGGAGCUGAGGGGAAAACUGGUUGGAAGGGGUAGUGUUUACAUUCAAGAUUCCUCCCAAAAACUGGCACUUCCUCAGAUCCUACCUACCCCACCUUUAAAGCCUGCCUCAUGUGGUCAGUCAAAGAACUGCAGUUAGUAUCAUUUUUCAUCACCUGUUACUGUCACUUACACAUAGCAUCCCUUUAUUUUUGUACUUAACAGUGGUUUAACUGUAUUUAGAAAUAAUAAAAAAAAACAUAUCAAGUAAGUUUAUAAUCAAGACUUUGGUUAGUUGCUCUCCAAGAUUCUGAUUGGUUGUUGUAAAUUCUUUGAAUCCAUGCACAAAAUAUUAGUGAGCUUGCUACAGAUUUUUAUGAGUUUAAUUUCACCCCUAAAGCAAGAAAUGCUCUAUACACUGAUGAAUGGUGGUGUGUUCAGGCGUCUGGUAUUGACAUGAAGUCAGCUCAGCCACAGUGCAGGAAAAAUGGAAAAUAAGGCGGUGGGGGUGAGUGGGGGGGUCAAUGAAUUAUUAAUGUUCAGGUCUGCCCACUAUAUGGCCUAUGUGUCAUGUUGAUGGCUCGCCUUUACAAUUCCUGUUUCACACUGUAGCCUGCUCCCUGAAGCCUUUUACAGUAUAGCUUUCUUUCUUUCUUUCUCUCUUCCUUCCUUCCUAUUUUAUAUUUACAUUUCCCUUUAAGGUCACUUUGUUUUUUCUCUCCAAAAAAUUAGCCCAUUUUGAGCACAUCUAAGAACCACCAAGCUGCCAAAGCAAUGACCUUUCCUGUGCUGAAUUACUUUAAUUCAAUUUUCCAGUCAGUCAAUCAUGACAAGACAAAAAAAGGAAUGUGCUCACUCAUAUGCUUUACAUCACCUCCACCUACAGAUAUUAAUGGAAAUAAAGACACAUUUUAAAUACAGAAUUUAUUAGCAUUUUUACCAUUCAAUCUUGAUGCAAGGAGUUUAGAGUAGACUUGACAAACAUACUUUGGAAACAAACAGCAACCUCAGAUGUUGAAUUAGGAGUCAAUGUGGAGGUGCAAGCAACAAACACUUCAAGACCAGAGCUACGUUUUAGGUAAUAACGCAUCUUGACUGCAAGACAGAAAAAAAUGCUAAAAUAAAAGCAUCCAAAAAAACGUUUCCUUGGAUAAUGUCCUCUCCAAAGCAGUUUUAGUUACACAGCCAGUGAAUUGUAUAAAUCAUAAAUUUGAACAUAAUGAGAAAUGUAUGAUGACAUUUAAGUUUUUGAUCAUAUCAAUACUGAAAAUAAUGCAUAUUCCAGCAUAUUUCAAGCUAUGGUUGAAUGAUGUGUGAGUUAGUUGUAGCUUCUUGCAAGGCAGAAGGCUGUGGCCUCAGCUGAGCCUCUUUGCUGGUUUCUUGAGUAGUCGUUACUUAGUUGUAGUCCACAUUUCCAAUAUGGCAACCACCAUCUUCUGGCCCCUUAACGCCGCUUCAGAAACCAACGGUUGAUGUUACUGAGAUAAUGUCCAUGACGGAAAUUCCAGGCAACUAUCAAGGCCGUGGAUGUUUGUUUUCUAUGCUGGUACAGUACAAUCCUCACGAGGCAUCUCUGUAUUUUCACAAGAACAGGAGGCUGUGAGUGAGUGUGUGUGGGUAAGGUAUAGCUUACAAAUCAAAGAAACAUCGUGAACACUAUUCUGAAAUGACACAGACAUCCUUUAAACAUGAGCUGUGGUCUAGGUAAUAGGUAAUAAGACAGGUGAAUGCUCCCCAAUAGCUGUGGUCAGAGCCUGUGAACUGUGGGCCUCACUAAAUGGAUGUAAAUAGGAGUUUAGCCGAGUGUAAUCACAGAGUCGCAGGAAGGUGAGGAUGAAUAAUUCACAUGCUCUCCGCACCUCAUAUUUUCAUUCUCUGCAGGCAAUUUUCUGUGAUGUACAAACUCAUAAACACUCACAUAAAUACACACACACAGAAAAGUAGAAUUGUGCUGCCUUACCUCGGUCCAUCAGCUCUUGAUAAGGGUUAUUUCUCUGUCAGACUUAGACAUGUUCAAAAUGCUCUCUGGGUGCUGAACAGGCCUGUCUCCUCUGUGUCACAUGUUGGGAAAAAAGGUAUUUCUUCAGCCACUUCUGUUACACUCGACAAUGAUCUAAACAAAGCAACACUCAAGGUUUCUCAUAAAAAAGGGAAAAGCUUAUGCCGUAGAUAUUUUCAAGAGAGCUCAAGCUGAUCUUGAAGUGAAAAAAAAAAUGAAGUGGCUUUUGAGUCUUUCCAUCAUGAGAGGUUAUUGUGACUAGUGAUAGCUGUAAAUUUGUAUUGUAAUUGCCACUAAACAAAUGGAAAAUUGCUUUUUAUUAAUUCAAGUGAUUUGUGUUUUUUUUCCACCAGCAAUUAUAUAACUAACCUAUUUUCGCCUUGAUAAAAGCUCUGCAGGUGGCAGGCAGAAAGACUACAUGCUGUUUCACAGCUUUGGUCAAAAAAUGUCAUAGCAAUCAGUAGAUGGCUUGCUGUUAAAGUCAGUACAUCUUUUCGUGCCAAUACAACUGAAUCUUUAUUUUAACUAGUAUAUUUUUAUUACUAAGGACAGCAAAGGAGAGUUAUGAACUGUGGGGAGUCGAGAAUGAGGGAUGAUGUACAACAAAAGGGCGUUGAGAGUCAAACAACUUUUUAUCUUUCUUUUUUUUAUGGCCAACAAUAUCCUUUUCAUGCACUCACCACCUUACUGAUAACUCCUUGGUAAACAGCAGCCAGUUCAAGCUGGAUAUACUGUAUGUCUAAAUGUCAACACAGUGACCUUGGAUUAAUCCACCAGCAUAGACCCUGCAUAAGACCACCACCACAAGUUGUCAGUAACAUAACAGCAGCUAUAUAGCUAACUUAAGUUUUUUUGUAUUGUGACUACAAAGCUGUGUAAAAAGCAACACCCACUCACUGUGCCUAACUUUAUCACAAGAAAAGUAAUUGAAUUGAAAGUCAGGGAUUUUACUUUUUUUUUUUAAACUGCAAAUAGUGCAACACUUUUCAUAACAAUAAGUGAAUAUGAAUCUAAUAGGUCCCCUUUAACACAGUUUUCAGUCAGUGUGUAAAGUGCUCCAAGACAAACAUUUGGAGAAUAAAUAGUUGCAUAAAAGGCAGGAAAAUGUUUCUAAAUUACAGAAAUGUUUGUCUAAGAAUAAUCAUGCAACGCAAGCAGGACAUUCUCCUUCUCUCAUCUCUACUGACUAUUUCAUUGCAGCUCUAAAACACUAGCCUCUCCUCUUUAAUCGUCUUUGUGUCAGAGUGUCAGUGAGACGUUCUCACUGACAGUUACUACAGUUUGUAAUAAUGCAUUCAAAGUCCUCAUAGUGUAAUCUUGUACAAACGCAGUUGCCAAUUCUUAUGUAUGAUUGUUUAAACACCAGCAAUAUUUAACUUCAGAAUAAGACAAAGACUGUGGGUCCUUAUUUAAAAUUACUAUUUGGAAGAGCUGACUCAAGUCAGUAAGCUCUUGUACCUUAAAGGUGUUAAACAUAUUUUUCAAUAGAGGGUGGUUGAGCUUGCAAUCUUUAAUUUUCUUGUCAUUAUACAAUUUGGUUUGGUGCUUUGAAAAUGUCAGCAUGCUCCUGUGAGAAACUCACAAUCACAAAGCAAAACCAAUACUUAAAAUUACCUGAACUAAUACUUUAAUUUACCACCAAUGAUGACCUGAGAAGAAAAGUUAAGAGAGCAGCAAUUUAGAAAACCAACACUAAGGACCUGAAUUAUAAAAGAAUUGUGCUUUUGCAGCCACUUACCAUGAAAUAAAACUAAAACAGAGCAUCUAAAUUGCAAAGCACAGGCUAAAGUAUAAAAGCACGGCAAAUGAUGCUUUAGAGGAAACAGCAGCUCUGCUUUUUUGUUGUUUGCACAUGUUUAAAUUGGUCAUUAUCCAUAUGUGCGGGACAGCUUUUAAGCCUUUAUAUGCAAAUGAGCCCCACUAUUAUAAAUGUCCAACUCACAAACACCAGCCCUAAUAGCCACUCUGAGUACAAAUGAAAUUAACAACAUCUGCAGAGUUGGUGGUAACUGUUGCAUAGUGAAAGAGGCGUAUCAGCAGGUGUGAUCCAUUCUUCAUGAAUUCACCCUGAAAUGAACACUCACUUGUGCCCCACCUCUGUGGACUAAAGAAGAGAAAAGGCCAUCACCCAAUUCAUCUAUUUCUUCCCUCUGAGGACGAACAACGUCUGGACAGUUACAAAAUAACAUGCUGUGAAGCACAAGUUGCUAACUCCUUACUGCUGAUAGAGGUGGGAGUUUGGAUAAACUUGUCUAAUCUAUUGAACAGCUCUUUCUAUCAUCCUUAUCAGCAUAAUUACAGUUUGUCAAACUAAUAAAUAACACACAUGGAUCUCUAUUUAUUUAGGCCCAAACCAUGCUCUCUUUUAAAUCCAAAUUUUUAUCCAAGUAUAACUAACCAUAAUUAGCAUGGUUACAAUGGCUCUACCAGAAUACUUUGAUGUAAAUAAGCACAGAUGACAGAUGAGCUCUUGUCCUGUGGUGCAGUUUGGCUUUUCUUGAGAGCCAAACUUAAGAUGGGAAAGAUUUGACCCAUCCCAUCCAACAUGAGGGACUGUACAAAGAAAAACGUCUUUUAAUAGGCAGAAACCUUGAGCAGGGCCAGACUCAUGUCAGACAGCUAUCUGACACUGCUGAGUUAGGGCAAACACCAGAAUAUAAAAUCGUAUUAAAACGACAAAAGGAGCAAUAAGGAUUUCUCCUUAAGAAAGUGGUACAACAUUUCUUUUUUUUUUUUUUUUAUUCAAGUCAAUCAAUACCUCCAUUCAAGUCUUGAAAUGUUUUGGUAGUUUGAAAACUGGCAUUAAAAUGUCACAUUUCAGUUUUGCUGAUUAAGUCAGGCAGAAGAUUGUACACAUUUGAAGGAAUAUUUUCGUCAGCCUCAUUUUCAGUAUAGCAAAAAAACAUAUACAUCAACAGAAUAUUCACUAAAAAUCAGGGCAUAUUCUUGUUUAGGUGAGCAUCCAUCAAUACCAACAAAGUGGUUGCACUUGAAAUUAAAUUUAGUUGUAUCCUGCAGACGAAAAAACUUGUGAGAAAAACCAAGGAAAUUUUUGCAAAGCAAUUUCAAACUCCAACAAAUCAGGAACAUCAGCUGUGAGAAAGUGGUGCAAGUUUUUCCUGAAAUGUUGGUUGUCAACAGGAAGGUCUGGAGGAAGGUCAUUCACUCACUGUGAUGGGGCCAUGAGGGAGACAGGCUGAGACUAUAUGGAGAGAUAACCAGGGAAGAGGACAGCUAAGUGGCCUCUGAAGGCAGAGCAUGGAGAAGUGUGGGGGUUUUAUAGGAGCAGAGUGUGUAGGACACUUAAUGACGGCUGAAAUGAGAAGCUGCAUUCUGGAUGAGUUAUUUGUGUGGAGGGGAAUCUUUUUGUGAGAAUGUCAAAGAAAGUUUUGUAAAGGUUCUGGCAAUGAUGAUGAUGUGCUUGAAAACAAGCUGAGAGGAAUUCUCGAGUCGACAGAUGUUUUUCAGAAAUUACUUAUUUGUCUGGAUUCCAACUCUUGUGAAGAAAUGUCAAAAAAAUAAGAAAAAGUUUGUUAAAUCUUCAACUUUUUAGGAGUUUUAAGAAACACAAGACAUCAAUAAACAGUGACAAGACCCCAGAGUUUAAUUAAACUUUACUGUAAAGAUUGAUGCCAAACUGUCAGGAGUUUUUUCUCUGAGGUAAAUGAGACGAUGAUGUGAGUAGCAACCUCAUACAACAGAUUACAUUAAAAUCUCAAUAUUGCAGCCAAGUAAGCUUUUAACCAACUGAAGCUGAAUCCAGGGUGAAGUAAUGUAAGGCCAUACCGAUGUCUUCAAGGCCAAUUUUACAUGUACAGUCUGUGCCAAUGAGUCUGUAAGCACACUAGAUUUGGAUCCCUUUACACUUUUAAAACAAAGACGCUUGUAUUUCAUAACCAGUAGAUGAUAAAACAGGGAAUAUGAGGAGUAUAGAGUGGCGGGUGACAUGCAGCAUCCUUGCUUUAAGGUUCUUUUCUGUUUUAUACACAGACUUGUUAAAAAUAAACCAGCAAAGUACAAACCAUGACCAUUUUGAAGUAUUCUGACAUGUAUGUAAUCGAUCACAACAAUGUUUGUUCCUCUGUGAAUUAGGGAUGUAACAAUAUGAAAAUUUCACAUCACGAUUAUUGUAACCAAAAUGAUCAUGGUUAUCAAUAUUAUCACGGUAUUGUUGAAAUAUGUUCAAGAUAUUUAAAAAGUACACACAAACAGGACUAACAUACACAGUUUUCACGAUUCCCUAAGCCCCCACAUCAUGCAUUUAUUUCAAGAUAACUUACCUUUAACUCGCUGUACAGUCUCUGGUGGUUGUCUUGUAGAUGGGACAUCAUAUUGGAAGUGUUUCCACCCUUUGCUAUGAUUAUUAUUUUGGCAUUUUCGGCAAACUGAUUGGCCGUCCUCAAUCAGUGCUCCUUCCGCAUCUUUGUAGAAGCCGAAAUACGCCCAGACUUCAGACUUUGUUUUCUUUGACGGCAGAAAAAUCUCUGCAACAUGGUUGGCAGAACUGCCUGCUGAACUACCCUCUGCCAUGUUUACAAGUUGUGUACCGCGGUGUAUCAUUUUACCGGUAAUCGUUACAUCUCUACUGUGAAUGCACCUGAACUGAAAAGUGGUUUAAGCAGCUAAGAGAAGGGAUGCUAUCUGACCUCAGGGGUUGGACUGCAGGUUGUAUUUACUCCGUGCUGUCUUCUGUCUUUACUCCUCAUGGCCACAGAAGUGGUCACAUUUUGUCAGACAGAAUCAAGCCUGACUGCAGUUUUAUUAUGAUGAAGGUGUAGGAUGUCCAAACCUGCACCUGUUGAGAGAAUCAGGGAAUGAGGGAGAUGAUGUUUACACAGUCCAGGGAGGAGUCCUGGACAAGGAGGAAAACACCUGCUGGUGUUGUGCUGUCCAUCACAAAUAAGUAAACCUUUGAUAACCUUUUUUUAAGUAGUCUUGACAGGUAUUAGAAUCAAACAGUUCCUCUUACCACGAGUACAGACAGAGAACAAAAAGUAGAGCGCAAUGAAGUGUGGACAGUUGCCAGACUUGACAGCUGAAUAAAACUGGCAACACAAUUAGGAGCCCAUCAGCCAAUUGUCUCUCUGCAAUGAUGUAAUUUUACACUCGACAAGUACUGAGUGACCCAGAAGCUUAUUAGAAGCGUCCAAAGUUUGAGUAGGAUCUUAACCCCACUUUCAAACAUCAUCUUUGAUGAAAGAUUUCACUGCUUAGAUUUUCUGAAGAUGAAUUUAACUCCAUCUGCUUCUGUCUCUUCCUCUGUGCUGAUCUAUUUGUAAUUUACUUCAAUCCAAAGUGAUAAAAGCUACCACUGCUGGCAAUUUUACAAAGCUGUCGUAGAAAAUACAGAGCCAGACAGACAAAGAAGGAUGAUCAAAUGUGCUCUCGGCACUGUGAGCUUGAAAUAUCAUUACAACCAGUAAUGUCAAGCACGCCAAAAAACACGAUGAAAUGUCAAAGUCUCACUCUUGCUUUUUAUGCCUCCUCAUGUGCUUUUGAUUAGGGAGAUCUCAUAGAUUCAUAAAAAGAGAAACAUAUGUCUUGAAGAAACUAUCACAAACCAUCAUCUAAUUCUAUCUGUUUCUUUGGCUUUGCACAUUUUAAAUGCUGAAAGUGACUUUAAUUUGUACUCCACUGUUUUGUUCGGAAUUUGAAUAGAAGAGAUUGUUUUUGUUUUGGCUCCAAGCAGUGCAAUCUAGCUGUUGGAAAAGGUCAACUCUUCAGUUCUUAUGUAAAUUUCAAAGACCUAAUCAGUGCACAGCUCUGAUAUUUCAAUUGAGUGUUUUAGCAUCCAUUUGACAAAGGUGGAUCAUAUUAUCAGUGGAGAUUGGUUCAAAGCCUCUGAUGUGAAUUUGAUUAAAGACUAUUGAGUUUGAUUUUUCUGCUUCUAUUUAAUUUUCUUGUUGAGGUUGAUAAAGUUGCUGAAACUUCAAUUAGAUUAGGAAGAAAACAGCAUCAAAGAUAUGGUCCCUGUGCAGUAUAAUCUUUAAUUUAUGUAGGAGGGGGAUGUUUGGAUUGUUUAUAUCAGUCAUUCUACCACUAGGACAACAGAGGAGAAGAGCUGAGUCUCUAUCGUUUUCUCAAAGAAAGGAUCUCUGUGGAUCUGAAGGGGUUUGGUUAUUCAUUCCACCACAGAGAGACAACAGAGGAGAAGAGUCUGGCCAGUGAUUUAGGUCUUGUUGUGAUGAGAGCAUAAUGAGCAGGAGGGAGUGUUGACUGUACAUGCAGGGAGGAGUAGUCAGUGCGUGAUAUUACAGGAGCUGUUUUGAGUGCGCUGUCUGAUCCUCCUGAUCUUAUAGAGGGUGAAUCCGCAGGAUUCAGCAUCAAGGCCACACGAACCUGAAAUGUCAGUUAGUCAUCAAUCAUAACUUAAAUGAUCAGUAUUGUUAAUUUUCAAUUGUAUACUAAGACACAUUAAGUCUGUGGAGUAUAGUAAUAUGAAAACUUUUAGUUGUGAAGAGUUCAGUGCCUCCAAUGACUGUUUUUGUCUGGGUAGCAACGACAAACAGAAGUCAAUAAAGGAGUUAUACAGACACCAAACAGCAUGAUGAGAACCAAUGGAAAACCGUAUUUAGGAAAAUGUUCAUGGUUGUGUUGUGAUGUUGAAGUUUGGCCAGAAGAAGCUCGACUCUAUGACCAGCUUAGUCCAGUCAGUAGGGGGAGCUCUUCACCUUUUGGCGUCACGUUGAGUAACCUGUCAUGUCAUUCUUUUUUAUACACUGAGGUUUCACCUGCUGCGUUUUACUGAAGAAAUGCUCCUUCUUUUUGUGCAUGAAUAUGCAGACAGAGUGUGAGAGUAAACUUGAGCAAUUAAUGAUCUCAACAAGAGUACACAGUGCAAAAACUAGGUGCAGAGUAGGUCUAGCUUAUUGGAGGAAACAGAACAUUUCCUGAACCAGAUGUCUCUCUGCAGGAGUUCAUUAGCAGAUACAUGGACUCACACAUCAGCAGAACCCAGCGCCCUCCUAUAGUUUUUGCUGGACUGAUUCGAGCAGCCUGUGUGGAAUUCGGGAGCACAAUGCUGGAAAUUUCAGCCUUUAAAUGAAUCAAAAAUGACACUACACAAUUAUCUUUUCUUCUACACACAGGUGCUACUUUUUCUUGACAGGCAUUACAGUGAACGUUUCUGAGAACUUGCAGAUAGCUUCAAAUCAAUGACAAAUUAUUACGUCUUAAAAAAAGAAACCAUUUUAAAUCAUCAACAGCUUUUAUAUUGAGAGUUUUCAACAUCGCUUGGUGUGGAGAUAAUAAAAACUAUUUUAAGAUUGUAUGCUGAUCUUUUAAAGAACAAGAGGAUAACUUUUCUCAGUAACCAGCAUGCAAUAUAUCAUCAUCAAGAGGAAAAUAUUUUGAUCAUAAGCGUAAAAUCACCUUCAGCUUGCUCACAACAUUGUCUCUGCUGGUAGAUAAGGUCAUCAUCAGUCAUGGAUAGCCUGAGAUGAAGAUAGCAUGUCUAGCCUCCUCUUCAGAUAAACCACACUUCAAGGGCUUAUUUUCAGAAAGUACAUUUAAUGUAAAGCGUAAAGCAUGUUUAUUACUCUAUCUGAAGAGUAAAUAUAUAUAUUGAAGUGUUGAUAUUUGUAUGAAGAGUGUAUCUGUAUAAUGUACUUGAUGUAUGGUAUAAGCGGUAGGUCUUUAUAAGCAUUGCUUCUGCCUACACCCUUUUGGUCAUAUUAUACUGAAACAAAUCCAAAGAUUACUGGUUUCAGGGUAUUAAAAAGUGCUUUUAUCAAAGUAAUGUUAAUUUGAAGUGGUUGUAGUCAUUGUCCUCAGCUUUAAUUCUGCAAAAAAGUAACUUUUCAAACUAUCCCUAAAGCAUUACUUUAACCUGGAGAGGAGACUGUGAUGUAUAUCCUGAUGUCAUGAUAACAUGAGGAAGCGGCUGCAGCUGCUUUAGUGGGUAUUGGCAUAAAUGAAGGAUACUGAAUUCAAAGCUGCAUCCAUUUCUGAGUCAAUGCAGACAUUGAUUGUGCAUCUCUACUAUUCAAACAUGAAAUGUUUUCGCUGUCCAGCAGGACAAAAUGAGCACAAUCUAUCAGUGAUGGUCAACUGGGUUGUUUAUCAGUAAGAAUAGCCAGGUGUUUUAAUUUCCAGCUAUUAAAAAUUCACUUUACAACCAACAGUGGAUCCUGAAAGGCCCCAAACUGUUUGCCAGUAACAGGAUUAACAAAAGCACUGUUACUGUGCAUUGUCUGCUUUGUCUGACACCUGUGUGUAAACUCUGCACAUUAUUUAUCCUUUUUUUUUGUUUCUAUUGUUCAAAUGCAAAUAUGUUAGCUAUGAAUGCUGUGCUUACAAAUUGUUGUCGAAAGAGCAGCUGACCAUUUGUUUGGAGAAAAGUAGAAUUGGCCCCUUUCAAGUGAAAAUCAAAAUAAAUGGCUCUACAAACCACUGAAAGGAUACCAGGACAUAACCCUCAAGGAGGAUGAUUUCAGAGAGCGACACUGCUGAAGGUUUAUUUGGUUACAUAAAAUAAAACAAAAGGUCCAGCUGAGAUUUUCUGCAGCACAGUUAGGGAAUCUGUCUUCAUCAAAACACAGAAAACCAAGAUCUCUGAAGCUUGAGUCCCUGGGGAAAGGCAUGUAACAGAGCAGAGCAGGCUUGAGAAUAGGGCUUAAAUCUCAGCCUUGUCAUAUAUUCAAAUGAAUGGAUUAUUUUUCUACCUCUUGAUUGGAUGGGGUCCUCAAUUAUUAUUACAAUGUGAAUUAACAUUGAAAAAAAAUUUUCAGUUAUCUACUGUGCCUUCACCGACGGUAAUUUUCAUUGACAGGAUCACAUGGUGCAUGAGGGAAGAGGAGGUUUCCAGUUAGGGAGCCUCAAAAUUUAGUCUCUGCUUUUUGCAGAUGAUGUGGUUCUUUUGGCUUCUUCAGACUAGGACUCUCAAGGGGCAUUAGGGGAGUUUGCUGGUGGGUGCGAAGUGACUAGGAUGAGAGUCGGCGCUUCCAAAUCCCAGGCUGGAACAGUGUUGUUCUCUCAGGGUAGGGAGUUAGUCUUUGCCUUAAGUAAAGUAGUUUAGGUACUGUAUAUUGGGGUCUUGUUCACAAGGGAGGGCAAAAUAGAUAGUGAAACUAAUAGGCAGAUUGGUGCAGUGUCAACAGAUUCCUUUGCAUUGAAAGGAGUCUAGGAUUUACACAUAUCACCUGGCCUGGGGAUCCCAAGGCCUGGAGUUUGUUCCCUUCUAGAGAUCACUUGCAGUGGCGUAAACAUCACAAAGCAUCCUCAUAGUUGCAGCUCUAGUUGACUGUGAGGAAGAUAACUGGAGGAAGAGUUUCCCUAGAGGGCUCUUCUUGAGGAAACAUGAUUAAAUUUCCUCUGGGUAUCGCUAAUAGCGCAGAAAGUACAAAAAGAACCCUCCAUGGUAGUCGUCCUGUGGAUAAAAUAUCAAAAAGUCCCAAUCAGGAUGCCCUGCUGGUGUAAAAAUGUAGUGAUGCUCAUCCACUGGAGUGAAAUGUGACCAACUAACCAACUAAAAAAAUGCUUUCGAUGGUGUCCCAAAUCCACCAUGUUUGUGUAGCUGCUGACCUUUAACCUUGUAUCUAAUGCUUCUUUCAUAUUUUUGCCAGUGCCCCUCAGCCUGCCCUAGUCUUCCACUGUUACAUAUUCAUGAUUAGUUGGAUUGGUAUUUGGUGCAUGCCAGUUUUUCUGUCAAUAUAUGCCCAAAGUUUCAGCACAGCCAGAGACAAAUAAUCAGUUUCAGCCAGUCAGUGCAGAAAAAAAGAUGUAUUGUAAUAUUAAAAAUACUGUGCAAAGAACAAACUGUGAGAUGCCCAUGACUGAUGACCCUACUGUGUCAGUUGCAGAAGACAUAUGACCACAAGAAAUUUGUUGGCAUUGAAACAAGAAACAACACAGCAGACACUGGAUGAUAACAUAUAGCAGCUCUGAUCCGAGCUCCUGCUGCUUCAGGCUGAUAAGAAGUCAGGCGGUAAAGAAAAAAAUAAACAUUUGACUGUAUACAUCCAUCAUAAAGUCUAAUAGUAAAAACUGUUGGCUGUGAUUUGUGAGUAAAGUUCGUAUUUGGACAUCUUGUUGACAGUGGUCCCUGCAAAUUAAAUCCUGUUAUUGGAAAUGUCUUGGUGCAUCAGCUCAUGUUGGAUACAAUAUUGCUAUGCUAAAGAAAUAAAACAAUAAUAAUCCCAUAUAUGGUCCUCACCUUUUUGCUAGUAGAAAACUUUUAAAAUUGAUUUUAUGUGGAUUUGGUGGUAUUGACCAAGAAAAAUAAGUAAUUCACAAACAAUACCUUUGGCUUAAAGGGAUAUUCUGGCAUGAAAUUGAGUAAGGGUCAAACACACCGUAACACUGAGUUCGACACCCCCUCGAGAGAUAAAUGUUGCUGACUGCUUGCUUCUCUGGUUAUAUCAACUUUAGUAAUGACCGCACGAUAGCAAUACACAACGGUCUGUAUCUCCACAUGCAAACCUCAACCAAAACGCCACUCUAUAGCCACAUAUAAUGCUCAGAACAGCACCGAACUUCAUUAACAGUACAUAUAGGGUACUAGCCAUAGCACUAGCCACCAAACAUCUUUUAAGCUUUGCCUAAUUACUUUAGUAAAGAGACUAAACACUUGUUUAGGAGGAGGAGCCCAGAUGAGUCCAUCACUGACUGCAGCGGAUCAUUGAUGCAGUGAUGGACUCAAUGUUUGGUGGCUAGUGCUGGAAGAGAAGGUAAAAAUGGAGUUUCUUCAAAGAGUCAGCACAUUGGCUCGAAUGGUACUGGUUAAAUGGUGGUUUUGUGGUGAUAAAAUAGAUUAGAUUAGAAAAUAUCCUAAAUAGCUUCACAUAAUUUUCAGAUAAAAAAAACCCCUCAAAUUCCUCUCAGAGGUGUGUUAAAAUACCAAUAUUUCAGCCUCUACAAUGGUUUAUUUUACCUGCUGUCUCUUUUAGGCCAGGUUUGAGCAGUUUACAUCUAUUUUCUAAGAUUAUUUAUGGACAUUACCUUGUGAUUUGAAACUUUGCAUACAUUGCAACUUUGUGUUUUUUGUUGUAAACUUGAAAAAGUUUACAACAAUACAUAGGAAAUGGUGAAAUAUUCCAUGUAUAAAUCACAGUCAUUUCUGUUGUUGAAAUGGGACAUUGUGAUUGUUUUUUGUACUCUGUAGAGCAGGAAUUAGGACGUUUUACUACUUAGAUUAAAUGUAACAAAUAUAUGAAGACUGUCCCCUAAGACCACCACAAUAAAAUGGUCCAUCCAAGCCUCUGUUGACUAUCGAUGCUUGAUUUUUGCAUCUAAUCCCCUGUCUUACUUUUAAUGCUUCACUACUUACCAGGACACACAGGUGUAACCUGGGGCUUUCAAAGCAAUUACUCCUCAUCAAUACCCUCAAUCAAUUCUUCAGAAAAUAGCAUCUCCACCUGCAGUUCAUAAAGUUUAGUGUGAGGACUGUGAAAGGAUUUAGACAAAAACAUAGUGGUCCAGGUACAUCAGACUUGAUCUACUUUAAAAAAUACAAGAAGUCUGCUCUUUAAAAAACCUCAACAUGUGUUAUUUGUCUCACAUUAAAAUUCAGCCAAUCAUCCGUCUGCCUGGCACCUCAAGUAGGCUUGACAGCUUUCGUACGGCGUCACCUGAUUGUAUUGCCACAUUAAAAUAAUAAUCUAGAGGAAUCUAGAGACAGAUUGGAAACACUGUAAAAUUAUAGGUCAUCAUAUUAUGAAAAAUGGUUGAGUAAAGUUUAAGUCGUCAUCAGUCCUCUUUUCUCUUUGCUCUGAGGGAAUUGGCAGUCGCUAUCUGAUACACUGACAGUGUUUUCUUUCACUUGGCGGACACAGUCAAAUGAGUCCCUGCUCAAAUAACAGUUAUUUGUGAAAUAUGACAAUACUUCACUUUGCCCGGUCACUCUGUUUCUCUGUUUUUGUCCAUCUUGAAUGGUUGCACUGAAGACCAUUAUGGACUACUUGUGACAACUUCUCAAACGUGGUUGUGCUCAGGUCACAUAAAGACAUGUUGGAGUUAUCAUUUAAAAAUACUGUGGAGAUGAAUAAACAGUCACUUUUCUUUCUAUGUUCCUUUUACACAUCCUUUAUGAUACCCUCAACAAGAACCACUGUUGUUUUACCAUGUUUUUACAUCAAUUUUUGAUGGUAAAUGUUAAUUCAUAUGAAAUUACUUUUGUAUUUAUGAUUUCAGUUUCAUUAGAAAGUUUUUUUUUUAUUAUUUCUUGUUUUACAAGAGAAAGGAGCUCAAAGGAGCUGACUAACUGUUCUUGUUGAUUUUUCCUCUUUAGAUAAGGACCAAACAGCCUUUCUUCGGUAACCUUCUGAGACUUGAAACAGAGCUACAGGUAAGCCAAUCGCACACUGUUCUUUGUGUAUAAAUGAAAAGGUAGUUCAAUAGAUAUGUAAGCAGCAUACCUCUCCACAUGCCUCCGUCAGAAUUACUCAUUUGGCUUCAGUGCUUUUGGCCAAAUCAAUCAUUAUGUUAAUCUGUGCUUCAGGAGCAAAACAUCUGAGCUGAUCCUUUAUGAAAAUAAAUUAAUUUAACAGAUCCAAUUAAUACACACUCAGAGUCUUGCCUUGAGAUAUUAUUUGGAGUUGUGGCAAAGAUACAAGAGGAGAGCAAGAAUCUCUCUGAGAAUUAUUUGUGACUUUGGCACUUCAUCCUGUAACCAGCUAAAUUAAUUGUUGAGGGGCUCAAGUGAACAUUUUCCCAUAAUGCCAUAGUGUAGUUAAGCACUAUUAAAAAAAAAACUACCGCCUGUUGGAGCUAACAUGUACAGCAGAGUAAAUGCAGAACGGGAGGAUGUUGUAUAUGGUUAAGCAUAUGCUCCAUAAGUCUCCAGAACAAGAAUUAAAAGCUGUAAAGACUAUGCAAGCCACUAUCCAUAUGUUGAGGGGAUUUUCUUUGAUUAAAAGUUGGUGGUUCUUGGCUCUUUCUCUGCUGUCAAAACUUUGUAAGUCUUAUUUUAAAUCACAACAGCAGGUGUAUAAUAUGUAUAGCAUCAAACACCCUAGAACACAAAGCUUUUAAAAUCAAAUACACCAAAACUCCACAAUAAAGAGGAAUAAAAAAAUAUCUUCCAAAAGUCUGAAAAAGAAUGUCAACAGUACUGUCAAUGCUGAACUUCCAUGUAUUAACUACAAGCCAAUCUCAGCUGCCAUCAUGCCAGAGGUGGGCAGUUUCCCUGUCAAUCGCAGGGCUAACACAGAAAGACACAACCGCACACACCUACAAGCAAUCUAGAGUGACCAGUUAACCUGACAAUCAUGUCUUUGGGGUGUAGGAAGGAGUUCGAGUAUCCAGUUGAAGCCUCACACAUAUGAAUAGAAAGUUUUUCACUCCUGCAAGAUCACUGGCUUAAUACAUAAUGUCGCCUAAUGGUUGGCUGAUUGCACUUUCAAAGUCUUAACUCUGGCAUUUCACCAGAACCUCUCUUUUACUGCCAGAACCAACCAUUUUAGGCCAAAGCAUGAUGAGAAUGAAUUGGUUGUGAAAGUUUUUAAUGCUAACAGUCUUUUUAGGUGAGUAAUUCGUUGGAGGUUACAUAAUGUUUUUCACAGUGUAAAUAUCUAUUUGUGUCGCUAGCUGGCUUGAGUUAUUUAUUUGGACUGGCUGAUAGAGGAUGUGGAUCGUAGUGGAGUUCCUGUGAGCUUGCCCAUGUCUUCUGUGACUCUGUUAUUAAAUUGGGCGUUUUGACGUUUGGCCAAAUGUAGAUCGAGUUGCUUUUGGAACUGGCCUCGGGGAACUGCAGCUUUGGCACCUCUAUGUUGGCUUCGUUUCUCAGCUGUUGAAGUUGCUGAUUAGUUAGAUCCAAUCUCAAAAUCCAUCAGUUUUUGUCUCACAACCAUAUUGCCUAUGGAAGUAGUAGCCAAUUUUUAAGGGUGGAAGCUUCUGGUGUUACCAGAAAUUAGCAGUAAAAGACCUGAGAUGGGAAACAAUGAAAAAACAGACAAUGAGCUGCAUCUAGAUACAUGUAUUUAUUUAUGCAGGGUGGCCAGAGCUAUACCUUCAUUAUAUAACCCCUUAUGGGUUCUAGGAUUGUACUAUAACAGAUUUAAUCCACCUAUUUAUUCUCCACUCUUGACUGUUUUCUAGGGUGCAGUUAAAGCUGAUUGAAUGGUGCACUACAGACGAAAAAAAAAUUGCAUUUUUACAGUUAAUGUGAUUUAAAAAUUUAACAUUGCACAUUAGAUAUUCCUGUUUGCAUUAAAAGCAUGCAGCGCCACUGUGAAUCUGUUUGAAAAAAACAAGAUGAACCUCAUUGAAAUUUCAAAUGUAUUCAGAAAAAUCUGAGGUGCAGUACACAUUUCCUACAUUCAUAUGGGAGCAAACAAACAAAAAUACACACCCACUCUCCAACAUAAAGAGGGGGUGUUGUGCUUUUUUCAGACUAUACUUCCUUAUUGCUACCUCUUUGAUAGCCGUUCAUGAUUUUCAGUUAUAAAAAAGCCUUGCAUUUCUCACUUCAGUGUAUUAAAUUUCAUUAUUUCAGCCUCCACCUGAAAUGCUUCGUUUUAGCUGCUGUCUCUCUAAGGCCUCUUCAGUUGUAUUUCUCUGCCUGGAUGAUGAACCUUUGUUGAAAUACUGUCACCUGAGACCUGUUAAAAAAAAAGAAAAACACAUUUGGUCUUAAAAGGCCUUUUAAGGAUUAAGACUCAGUGAAACACAUGUCUACCCUUGGCCUUACUCCUUAUUAUCAGUGACUCUACAUUAAGUUAAAUAUCUCAAAUGGUUUCGUCAGCUGUAAUCUUUGCACUAUUAACACUGCUAUGAUGUUUCUGCAUUGAAAAUGUCUGAAAUAUUUGGUGUAAGAGCCACUGAGAGUAUGUCACACCAUGAACCGGCCUUGUGGGAGGUCUCAGGCGUUAUUUACUACCCAGCAGUGGCACUGUACAGAGCUGCUGUUAUUGUGUUAUUCAUGCUGUUUUCUUCACACACAGCGUCUGUUUAAUGUUGGCGCUGUUAACACCCACAUUUGUUUGCACAUUUUCAUUGCACAAUUAACAUUUUAGAAGACUGCACAGAUGGAGAUAUAUGAAAACAGUGAGUUAAGUUCAACCCAAACAUCACUCAUUCCUCUUCAUGUCAUCACUUGUGGGUUCACAGGUGAGGGUUGCAUUAAUGAUUAACAACUUUCUCUCCGCACGUCCCGGUGUUAUUGUCUCAUCAGCCUUUGAAUCUCUCUUGACAACAUGUUGGAUAAACUGUGGGAGGGUUAACGGGAUCAGAUGCUACUUUUGUCCUUUGAGGCCCUCCUCUAAUCUCCCCCCCACCUUUCCAAACAAAAGCUUGCAUCAGUCCUGCUUGCAACACACAUUCUUCCGAGACAAAAAUCAAACAUGCAGUUUAGCAUUUUAAGCACAGAAAUGCUGUUUAGAAUGUGAAAGUGGAGCGUUGGCUGCAUUUGCACCCUGCUCAGCACAUUUCUGCGAGGGCUUUAUCUUUUUCUUAAUCUUUUCAUGCUGGAAACUCACAAACAGAAAUCUCAUCACUCAAAAUACUGGCUGUCAUCUCUUGCAUUCAUAUUAUUUCUGUCCUCACUGCCUAGUUCUCUCCAGGAUAAAGUGGCACUCUCAGGUUAAUUUAUCCAGAAAUGCUAUUUCAUCAUUAUUAAUAAGGAACAAAAAUACAAUAGUCGAAACAGAAACAAGACCUGUCCUGUCCUGCACUUCUGUAUGUAGCCUUUUAUUAUAAACUAUCAACACUUUCAUAUAUAAUUGUACACAUUUGAUCAAGUGUACAGUUAAACUCACCAUAGAAAUAUAAGGAGUUGGAAACGUAUAAAAUUUGGCUCCUACAGUCACAACUGCAUGGUGUGUGCAGUUUUUCUAAGUUUUAACACAAUGGCCUGACUUUCACACUGUUCUAAUGCAGUCAAGUACAUCCAAGUUGGCAGCAUCUCUCUGUUUUUAUUGAUGCAAAUUAACUGAGUAUAAAAAUACUUAUUGUUUGUGAUUUUGAAGGAACCUGACACAACAAUUUCAUGUAAAACAAAAACAGCAGCUCGGUAUGGAAACAGUAAUUGAUGACUAAUGUGCACUCAUUAAUUUUAAUUUAACGAGUGUCACAUGUUAAAGUAAUACUCAGUGAUUUAUUUGCUGAAAGACUUUUUGCAUUUCCUGCCAACUGUGAAGUCAGUUACUGCACAAAGUUGGGAUGUAGUUUGAAUUGCAUAACACCCUACAUAGUUUGCUCAGGCUGAACUAAAUGAGACAGUCUGGUUGAUGCUAAGUUUUCAGGUCAUGUCACUAACUGUUCCUGCCUUUACAUUUGUGGGUCAUAGUGCCAACCUGUUGUUUAGCAAUGAGCAGCAAGCUAAUAUAGCUGGCAUGAUGUUACCUAAGCAUGUUAACACUCGAACUACAAAUUUGAACUUCAAAAUUUACAAUGUUUUAACAUUUUUAGAAUAAAACCUAUACACCAGUCGCACCCUGACAUUUCCCUUUUCAUUCUAACAUUGUUUUAUCAAUAAAAUUUCAAAACACAAAAGAGAUCGGAGUAUUACUACCUCGAACUAUCAGAGCAGUCAAAUUGACUGCAUGCAUUUUACAAAGGGUGUUAUAUUUCACUAUUAGCUACAUUUUCCUGCUCUUUCUCCUGCUCUAUUGUUUGUUUGCUAUAACUUUACUUCAAACUCAAGAGACUCAAAAACAUCAACUAGAAGAACAAUGACAAGUAUGGAGGCUUCAGCCUUGCUUCAGAGCCUUGAUGAGGAAGAAUCCGAUGGAAAAGCAAGUUCAGGAAAUCGUGUGUCCUGGUAUUUUGAAUGAGCUUCUAAAAAUCUGUCAUUAUAAUUUUCAUUUUGUGAACUGGUAUGUUUAUUUUUUAUCUCUUCCACCAAUUUAUUAUCAUUUUUUAUUGUUGAGUAUCCAAACUAUGUGCAAAUAAAAACUGAGCAGUCAAAAUGACUGCUUACGGUCAUUCUGGUAGUUGCAGAAUUUUGGUAGACGGAGUACAAUCAUUUCAAGCAUACAGGUGUCUCUUCAUUGGUCCACUGAGUCAAAAUUACACUCUUAAAUUCAGCUGUGUCUUAUUGGGCUGACUUUAUUUUUGUUUCAAUCCACUUGUAAAGAAUUGUGGGAUGAGGAUGCAUGGCUUCAGAUAUCUGUGAUAUUUUGGUUUUGAGGAAGCCUCUGAGAUUAGAGAACCUUUGUGACAAAGCUCUGCAAAUUUACCUUUGAGGGAUUCAGCCCCGCAGUUAGGAAACAGCUUGACAACAGGAAGUUGAUAGUGUUUUCAAAGUAAUUGUUCCACUGCACAAAACUUGAAAAAAUUAUGCAUCACAUAGUGAAACUACAAACAGGAGUUAACUUGUUUGGUGCGUUUAAUGUAGCAGGUGGCUUUUAGAAGCAUUAAAACGGAUGUUUAUUUUAGCUUUUAGGCUCUCCGUCUGGCAGUUUUCUCUCUUUGAUUUACAUGAUUCAGUCAGCCCAGGAUGCACAGUGACACCCAUUCUAUACCAAUACUGUCCUCUUAGUCCAGAAAUGUUUUCACACACUAUUUCAACCUUGGAAAAAUGUAAAAUUGAGUUUUUUGAGCGUUGGUUUUAAGUUUGAAUAUGUAAAUCAGUUCUAGAGGACAAACAUCAGAUCUGUGACUACCUCUAUAUUCAUACAUGAUUCAGUCUGGGGCUGAUGUGCUGUAUAUUCAUGAGAGUGCAUCUUUAGAAUAAGUUAAAUUCACUGUGGCACCAGGGCACUUUGGUUUUAACAAGUGCAGGAGUUGUUAAAGUCAGGAUAGUUUCCACUCGCACGUAGAUUUCACAUAUCAUGAUAUAUCCCUGAUGUGGGGAAAACCAGGUUGGAAUAAAUUACUGAGUGGAACAAAAACGAUCUGGAUCUCCUGCAGCUGCCUCUACCAGAACUUUGACCUGACCACCAUUUUUAAGCUGCCUGUGAAAGCAAGACAAAUUUCAAGAGAUUUACAAAAAUUAUAAAAGCUCCACCUGGAAAUCUCCAUCUUAUCACAGCCAACACUGUCUCUGUGGCCUGGUGACCCUGAGAGCUGUACUGCUGGGAGUAUUAAGCUCUUGGUGCGCCGCGAGGGCACAGACAGAGAGAUUUUACUCCUCAGAAGUGAGCAGGGGCCAAAGGUAAAGUGAGAUACCCAAACUGAGCAGAGCGGGGCCCUCUCAAGAGUCGAACAGGGACAAGGGAGCCAGCAGGAAGGUGUCUGAUGGUUUGUUUACCGAGCGAAGUCAAACAAGGACAAGUCCUUAUUGGCCCUCUGCCUCAAAAAGACAGAUUGGUGUACUGGUGCUUGGCACACAACUAUGAUAGGAUAGUUAGUUUUCUUUAUCUAAACAAAAUAAAGCAUCAGUAAUGUGUGAAAUGUGGAUUUUUUUUCUUUUGUCUCUCUUUCGUUGUGGGUAUUUAAAACCCAAAGGUAGACAAAAAGGUGAUGCAAAGAGAGGUGUUCUGGCUGGACCUUAAAUGCACCAAUGCACAUUUUGCAUCCUUACAUGCUGGUGGAGCCUUUUAAGCUCCUAUUUGGAGUCAAUUACUCUACAGCUUUUUGAGCAAAGUACUGUAGUAGUUUUGCUUCUUUUGCCGCAGACUGAUUUUUGUCUUUUCAAACAGAUCAGUCUAUUCAGAUUGUAAAAAAAGACAGUUGAGACUGAAAGUGACUGUAACCACCCUUCAAAAACACACAAGGUUUACAGAUUUUACAGACCUGUGGCGUUCCUGCAGGGUUAAAGUAUUCAUUAGUGUUAUUCAUUCUGAUUACAGUUUUACUGUCCCUUAUAAUUUGCUGAUUAAAUGAUAAAACAGGUUCAUGAGUGAUCAUGCACUGUUACUCAAAGACAUACAUGUUUGGUCAGAGAAACUGGCUUCAGGUUCAAGAAUUGCUCAAGGCAUUUAGAAACAGCCUAUAUAGGAAAACCUCCCCCUGAAAGAGGUGGAAGACAUGGGCAGAAUGAAAUUGGGAUGACUCUUAGUCUGACGCAACAAGUGUGCUCAGAUAAUACAGUAAGUAAUUUAAAUCAAACAGAUUUAAAAAUGUAACACUUGUGCUUGAAUAAGUUUUAUUCCAGCUAUGGUCUAAUCUUUUUUAAGCUAAAUAAUUCUGCUCCGCUUCAGUCCGUGAACCCAUCCUCUUUUCGAUAAUAGAACACAUCCUCAGGGAGUGACAGCCAGAUUUCAGUGCAGCCAGUAAACGGGGAUGAAGGACCUCCUGCCAAAACUCUCUUUUCUGUCUUUGUUUACAGUCUGACUGACAUGAUAAAGUGAGGAUGAAUAUGGUGUUGAGAAACUACUGCCAGGAGGGCAGUAGCCCUUUUCAUAUCACUGGUUCAAGGCAUGAUAUUUACACCCUUGUAUUGUCUUGUCUUCAAAAUAAAGGCCACAUAGACGUAAAAGUUGAACCAAAUUGUACCCUGGCACCACACCCUAAGACUGAGUCAAGUCCUGAGACCUUACUAUUCAGGUACAAGUUGAAUCUGAGUCACUAAAGAAGAACCUGAGUUGAGCUAAAUCUUUUUAUGAAGCUUGUACGAAAGAGGAUUAGGGCUACAAGCAGAGAAACAAAUAAUUACAGAAGGGAGAUUUUUUUUUAAUUACCAUUUCGAGAUUAAAGUCAAAUUUUUAAAAAGUCGAAAUGAAAUGCCGUAUGGUUUAAGUUUGUCGUAGCCAUCCAUGUGCCAGAGUGCAUUGGAUCCUCGGCUUUGGUAAUGCCUGCGCCUCAGACGCUGGGCUCGUCUGUGCUCCAUGCCCUCAGGAUCAAUCAACUUUAUUAGUUGUCUUAUAUCUUAUAUCUUGCGAUACAACAAAACCUCGCUGUAUAGCACGCAGGUGUAACCACAGAUAACCCUGCAUCUCCAUCAUAAUCUUUGGCACAGCCUUUUCAGAGCCCAAAUACUUAGGACAACACUGUGUUUGUGUGCUAAAAGAGCAAGGAUUUCCUUGUUACUGAAUCCAAUUCUUAAGUACAUAUUUACAAACUGUUCUACAGAGGACAUGUUGUCGAGUGAUGAGUGACGAUGCUUUUGAUAUAUUACCAUCAAUCUCAACAUUACGACUUUAUUCAUGAAAUUUCUUCCUUAUUUGCGCCGACUUUAAUCUCGUAAUUUGGACUCUAAUUUUGAAACUUGGAUUUAAUUCCCGAAACUUCAACUUUAUUCAUGUUGACUUUUAAUCUCAAAAUUUUGCUGUCAACUUUAAUCUAAUAAUUUUGAGUUUUUUUAAUCUCAAAAUUAUGACUUUAAUCUCGUUCCUGUAAUUAUUAUUUUUCUCUUUAUGUGGCCCUAAUCCUCUUUCGUAAACUUGACUCUGUGCAACCUUUUGGCUUUAUAAAAAAAUAAGUGCCUCUUAUUUAUUAACAUCAGGUUCUGCUUCUAGCCUGCCAGCGAGUCUGGAGAUUUUAAUUGUUAAUGAAGUUACAUCUCUGUGCAUUGUGAUUAAAUGCAAACUGUGGUGCUCUCAACACUGAUGGGACUUCUUGCUUAUUUUAGCAAUCCAGAUCAUUUGGCUCAGCUCAGCAAUAAGACCUGACUCUCUCUCAGCUCCCAAACGGCUCUUCUUAGUACCUACUAAUUAAGCUUUUAUUAAAUCAGCCAUUUGAAGCAAUGUCUCGACCUUUAUCAGUGUGUCUGCAUGUAUUUUACAGGAGGGAUCAAAUAUAAUAAAACAAAUCAUUCCCAGAAUAACACGACAUGAUGUUCUACCAUGAUUACUAUCAGGCACCUAUCGUCAUAUCUACUGAAUUUAUUUAUUCUGAAUCAUCAAUCACUGAUAACCCCUUUCCCUGCUUAUAAUUGGUCUCAAAGCACAUAUGUUGACACAGCAUUCAGUCAGUGGAGAAAAGAUUGCUCCUUAUUUUUUAUUAAUUACAAAUAACAAUAAGAAAGGAAAAGGAAACCAGCCCCCAAGCCAGAACCAUGUCAUAUUAUUCAUGAACAAGAGCUGACUUUUAGAACCAAGUCGCUCAUAUCUCCAUGCUGAUUGGCUAUCACAGCGCCAACAUCGGCCCUCGAGCUCUCACAGGAGCUUUAAUUAAAGAUAAAUUGUCAUCCAAUGCAUGUCAAUCUAGGACUGCGUUACAGCUGAUACACAGUGCUGCUUCUAAACUCUACACUCUCAGUUUUAUUCCAAGAACCACACAGUUAUUCUCCGAAUGCAAACAGAAACCAGAUUUUCCAUUUUGAUGCAGAAUCUGCAGCUAGAAAUCACUUUUGCCUUGGUAAUCAUUGUUUUUCUCUGUGGAUUACAUUAGAUCUUUUACACUUGCAUGUAAAUGUGAUAAAAUGACCACAGCUUCUCAUCUAUUAAAAGGGCAUAAUACAUUCACACUGCAUUGGUUUUUAUUUGAAUAGGUGAUAAAGAAGAGAUAUGCAGGAGUAGGAUCUAUAAAAAUUGAAUGAGUUUGUAUAGUAAGUGCGUCAUGUUUUAUUUACAGAAUUCCAUCUCUCUUCAUUGGGCUCCACACAAAGACUCAAGCACUAAAAGUGUCCCUUAUUGAGUGCCUAACGCACUCAUAAUCAUCAAAAAUCUGGCUUUCUAUCUUAAAUUCAAAGUAUCAUACAGUUUCUAAGAGCCGCUUAACACGUACAGUAGGGACUGAUUUUACCUCAGAUGAAAGACCACCAUUCUUUCAAGAAUCAUCAAGGUUUGAUGAUGUGCUUUUAAGGAGCCAUCAACUGGAGCCAAAACAUCAUCUGACGUAAAGCCCGUGCAAUAAUGAUCCCGAAUAGAACUCCCUUUGAUUUAAACAGGAACUAAUUGCUGGGAUAUGUGAUGAAGAUGGGAGCUAGCUAGACAGGAACGGAUGUGUUAAAUCACCAUUUGUUGUGCUGCCGUGUGUUGCUGUCAUUAAUCACUGCUUCUUGUCAGAUCAGCUUUUUUUCCUCAUCAUUGGGGGAUGUUUAAAAUGAGAUUCAAAAAGGUUAUGCUCUGUAAUUAGCGAGGUAUUCUUCCAUAUAGGUCUGCUAAUGUUGUUCAUUUAUUAAAAAAAUAAUAAUCGAAAGAACAUGCGUUAUCAUGACACAGCCUGUGCUCAUACAUGUUGAUGAUAAAACCGCUGAUAACCAUGCACUGCAUAAUUUCAGUUCUGUUUACAUUUGUUCCCUUUAGUUAAUGACUGUUUUUACCGCACUCUGCAAAAAAGAGACAAAUUUAGCAGGAGCACAUGUUUAUUUCAAACAGCCUACAGCUAAAUACACAUUAGUGGCAUUACACACUCCACCAUGAUGGGGUAGGUUAAUGGGACAGGGCCUGUGGGAAUAGCACACACUCAGUAGAUGCCCAUAUCCACUGCAGCACACACAGACAAGUGAGCUCAAAUGAUUCCUCCUUAAAUCUACAGGGUGUUUUGGCAAUGCUUUAGUUGUCAGCGGUGUCAUUAGAGCUGAAAUACAGAAGGAUAACAACAGCAUGUCUCUUACUAUCCUCCUGAGGACUUCCUUGUGCCUGCAGUGGUGGAGGGAAGUGAGAUCACGUUAUAAUCAAAGACAAAGACAGUUUUCCCCAGUCUAUUCAAGCAGUCCUUUUUCUCUUUUAAAACCCCGAGCUGUACUGACAGACAGAAAUCACAAGUGAGACUAAUAACUCCUCUCUGGGUGUGAAUCUUGUUUGAAAUAGUGACAGGUUGGUUGGUCUAGAUAAUUAGACAUUAUGGCCAAUUAUCAGCGGGUGCUGCAGGAUCCAAGGCACAUCACUGAGUGUGCUUUCUAAAACUCAGACCUGCAGGCUUAUUACUUCUUUAAACGCCUUAAAAAGGGCUUGUAGCAGGAUACAGGUAGACUGCAGCCCAUGAAAUGAGACAGAAUAAACAGAGUGAAAAAAAAAAGAAAAGCAAAGCCUCAUAAAUCCUCUGUUGUUUUUUGGCAGCUCUUUUCUUUGAUAGACCUGUGAAUUGGGCAGAACAAAGGUGUCUGAAGGAACUGUUUGUAAUUUAAUUCCUUUCGGGUUGUUAGAUGAGUACCAAAAUUGUGAUUGGUGUUUUGCUCAACAGGGCUGGAGUGAAGUAGGGAGACACCAACAAAAUCCCAAAAGCACAUAUUGAAUAUAAGGUUUAAUAACUGAUAUUACUACAAUAAAUCUGUUUAAAUGAGGUAAAAAGGUAUAUUUCUAUAUUUGCAUUUUCUGAGAAGUGUUGUUUUCGUUCAUACUUGAAUCCUUGCUGGGUCUAAUCCAGGUGUUGGAAAAAGAAGCAGAAAAGCUACAGAAAGUAUCAGUGCCACUUCAUGUGACACUUCAAAGUGUCUUCUCUCCGUCUAUGUUGGAUUGCUGUUUAAUUUUGAUGUUUUGUUGAUCAGGUCCAAGCUCUCUAACCUUCAGCUUCUCCUGCAAAGAUUCCCCUUCAACAGCAUUAUUUUUAGCAACAUAUUUGAGUGUCUUCCUGCAUGUUGUUAAUUGCUCUCUCCUUUACAAGCCUCGGAGUUUUUACUCAUGUUCAUAGACUCACGCCUUUUUAUGGAAGAGGAUCAACGAGUGAAUGGAGGCCUGAUGACUGUGCCCUGAUCAGUAACUUUGGACGUGUAAAGCAUUUUUAAUCCGUUUUAAUAUAGCUAAUCAAGUUUAAUCUAAAUAUAAAAUAUUAAAUUGCAUUGUUUUUAAUCAUCUCACUUUCAUUUUUUCAGCCAUUCUGGUUUAGCUAGCUGUUAAUUGACAUUUGUAGCCAAAAGGACUCCCUUUUUUUGUUGUGUUGUGCUUACAGUUCAAUUUGCAACUGGCAGUCCAAAAAAUAUGUUCUGAUCGAAAAUAGAUAUGUUCACAAAAUCAAUUCCAAAAUUUCAGGUUUAUGACAUCUCAGGGGUUUGCACCUUUACAGCUGUCUCUGUUAAGUCUCAGUGUUCUUGUUUAAGUGAACAGUAACAGUAAAGAGGCCUCCGUUUAGCUCGCUUGGACAGCUUGGACCUAGAAAAGAAACAGAAUUUUUUGUACUUUACCUGCAAUUAUAUGGUUCAAAUUUGCCAAAGUAGCAAGAUCUUAAAGGGAUAUUCCAGUGUAAAAUUAAUUUAGGGUCAAACACACCAUAAUACAGAGUUAGAGACGCCCUUGAAAGAUUAAUGUUGCAGACUGCUUGCUCCUCUAGCUAUACAGACUUUAGUAAUGACCGGACACAGCGGUCUCAGGAGCCACACACAAACCUCAACCAAAACGCCACUCUAUAGCCACAAAUAAUGCUCAGAACAGCACCUAACUUCAUCAACAGUACAUAUAGGGUCCCAGCCACAGCACUAGCACUAAACAUCUUUUUAUCUUUGCCUGAUUUCUUUAGCAAAGAGACUAAACACAACUCACCUCCUCUCUUCUAGCAGCUGCUUGUUUGUAGCGAGACCUCAGGCCAGUCCAUUACAGACUAUAGUGGGGUGACGCAGCUCAAAGAAGAACAUUUAUGAUCAUUACUUUAUCAUUUCCUUUAAGUAAUAAUCAUCAUAUUAAUCAUUUUGCACUGCAGACACGGUGGUUCUUCUGCCUUAGUGUCUCGGUCUGAUUGCAUUUCCGGUGUGAAGCUCAGAAAAGGAAAAACAACAGCACUGCUUUUAGGAAGUACUUUGUCAAAGUUUGAUUUCUCAAAUCAUAGAAACAUAGUAAGUAACUAAAAAAGGUGGAGUGAAGUUAUCAUAAGUGAACUAAUGAUUCAAUAUGCUUUUCAAUUUAACUCAUUAACCUCAUAUAUUGGUGUCUAAUUAAUCAUUAGAGAACCAAAGAAACAACACAUUGACUUUUUUCUUUAGUUAAAUCCCACUGGCUGGAGCCAGAAAAGCAACUGAAUUCACAUGAAUGGAAAUAUGUAUGGGCAGAUUUAUAAAACACCUCAUUCCCCCACCAAAAUGCCUCCCUUCAUCAAACAAUCAUCAGAUGUGCUUGUUCCAACCAUCCAAUUUCUCUUUGAAUUCACACAUCUCAUCCAAUUUCCCAUCAAAAGCAAUACUCCCUGCCAUUUUUCUCAGUCCAUAUUUAGGGAUUGUGCAUAAAAUCCAUCUUCAUAGUACAAAAUGCCAAGAGACUGCACACUCACCCAAGGUAUUCCUUAUCAUGGCUUUCAGGAAAAAAUAGGCAGUAAUCCCAGAGACAAAAAAGACUCUCUGUCAUCUACAGCUCAGCUAGUCACUGAAAGGAUAUUUAAGCCUCACACAGAGCAGAAAAGUAUAGAAGAUCACUACCUUCCAACAGUAGACCCAGAAUAAGUCCCUGCGGUCGUUAUUCAUCCGGCUUUCAGCACAUAGAGGUCUACAGUGAGAAAGGGCAAGAUGGACUCAGAGGAAGAGAUGUCAUUGGGGGGCAAUUUAAUUCAGACUCUGAAUAUGCUAAAAUCACUCAGCCUGUUAAGAGGAAAGUUCUGUAUUUCUUACCAUUUCCUACUCUUUCUGCUGCCUUGUCCUCUAAAUAACAGCAUGAAAAAGCCAGAAAAUGAAAGAUUUUAAACAAUAUUUGAAUUAAAGAAUGUAGCAUUUACACAGACUCAUAGAAAAAGACUCAUAAAGGUGCUUAUUUUCCUGUGGUACAGAUCGCAGUGGAAUAAAAAUGGAGGAUGUUACUAAAAUCAAUGCACUGAUUAUUGGUUCGCUGCUAGCUGGUGUUAACAUAAGCCUCUAAAGUGGUUCAGCAUUUGGGUUUAAGAUGUUUGGUCAAAAUACUGAUUAUUAGUCGUGGGUUUCAAAUAUUUUUGAGUUAACUGGACAUCUGCAGAGUGGGUGAGUGCCUCUCCCAAAAACUAGAGUCAAUGCUGGACUUAACAGGGUUUUAACUUAAUUGAUUAUUCGAGGCUGUUUUCACACCUGUGGCACUUUACUUUGCUGUUAUUCAGAUGGAAAAAUCAUUCAUCAUCUUGCUUUUCCCUCGGGUUGUUUUUGUGUUCACACUGCAAAACUGUAAAGUGGACGAAAUCCUGUCAAUACGCCGCAGCAUCGUUAAGUUUCUUUUAGAGGGGGUUGUAUGAGGUAUUUGUUGGUAAGUGUAUAAGCCACAGCGGAACCUGAAGUGAAAGUGGUUCAGAAGCUAAGCCAUAUGUCACUGAAACACUCCCAUUAAAAAAAACAGAAACAACAGAAAAAGACUGAACUAUCCCUUUAAAUUGUUAGAGUUAAAGUCUUCUGUUUUGAAGAUCGUCUCGGAAGGUUGUAAUUGAACAACAUUGUCCUAAAAUGUUGCCAGAGCGUAGCCUGUGGUUUUAUUGUCUCAGCUCUAAUGCUUUUUAUAAAGAGGCAUUUUUUCUGUUAAAGCCUCACUGUUGGAGAAAUUCUGCCUUUCGGCUGCUCCAUCAUUAAACGCUGGACUAAGAAGUUUCUCCCUUUCUUGAGAAUGUGAUAAUUAUGUCUGUGUAUGUUUGCACAGUCUCAAUAUCUGCUCACUCAGAGGAGGCUGCAGCAGAAAUUCAUACUCAGUGCAUUCAGGCUCACUUGCUGUGUUUCUUGUUACUAAUCUAUACAUACACACUGAUACUAGCUUCUUAUAGACCUGCUUGUGUAACUUGUUCUGCAGUGCACGAACAGAGCAGGUGCAGCUCUGCAUUCAAUCUGACAAAACCUCAUGAGGUGAUAAUCAUAUAGAAUCAGCCAUUUUUAAUCCUUCCUUGUCUUUAUUUUCCUUCUUAUUUCACUCUUAAUUUACUCACAAAAUAACAUAUAAUUACAGUUUUUAAUGCAGUUAGUUGCUUGAUGCUUUGACAGAGAUUUGUUUGUACUGCGGUUUAAAGACUGAUUUAUUAACCCCACACUGAGAAGCUGGUCACAGUGGCAGUCUGAUCUGUUAACAUACAUGACAAAAUGAAAAUCAAAGCAUCAUUAAGCCAUCACGCUGUCAACAUGCUUCAUAUCAGAAAUAACCAAGUGCACAGCUGGUUGUUAAAAUGCAGGGAAAAUAAGGUUUAAUGUACCAAAUAGUAAUAAUUGUACUUAACAAAUCCAGAGUGUUUGGUGGAAGCACACAAAAUAAGAGCAAAACUUAAACUUUUCAGACACAUUUCCUGCCAAGAAGUUUAGAAGUUAUGUGUGUACCAAAGAAAAUGUUUGGCCCUGGGGUGUGAGACAUAUCUUGUUUAUUCAAAAGCCAAAAAAAUAAAUAAAACUUAAAAAUUAAACAUCAGUUCCCCAGUUGAGUGCUGGUAAUCUUUUUCUUGCGAUUGAUGUGAGUGAAUUAAAAACAAUUUAUUGAAGCUGUAUUAGUUGGGGGUAAUUUUCUUCUUUUUUAACUACAAAUUAUACUGACUGAAAAAAAUGUCCCUUUUCCUAGACUGAAAAACCCUAAAUUUUACUGAAUAAAAGCAAAACUAAAGCUGCUGUCAGUUUGAAAUCUUUGUCUGAAAAGCACUGAAAAGAUUGCUUGAAUUAAUUAACAGUGUUUUGUUAACCUGCAGGGACUGAAUAUAGUUGUGUCUAUGACAUUUUGUUGAAAAUUGUGUCAUUAUAAUGCUGAGGUUAACUUUAUUCUGUCUCUGGAUUGCAAGUAAACAGAGCAUGAACUGCUGGCAGAUGCAAAUGCAUUAAACAGGGUCAAAAUAAACGACUUUAAAAAGGGAGGACUUUGUAAUAUCAGAAUUUAUGGUAUAUUAUCAUUAGUUAUUCAUAGAUAAAAGAAACAGUUAGAAAAUCUGUUAAAUGCAACACACAUACAAACACGCACAAACUAUAUAUAAGUGCCUCAGUAUGUUUUCAUAAGCCACACAGACAUUUAUUGUUCCCUCAUUUGAUCAUGAUCACACAUUAAUGUAUUCUGAGGUCACUGAAGUGAGACAGCUAAUCUGUUUUUACAGAUGCUGGUAUGACAAGCUGUUGAAAAAAAGAGUUGUCUUGCCGGAACUGAGAUUUCUGUCAUCGCUCAAGUGCGCCCUGUCUGCAGCUAAAUGUCACCACUCACAUCUUCAACACCAUAAACAUUGAUGAGACUACGCUCAAAAUCAUUUCACAGUUUGCAGUUUCCAUCAAACCCCUCUCUGCAAUUUGCCCUCAGUCAUGUACAUCUCCAUCCAGAUAAUGUGUUAAUCUUCUCUCCAGUGAAGACAGGGACUCUGGAGAUCAGUUGUCUAUUUCAUGGGUAGUUUCCCACGGAAAGUGAGAGGGAAGCACAAUAAAUUAAUUAAUCUAAAUACUUCGAGCUAUAUCAUAAGACCCUAUUAGUGCGAUAAAACACAUUAUCAUUCCAAAGGUAGUUCAACAGUAUGACAUGCAUAUAAAAUGUAUAAAACAUAGAUGCAGUUUCUUUUUAUCUCACAUGUCCCAAUAAAAAAAGCAUUAAGGCAAGAAAGCAGUGUUUAAAGUAGAUUUUAAUGGCUGCUAAAAGACUCUGGUUAUGACUGAAUAUGAACAGGAACAUAAGUGAACUACUCACAGUUGUCCUUGUGAAGCAUAUCUUAACCAUAGACUGUUGUAGAGUCACCCAUUGGUGUUCGCAGUGGAGCACAAAAAUAUUGGUUGCUAUUUUGGAAAUUCUGAUUUUAUUUAGAAAUAGACACAGAGAUGGAGUUCAAGCAAUAGCUGCUUCUCAGUAUUGUUCACUGAUUCAUUUUUCUCUUGUAUGUAAAGGUUACAAUCUUUUAAAAGUUGAGUCUAAAACUUUUGGUUUUACAGAUAAUAUCACUUACAGAAAGCGUGUGUAAAACGGAAGGGUAGGGAUCCCAGCAGUAUGUCUUGGGGAACGCCAGAAGAAUUGUUGACCAGUCACUGCACCCUGAUCUUUCUUGGCUCUUCCCUGUCUUUUUGCCAGUCACUUACCCUCCACCAGGAAGUUCUCACUGACAUUACCAAAUUAUGACUUGUGAUCAAAGGUGUUUGUUUUUGGGGUGUUUUUUUGUUUUUUUUUGCUAGAAGCCUGUCUGAAUCCUUCACGGCGGAUUAGCCAUUCACCCAAGUUACAUCAUGCCAGAAUCUAGAGAGAAUGUAUCAGUACCUUUGCUGUCCUGUUGUGCUGUGCAGUAUAUAAAAAGGUCAAGCGCUUCAUACAAAAGACCUGUACUAUCACCACCCUGCUUCUGCAGAGAUUAAUGUAAGAGGAUGAUCCAUUUAUAGGUUGAUCUGGAUUUAGAAAAUUGAACAAUCAGCAAAAAGUACAUUUAUCACUUGAUUUGAUUUGACAAAACAUUUUUUUCCCCUGAGCGAUGCCAAAAAUACCUCAUGUGAAGCUUUGGGAGUCAACAUGAGAGAGGAUGUAAUAUGGGUUCAGAAAACAUGAAAAAGAGAGUAGGUCAGUUUGUAAGCAGCAGGGACUUUGUGUCAGGCUUGUGUAUUGUCAGCUUUGGGAAUUGAGUUUGGGAAGUGGAGCAAAAAAAGACAAUAAUGACAAAAAGCAAUGAGAAAUACUGUGCAACCUCCUGUAAUUUCAACAAACUGAUGCUCCAGCUUCUGUCUACACUCACAGAAAUGCACCACACAGCAAACCAUAGCUGGUUUUAUUGAAUUAUUUGCCUGUAAUGUAGUCUGUUUACCUAAAGAUGGUUUAUUUCUCUUUCUACCGCUCCAUUUAUUCCUACUAACAGUUAUAUUGCAGAGCAAAGUGACAUUAUAGCAUCACCCCACAGAGUCCUCAUAUCGUUUUUGCUAUUUGUUUGUCUCCCUUGGGAUGCUUUUUGUGGGAUCAUAUUGUCGAGUUGCUGCGUUUAUCCCAGGGUGCUUUAGUUUCAGAGUGACAGCUCAAUGUCAUGUUCCUGAAUUCACAUAAAAGUGAAAUUGUAAACAGUGGCUUUGGAGGUUCACAGAAGCCCCCAGCUCGAUAUGUGUUUUACAGAGCGGCGUCCUUGUUUCUCUCUGUGAGUUUGUAUCAAACGUGGAGCAAAGACACACUACAAGUAUCUGGAACAAAUCCUGCAGUACAUACAAAAGGCUGACUUUUUCAGUCAUUUAAAGAGCUCACCUAUAUCCUUUGGCAUUCUUCAAAAAAAACUGAACUCAAUCUGGUGCCUUACUAUGGUACACAAGAAGGUCUGUAUCAGAGGUAAUUUUAGUAUCAGAUCUGCUUAUGCACUAAGGACAAACCCCCAGCCCUCAGUAGAUACCAGAGGUGGCGUAUUAUGUUACAAGGACCCCAAGUGAAGAAACUCAAAGGACAUCAAGUCUAUGUGAAAACAGCAAGCUGGUCACAUCAUGAAUGAGAGGGGGUCAAGGUAAUUGAUCCCGGGAUGGUGGACAUCCGGAAGAAAGAUCAAGGUGGUCAUUCAUUUCCAAAAGCAGCUACAAGAAAGGGGUCAUGACCUCUACCCCCAUCGCCAGCCACAUCUUAUCACAUGACAGAGGUCUCAUAUAUGUUACCAAGGUCAAGCAUGACCUCUGUAGGUUUUAGAUGGCAGUUUAGUUUCCUUUGAAUCAGCUCAACAGUCACUAAAAUGCUUUUUUAAUGUGGUUCCCAUGAGGUUGUAGAAAUAAUUUAACUUUUAAAAAAUAAUAAUCUUCAAUCUUGCAAUCUUGAAUGACAACAACAGUACGCAGCAGUAAUGAAGGAAAAGCACCCUCUGUAGACACUGACAGUGGGUUUAGGUUGCUCCUGCUGCACUGCUGAAGCUUAAAAUAUGCAGACGGUGUAGACAAGAUUUUAAAGACUUCUCCCAGAAGUGGAAGAACGUCACACUUCGUCUGAGCUUCUUUUGCUCCUGAAUGUAAAUAUAGGGGAUUUGGCCUGUUAAACAAACAGACGAUGUUUUUCUAAAGAAGAUGGAAAAGUGAUGUAUAAUGAGUCUAUAGAUGCUGGUACCUCACAGCCUUUCAAUUACCAUUUGAUGGAAACUCUUAAAAAUCCCCUCUGAUCAUAUUUUUUAAGCUGUUUACAACAUGGCAAGUUUUUCAAUUCAGUUACAAAAAAAGAUCACAAUAUUUGGCUUCCAUGGAGGAUCCACACCCUCUAAUUUUCUCAUUUUCUAACCUCAUAAUCCAUGCAGUGAUUUAGAUCAGUGAAAAUGCUAUGAUAACAACGCACUUCACUGAUUGGCUGCUUGAACUCUUGGAGAGGGGGAGGAUGAAGGCUAGAGGUAAAGGAGACCACAACAGACAAAGAGAAUAGUCCAGAAGAACCCACAACAGUACCAAGCCAAAUGUCUCUUAAAGGUGGGGUAGGCAGGAUUCCGUUAAAGAAGCAUCUUUUUUUGUGGCGUAUAUGCAAAAAAUCUUUUAAUAUCAGUCAAUAGCUAUAAGUUAUUGAUGACAUUUGGCAAUAUAAUGAUAUCGCUGUGUUCUGUUAUGCCUGUGUAAUCAACAUUUAAAAAAUUUCUGAGCAGGCCGCUCAUCUUGACUGUAAACAAUCGUUCUCCACCUCCCUGACCUGAUUGGUUGUGAGGCGAACACUGCUCCUUAGUGCUGAUUGGUUGUGAGGCAGACGCUGCUCGUGCACGAGCCCAAACGCAGGUAGCGUGCUACAAUAUCAGACAGUAGAAACCAACCAGAAAGUACGGAAAAUUGUCUGAAUCCUCUUUUGGCCAUGACUUGCGACACAAGCAAGAAAAUGAAGUAAAUACUGGAGACUCUGGCGGAAUAACAGGCACUUAAAACGGAGGUAGACCGGACAAGAGCAAAAAAGCCAAGUCAACAUCAGUAAUUCAUAGAUUCCUGGAUUAUUCUAUGUCACUUUAACUUAGUUGUAGAAGUCCUGCAAACAUUGUGUUUGCUGGUAGUCCGUUGGCAUCAACAGUGGCACCAAUGCCUUUUAGUGUCACAUUGACUGGGCCUCAUUUGUAAUUAUCUGAAAUAUUUAUCUGCAUCAUAUCUGAAUUUAAUUGGAACGAUACAAGCGAGUACUUGCGUCUGUUUGUGGGCGGGGCUUGCUGGAGCAGAAAGGGAGGGGAGGAGCUGAGGGGAAAACUGGUUGGGAGGGGUAGUGUUUACAUUCAAGAUUUCUCCCAAAAACUGGCACUUCCUCAGAUCCUGCCUACCCCACCUUUAAAUGUGGAAACACAAAAGUGGCAACACUUACUGAUGGCAUGUCUGCUGUGUUUGGGGGUCACGAAAUGUUGCCAAAGAUCCUUUAAAAGGGCCAGUGUGGGUUCAAACCCAGCUUUGUGCUAACCCCCUGUUGAUAACAUAGUCUGUGGUGAAGUAGUUGGUACAAACAAAUGGAUUUGCUCCAACUGUGUUGCCAAAAUAAAAAGUAAACAUUGUUGUCUUUGGUCUCUCCAUGCUGGGACAGAAUAUUGAUAUUUAUGUUGGUUUGAUCCUGCAACACAGAGCCAAAAACAAAGUGAGAAGUAGAAUUACAUGAGGAAAGAGAGAGAGGUUUUGGUUUUGCACAUAUAGCUUUGCAAAUCACUCCUGUUGUUACAUCAAAACAGGAGCCCACUCUGAUCUCCUUGUAGAGUCUGUAGAUUUCCAGUAAGAGGACUACAGAGACAAUUACUAGACUGGAUAUGGGGAGAUAUGUUUUCCAUUUAGCAUCUUAAAUUGAUCUUGAGAUUCACACUCAAGGAGCUCUUACUUGAGAUUAUGUGUCCAUUUUAAGGUCAGAUUACCAUACAUUUAGAAAGAUUAAUUACAAAAAGAACUUUCUUUUGCAGGGUCAGAGUGUUUUUUCAAUGAUGGGAUUUUUGUUAUCCUUUUUUUCCAACACAUUUUAUUGCUGUCCAAGCUGUCUUUCUCCGCACUACUCCCGGUCUUGAACUCUCAUCAGUUCCUUCCUCACUCGCUGUACCUCCAUAAGUUUAGUUUCAGCUGUGUACAAAAGCCAGUGAAAGUAACGCAAGAGGGUAAAUAAGGUAGCUGUUGCUUCAGGGUUUUAAUAUAAGCUGAGUAAAUAGAUCAGUGAUGAAAAAAGCUUUCACAGCUGGUGUUGAAGUGUGGAGUGAUCUUAAACAAGGCAAAGUUAUUUUUAUUCCAGCGAGUUCAGCAGAUUCCUUCCUUUUCCAUUAUGAAAAGGUCAUCGAUAAUUAAUCAUUGAUUGUUCCACACAAAACUCUUGAAUUUCUUUGCUCCUUUUUCUACCACAUAAUUUGCAUAAAACUUAGAACAACAGAAAAGUGGCCAGAAGUCAUUUAAGUUGCAUAGACAUUGUGCUAAAACGUGUGGGGUGGUGGCAGUCUUGACAGGAGUACUUGAUCCAUUAUGGAUAAUUCACUGAGGUAUACUUUGAUAGAGAGCAUAAUUAUGUGCACUCAUAAUUAUAGUUUGUGCAACAAUACAUUUAAAUGAUUGCUGACUACCUUGUGUUUUCAGUUUCUGUUUUCAAAUUCAAUAAAAGGUCCAGCUUUCAAGUUUUUGUAACAGGGUAGUCCUGUGUUCUUUGAGCAGUACUGGCUGGCUCAUAUGCUAUCCUUGAAAGUGAACAUAAAAGAAGCAACACAAUAAUCCCUUGUAUUAUAAUCACAAUGGGCAUUCAAACAGAAAGCAGGUUCAAAUGUCAAAGGGAUGAUCUGCUAAACCCAUAAAUGGAGACUAGAAUGGAGAUCAGACUCUCCGGGCUGCUCUGUUAUAAAUCUACUGAUCAUCAGACCCAUGUGAUCUCAUGGGAUGGAAGAUAAAUCACGUCACUCCAAAGGACAUUUCACUCAGCGUCCAUGCACUUCAUGCUUUUACUGUGUCAUUUAACACCCUUUUAUUUUAUGAGUUUGGAUUUACAGGAAAGGACAGGCUCUGGUGACCUCUAGUCAGGUGACCUUGGCUGUCAUAGUCAGGUAAAAUUCAUCAUCAUGGCAACAAUAGUAUCCUCCAGGCCUGCCAGAGAGAUCAGGUAUUAUUUAAGGCUGAGUCUUUAAUGGCCCAGGUUUGAUACUAAUCCAGUCCUGUGUUGCACAACAUCACUCCUCUCUCAUACCUGACUUUGCUGUCUCUUUUAAGCCAUCCCAUCUAUAACAUUAGCAAAACUGUCCUCAGAUAUAAUCCUGAUAUCAGUAUUGUAGGUUAUUAUUGGCUUUGAAGGAUGACUGGAGUCUGCGAGGUUUAAGCAACAGCAACUACUUGAUUGGCUGUGUAGAAAGAUCGUGGUUUAAGGGGUUUACGUUUCAUCAGUAAAAUUACAUCCUGGAUCUGGUUUUCGCACAGCAAACAACACCGGGUGAAAUCCUCUGUAGAUUUACCUACACAGGAUCAGACCAGGGUGCAGCAUAUUGCUUAAUAUUAUUUAUGCUUUAUUUAUGUACCUUAUGUUAAAAUUAAGGCUAAGAUUGUAUUUUGAUUUAGAAAUCUGUGCCAAUGAGACUCUAAAGGAUUGGCAAGGGGUGGCAUGGCCCUUGAAAUCUGGUUAGCCACCCCAACUGCAACUCCAUAAUGCUAGAUUAUAACUGGCUAAAUCACUGACUAAGUAGCGUGUGUUGCAACUUGAUGGUGGGGAUUUUGUUAGCAUUGAAAUCAAGCACGUUUCCUAGUAGGUAUUUUGAACAUCUAUUUCAUUUGACGGGUGCAUAUGAGAGGAAUUGAUCCAUCAUAAGUUGCAAAAAAGGUUCUGCAUAUUGAACUAAAAAUUUGUUGAGGUUUCCGUACUGGUUAAAGAAACUUUUAUUGUUAGUUAACCUUGCUUAAGGAGUUUACUUGCAUGUUUUUAAGUUCUUCAGACUUUUUGAAGUGCUUUAAAUAGUGACUUUCUGAGUGCUUAGAGGAAAAACUCUGACUAUUUAGACUUUGUUGUGUCCACUCUGUAUUACUUUAUAAGGUUAAAAACAUAUAUGCUAUACUGAUAAUUAUCAUAUUAGUAUAGUACAUAAACUCUAGAAGUCAAGACUUGUGUGUAUGCCAUAGACUGUAAGUAAAAUAGACGCUGUCUGCCUCCUUGCUGGAUGAGGCCACUCUGAGAACAGCACCCUCUGGUGACAGGCUGCAGUAUAGAUCAUAAAUCCCGCCUCCUCCAGCAAUCCUUAUGGACAUGUGGACAAACUUUAGAAAUUUAUUACACAGAAUAUAAAUUUUUCUCCCCCCUGGUUACGAUGUUGACAUGUAGUCACUGUAAGACUGGUUUGUGCUCAAGUCCUCUUUUUUCUGUACAGCUCCGUUUUUAAAAGUUAUUAGGGGGUUCAUGUUUUUUAUGAUUGACACUUGAUAUAGCCUAUGGGUGUACGAAGACAGCGUAGCUCACCCGGGGGAUACGCUGUUUGAGCCGAGCGUCAUCACAACGACUCUCCUGGUGAAAUACCGAGAGCUUUUCAGCUUCAAAUCCGUAUUCUGGCAGAAGGCAGAACCGAGUUGUUCAUAGCAUUUAUAGUCUAUGGUGUAUGCAUGGAUGUAAGUAAGUGUGUGCAUGCAUACAUAACAUAACUGCUGUUCAUACAGUGAUGAGGCCAGACAAGGUUGUGACUUUAUCCCAGGAAAAAGAAAAAAAAAACUCCUUUCCUUUUCUCUUUGGCAAGAGAAUAGCUGACACUCUUACAGUAAAAAUGGCCUAAGCAGUGCUUCAGAAACAAGUUAAAUCUGAUGGCGAUUUCAGAACAGUGAGUGUCUGCACACUCUGUGCAAUCAAACAGAAAUAAUAGACAAUGGAUUUUCUUAUUUUCAUCCAAAGUAAUCACAGUGAUAAACAUCUCCUGAGUCAACAAUGCCAAAAGAAAAAAAGGAAAAUAUAUUAGCAGGUCAAUAAAUCGAUAAGCAUCCUUAACCCGCACACAGCAGGUAAACAAUGCAUCAAAAAGCUCUCUGCAGUCACACAGCUAGUCUUAAUAACACCCCGGGGUAAGAACUCUGUGCCCCUGUCAGAAGACCUCUCUCUCUGUUAGGCUGCCUUGCUCUGCACCAGAUGAAUCCCUGAUCCACCUGCUUGUUAAGUUAGACCACAGACCUACUGUAUCUCCAUCAGCUCCCACUGGACUCCAUUUGGCCUUACUGGUCCAGCUCCACCAACAACUUGGCAUACUAAACCUGUUUUUUUUUUUAUCUUUCAUAUUCCAUAUCUUUAAAACUCUCCCAUGUGAACUCCACAAAUAAAACACAGCCCACAAUCUCUGACCACAGGCCUCCCUCAUGAAAUACUACAGAGUAAAUAAAUGUAACUCACAGAGAUAAGUCCAGCUUGCUGACUAAGCGUGUUGCAUGAUAUACUCUUGAGAGAGCAGCUCAGUUGUGCUGGAAGUUGCUGUAGCUCAUGUUUGAGAGGAAAAACUGCAUGUGUUUAUGAAAUUUAACGAAAAUCGAAGGCAGCUUUGAUCUUGCUCAGAUACUGACUGCGGAUGAAAGUCAGAAAUCAAAACUCUGAUUCAUUUACAUUUUACUGAGUGAGUAUCUGCUUUCUCUACCUGUGUUUUAUUUUCAUCACGUCCUUUUCUCCUUUCAACAGAAACUGAUGAAGGAUUAAUGCUCCUUCAUGCUCGCAGUCUGAGAAAACUCCCAAAAUAGACGCAAAGGCACUUUGAGUGAAUUUUUCAAGAUAUAAGACCAAAACACAUCACUUUCUGCCUGUUUGGUGACUUGAAUAACAUACACCGGAUCUUUGUAACUGAGGCCUACCAAUGGGGAGUUUCUUUAAUUUUAUAAGAGCGGCGGGUAAAGUUAGGGAAAAAAAGAGUGGAGGACAUCUAUUGGAAAGUCAAGGCUGGGAGUCUCACCUGCGACUGUUCAUGGGGCAACUGUUCAUGCCCAGCUGACCAUGCAUACCUUGUGCGUUGUAUGUUAACUAGGUAGCAGUGGCCAGAUUUGUGUGUAGCUCUAGUUUGCUUUGUUUUGCCACCGGCUAAUACCCUAACGUCAUUGUUACAUCAGCCUUAAAAUGGUCUAAUGGGUAAAAUUUACUUUGAGCAAGCUUGUGUGUGUAUAAUUUGACCAACGCAAACCCAGAAUAGUAACUCUCAUGCUCCGACUUAGAAGCAAAAGAAAAUAACUGGAUUAGGUAAAGUCACUGUGACAGCAAAGACGAAGCUACUGAAAAGACCCGUGAGUGCUGAACCAAUCAGUGAUGGAAUAUACCAAAAGAAGUUUUAACUCUGGGUCCUUUAACUUUUUAAGAAGUGAACUAACCAAACAAAGAUAAAACAGUAGCCCUGAACCUUGUGUAAAUAAAAGAAUAAUACCAUGUUAAGUGAAUGUGAGUGAGUACCAUAACUAAACUAAUCUCCUGCUCAGUCCACACUCGAAUAAGAGCCUCAUCACAGUGAAAUAAUCCGAAAAACACUAAACAGGUACUUUUUGCUCUGCAGUAGAGUAUCAGGACAAAAUAAUGGAAUAAGAUGUAAAAGAGUUAUACAUUUUCUUAUCAGAAUACAGUCAUAGUAAAACUGUUUUUCUGUGGUGAUAAAGUAAUAGUAGAAUCAUUUUCUUAUGAGAAUAGAGUUGGAGUGAAACAAUUUUUCAUUGAGAUUUAAGUAACUCAAAUUCCUUGAAGAAUAAAAAUCAUUUUCUAACGAGAGUUAAGUUUUGAGAAAACCUCGUCUUUUGAGAAUUAAAUUCACAUGUCACCAAAUGAGGUCAUUAAUUAAGCCAACUAUUAGUAACAUAAUGCUGUUUUGAAGGAGGAUAGGACAAGUCUUUUUGGAGACCUGAUACUGAACAAUGUGGCGCUGAUGAGCCAAAACAUUUACUUCGAUUGAAGCGCCUUUGUUUCUCAUUUUGGCACGGGCAGCUGGCUGCUCAGAGUAAGCCAGAACUACAACUUUAUCACGACUUUGUCAUCAUAACAUAACGACCUACUCCUAAAAAAAAUAAUAAAAUGGCUUCACUGCAGCUUUGUUUUUGUAACAAUAUGAGUUAAUCUCAUAACUUGAUUUUUUUUCUUGUAACAGUGAGUUUACUCCAACUUUAUUCUUGUAAGAGUGAUUUAAGAAGUUAAUCCUUAAUCUUUAAAAGACAUCUCUUUUAUCUUCCAUGUGGCCUUAUACUCUGUCUUAUUGCCCAGACACACAUCACAGUAUACUACCCACAAGCAGACCACAUAUACUUGAGGCACAGAGGGAAUCUGAUCACAACAAGGCUGCUUCUUGAAUUUUGAAAUGGAUAAAUCUUAUAGUUGAGUCAGCAGGUGCUUUCUACUGUUGGUGGACUGAUUCUUUGACAUCAGGCAGCUGCGCAGGUGGAUUGGGAAAUUUAGCUUUCAAACAUGAACACAGAGCACUCCAAAAAGACUACCGAUUAACUGGAAAUUUUUCAAGACGAGAACAGCAAACAUGUCCUCACACCUGUCUCUACUACUGAUAUGAAUGCAAAAACUAUCAUCUUGAUUUGUCUGCCAACAUGUUGUAAAUGUCACACAGUGGCUUUCACAGUUUGUUGAUGUCCCACUUUGCACCCCUUUAAUUCUCAAGGAAGACGUUUGAGCGUGCAAGUGUUGGAAAUAACUGGGGUAGAGCUCCUGAAAUUUCAAACAAUUUAAGGUAUGGGUAUAUGAAAGAGGUUGCGCUGAGUGAAAGGACCUCAGGACCUAUAAACCUGUCUAAAUUAUGCCCUCACUUCUUCAUCCACAUCAGGGCUUUCUGCACAUUCCUCGAAAUUCAGUAGACUGUCUGUUAAUUUACUGCACCAGCAGCAGCACUGUGGUAAUCCUGUCAUCUAUUAUCUCCAUCUACGAAAGACACUCUUCUUUGUGAGGUCUAAUUGCUCAAGUCUUUCUCCACUGCUAACCUCUACAUGCAUCUCCUUUCUUCUGUUAAUUAGAGAGGUGAUGCUGAAGCUAUAACCUCAGAUCAUUUUAUACAUGCUUUAUUAAGCCAAGCACAAUGAACCUGCAGUUUAAUAGUGAUGUAAUGUAGGAGUCAUUAAACUAAUGGUGGUUUCAUUAGAGCUCACUGGUCAAAGAGUGUUUUAUCAAAUAGGAGAGCUGGCAAGAUACCUGGAAAAUAAUCAUGCUGUAUGCCAGUUCAGUUCAAUACAAUUCAGAAGCUUGGCUGGAAGGAGAGUCUUAAGUUACAACCAAGCAUGCCAGAGCACUGCAGUAAAAAAUGCUGACAGGGUUCCCCUGAAAAAAUUAAAAUUAAAAUAAAAAAAAUUCAUACACAUAUACUUUGUCAUCAAAUUUGUUUGUUUUGGAGAGAACAGUUUGAAUGUACAAGAACGAUCUUUAAAAGAAGAGAUUCAAACUUUUAUAAUCACCUGCAUUACACCAUAUGCAUAAUCCCUCUCAUUAUGAUAUUAAUAGGGAUAAAUUGACCUUAAUAUUGAUUGAAGAUAAUUUCUUCAUUUAAAAACAAUCAGUUCCCACGCUCAGUGACGUUCACCAUGGCAUAAGAUUCUCAUUAGUCUCCUACAGCAGAACAGAUCCUCAUUAAACUGAUUAUUUCAGUUCAAUUUGUUGGCUAGCUAACCCGAUGUAAAAUAGACACCAGUCCUUUUACUUUAUGGGCAGGGUUGGCUGGUGUUGGGUAGAAUUUCAGUUUUGAUAUUAUUAUUCUUUCUUUCUUAUCACUCAACAACAAAGCAGGAAAACAUCUUAAAACUCCUUUGAUGCCCACAGACAUGUGGUGACUAUAUGUGUGUCACUCCAGCUUUUCUUUGUUUUACCUCCAUCUUAUACUGUGAUGCAACUCUGACGUCUGCCACAAAAGGAUCAAUUGUGACUCAUCCUGUCUGUGUUCACUCCCUCUUUGGCAUCCUGUUCACUGUAUUUUAUCUGUUACCUGUUCUCUGCUGGUAAAUCAAUCACUGUAAUCACCGGGUUAUAGCACUGUCCACUGUAUGAAGAGGUCUUCACCGAUAUGCUUACAACCUGUCAGAUUUUUUACUAUGUAUCUCAGUCAGAAGAAAGCAGGAGUGUGCCUAGAAGAUAAGGGUUAACCUCACAGAGCCGAGCCGGACCUGAAAGGAGCUCUGUCAAAGAGCCAACCAUGUGGAGAAGAAAGCUGCUCGUAUUUCUAGGUCACAGAGACCAUGUGAGUGUGCCCGCCGCUCCUUCAGCUGGACUGAAUGAUUUAUUACGCAGUCAAGAGUCAAGAAGGGAGGGAGAGAGAGUAGGAAAUAAAAUAUGAAAGGAAAUAAAGAAAAUGAAAGCAGGGAAGAUAAAAAUGAAUUAAAUUUAUUCAUAUAAUAUGGUUACUUUAAAAACGUCAUAAUGUGCUGUGCAGAAACAGGAUGAAAAAUUUAAGGAGAGAGUGAGCAUGCCUCCAUUUUUGUCUGUGAGUUUGAUGUCAUAAUUUCAUGGCAAGGUUAAAUUUGAGAAUAACAGACAUUUAGGGAAUUUAUACAUAAAAAACAAAGAAAUCAAAAACACUAAAAAAAGAAGAUGCAACGCAAAAGUGGAAUAGAAUAAAGACAGAGAAAACAGUACAAUAAAUCAGCAAUCAAACAUGGUUUUAAAUCAAAAUCUGGAGGAAACACUGUGUGCCAGAAACACUGUGACAGAAAUAAUCAGAUUGAAGUGCUGAUUUCAAACAGCCUCCCACUAAGACUUUAAUCUUACAGAGUAGAGAGAGCAUUUUGUUUUAUUUUCCCCACAUAAACCACAAAAGUAUUUUGAGGGAACACAAAGUAUUUGAAGCUGAAAGUCAAAGUGCCUGAUCCCUUUGACUGGCGUUAUGGCCAAAAAGUGUGGGUGGUUUGUGAAAAUGCCCAGAAGCAAAUGCAUCACUCUCACCUUGAAAGCUAAACCAAUUAAUCAAUCUGGAUCUGAAGUGUUGAGGCUAAACAGUUUGAAGGAGUUCAAGGAUACAAGCUUUGUGCUCCUUUUAAAGCUCCUGUAAGAAAUGAAAGACAGAAAUUCAUGUUGACGCCUUUUUAUGAUCUCUAAAAGCAAUAUGAUUGAUGAUUCUUAAAUUGAAAAUUGUUAAUGCCUGACAGUGGUGUGAGUGGUUAGGUGUCCUGUGUUUACAAUUUGAACCUAAAAAAAAACUACAAUAAAAAUUGUGUUUCACUGUCAAGAGUCAGCUAGAAAUGAUUUUUUUUUGUCAGAAGACUCAAGAUAAGAUGAGCAAAGAGUGCUUUGUCAAUAAGAGGUGCCAAAAUGUAACAAACCAAAAGUUACUUACAGGAGCUUUAAUUCAAACCAAAGUAUAAUAACCGAUCACUUAAAUCAGCUUCAGCAAAUCAAAGGCAUUGUUUUAUAUAUUUCUCAAAUUUGUAGAGAAGAAAAUCCUGCUUAAACUAUGACUCAGACUCACAUCUGCCUCAAAACGAUUAUAGUUAUGCAAACUUGUGUAGUUUGAAUGUCUGUGUUAAUCAGAUAAAGCACAGGAUAAUCGGUUGUGUAAUCAGUUUAAGGUUGAACUUGUGCCGCUCCUGAACCUUGCAGUGCUCUGUGAAAUCACAAUUGAAAAAGCACUACAAUAGAUUGUUGCAUAGACCACUAACUGAAAACCCUGUCUAACUACAGUUCAUGGGUAAUUUUGCUGCCAUGGCAACUGCAUUCAGAUGAUGUGACAGAACAGCACAUGGAAAAUGAGAUUGGAUCCGUAGUGGUUAAUUGAAUAAUACAUGAGUUUAUAAAUACUCCAUUAAUAAAGGUAUGCUAAUCUGUAUUCAUUAUUGUAAUGUGUUGAAUUGUUGAAUUAUUAUAUUAUUAUAUGAUUCUGGUUAUAUACUUAGGUUUAUAUGAAAUCAGGCUGUAAGUGUUACUCAUCGUAAGCGUGUCUGUAAGUAGUGCUAAAACAAAGUGGCUUCUGACGGUGAAGUAAAAUUGGACUUUUGGUAACACUUCAUUUGCCACCUAUCUUUAUAACGCAUCAUAAAUAUAUGUAUAAUGAGUUAUAAUCAUGUUAAAGCACUGUAUAACUAUAGUUAUUAGCACUUAUAAAUGAUCAUAAUGCUUUAUAACAAUAAUCACAAGACAUUAUAAAGCAUCUUAUCAUGACUUACAAGGUCAGGUAUUAUAAUGUGUGAUGCUUAUCAUGUUAUAAAGCCUUCUGAUAAUUAACAAGUAUUUAUAAUGAUAGUUAUACAAGUUUAUAAACAAACUAUAACACAUCGUAAAUAUAUGUAUAAUGCAUUAUCUAUGUGGGCAUUAGCAGUGAAUUGUUAACAGUUAUAACACACUACGGUACCUGACCUUGUAAGUCAUGAUAAAAUGCUUAAUAAUGUGUUAUGAGUGUUGCUAUAAAGCAUUAUAGUUUAUGAGUAUUUAUAACUAUAGUUAUACAGUGCUAUAAUGUGAUUAUAACGCAUUAUACAUAUAUUUAUGUGUUAUAGAGAUAGGCAUCAAGUAAAGUGUAACUGAAUUUUCUAAAAAGAGCACACGCGUUCAUCAACAUUAGACUUAGGAAAAAAUGAGCAAAGUUAUGUGAUAAAAUGGAUCCCAAGUGUAGCAGGUGACCUUUUUGAGUGGGCUUUAAUGAAAUGUUGCAUCUAUUAAUAAAUUAAUUGGUGAUCUUCUCUGAAACAAAGAAAGAGAUAAGGACAGAAUUGCAUUUCUCUUCUUAAAGCACCUGAAUUGUUCUAUUUACUCAUAAUUAUUGUUAUUUUUUUGUCUUGUCUUGCCUUCAGUGUGUUUUUAGGACCCAGGUUCUUGGACUUUAUCCUAUGCUUGAUCAGACCUCUGAAACAUAACACAGUCUGUUCCAUAAACCCUCAUGAACAAAUAGAUUAAGCACUGCAGGUUGAAUUUAUGUGAAUUUCACAUCCCAGCAACACCCAACAGAAGGCCAGAGCUUUAAAUACACUGACUGUUAUUUCGGUAUGUUGCUUGGUUACCACUUGUCAAACUUUGUUUUACUCCUUAUAUUUCCACACAAUGCUGCUAUACCCAAAUGACAGCAGUAGAGCUAACUAUUUUUCUACUUUAUUCAUUUUCUCAUGUUGUUAUUGGUUUUAUUAACGCAGCUUAGAAAGUAAGAGAGUCCAUGAGAGUCCUUUGAAUAACUAAACUUGAGAGCAAUUAACCUCCAUGUUAAUUAGCACACAACAUUAAAUGGAGUAAACCUGAGCUAAACAGGCUCAGGAGAGGGUGAAACACACCGGCUUUGCAGCUCUGUAUCGUCCCUUUACAAAGACCCAGUGGAUCCAGACUCAUAUCUAAACAGAUUUGAACAAAAUACCAAAUAUCUACUGUAAGACUUGAGCUGCAUCAGCAGUGUUUCAAAGCUCACAGCCUGUUUUCUCUUGUUAAGUGGAUCUUCUUACCCAUGGAGCUAUAUCAUUCGGUUCAGCAUGCAAAAAUAUAAAUCAUGGCCACCUUAAUGAAAGGAGUUUUGGCUGUAAUACCUCAUAUGGACAACUCUGUAUAUCCCCAAAAAGCAACCAUAUACAGUAAAUAAAUAAGGAGGAACCCCUCCAUAACUUACAAAGUAGAAAAAAUGAAGAUGCUAGAAAGUAAAAAUCUCUGCAAAUUUAACUACACUUAGAGGAUUCACUUUCCUGCUGUCUCUAUAAAACUACCCUUACUUUUGUCUUGAUUCUAUUUUCAGUUUUAUAUUUCCCUAAAUUUUUAAUCACAUUAAAAUUGAUCCUGUUCUGGUUUGAUACACAGCUCUAAUGAGUUUGGUGUUAUUUAGGGAGUUUGCAGUCUGCCUUUUUUUUCCCUCAGUGUAUUUGGUUUGUUAUUUCCCCUAUAUGUUUUAUAUGUUUGUACGAGUAGCAAUACAGCCAUCACACCUUUACACAUACCAAGAGCAUGGCUAAAAAUGAAGAACAUAAAUUGCAUUUGGUGUGUUUGCCUUCAUGAAUAUGCAGAAUGUAUGCAGAUUAUCAGAACGUGCAAAAUACGGGGAGGAGGAGAUGCAAAUGGAAUCCUUUUGCACCGCAAUGUGAUGCAUCAAACCUCAAACUAAUUGCGGUCGGUGUUUUUGCAUCGAUAUUUAGCACGUUUGAAAGGCAGGUGCAAACUGGCACAGUGUUACGCACAAAUGGCUGUGGUCACUGUGGUGAAAGGGAGUCAUAGGUGCAAUAACAGACGACAAGGAGAGAGAAUCUUCUGUGCACGUGUCAACAAUUGAACUGUGAGAAAUAAAAACAGUAGAGGCAUAUGAUCAAUCCAGUGAUGCCAUUUUUUAACUGGAUGACCUAAGGACUGAUUUCUGCCAAUCCCCCAUCAGUUUUAUUUGCACAGGUUUUAUUAAGGGAAAGUUUUUCCCUUGUUCCUUUGCAGAUAUCUUGCCAUUUUCUUAUUAUUUUAUCUGUUUUAUAUUUUAACUGUUCUCCAAAAACCUCAAUAAAUACAAUAAGCACAUUAUCAAUACUAAAGGCAACAUAAUUUAGUGAUCAACUUUUGGUGAUUUUUGUUGUGUACACACACACACACACACACACACGCACACGUACGUAUAAAGCACACACAACAAAAAAUACAAAAAGUAUCCCCUCAAAAACCUGUGGCAAAUGUGCCAUCUUUUGAUAGCAGUGAUGCAGUGACUCCUGUGAGUAUCUGUCUUUUCAUGCAUAUUAAUUUUUUAGUAGGACAGUAAAAUUCAGAAGCAGAACUAAAGAUAACCUUGUGAAAGCUGCUGGUGGUAUUCCUUCUUGCUUGCUAAACAUCUGUUGCAUGAUUUUUUUUAAAUAUAAAUAUUUCAGCCCACCACACCUGUGCAGCAAUCAUGCUUUAAAAGGCAUCUUGAUAUGUCACACCUGACAGAUGGAUGGAUUUUACCAGCAAAGAGUAAAUCCUCUCAAACUGAGAUUCAAAUAAAGUAGUUAGCACAAUUGGAGAGAGAUGAGCUCUUUGUGAAGGGAAAGUAUGAACUUGGCAGCACUUUUGUUUUGUGGAGGACUGAGGUGGAGAGAUGUGUGUGGAGUUAAGGGCAGACUGUAUUGGACAAUGUCAGUGACCCUCUCCAUGACAUCCUGACAGAGCAGAGAAGCAGCUGCAGUGGAUGGCUCAUUUCACUGCUCUGCAGGACUAAGAGGUUCAGGAUUCUUUGUUCCUGUUGCCAUCAGGCUCCAAAGCUGGGCCAUUCAACUGAAAACCCUCAGGCCAAAUCCGACCUGUGGGCAACCUCCAAGUGGACCAAACCUGACCAGCAUACAUGAAUCCAGCACAUGUCAGAACAUUUGAACAGUACAUACUGUGUGCACAAAAGUAGCUUGGGAGUAAGUCACCAUACUUUAUUUCUAUCUUUGCCAAGUCUAUCUAUCUAUCUAUCUAUCUAUCUAUCUAUCUAUCUAUCUAUCUAUCUAUCUAUCUAUCUAUCUAUCUAUCUAUCUAUCUAUCUAUCUAUCUAUCUAUCUAUCUAUCUAUCUAUCUACAAAUUAUGAUACUUAAACACAAUCUGUUAAUCCAUCAAUCGAUACAACCAUCAAUGUAAUCCAUCAAUGCAUCCAUCCAUCCAUGUCAAUGUAUCAUUAAUCAAUACAUCUGUCAAUCCAUCCAUCCAUUUCCCUUCCUUCCUUCCUUCCUUCCUUCCUUCCUUCCUUCCUAUGCUUGGAGCCAAAAUGAAAGUGCAGCAUUAGCAUUGCUAUGUUUUGUACUCCUGUUUUUUUUGUUGGUUUUUUUUAACAAAACUCAAAAUACAUAUUUUAUUCACUUUUUCUUGUUUAGUUUUUAAAUUAUUUUGAACCUGCCAGCAGCUAAAGAGAGCUUAGAAACCGAGAAAAUGUUCACAAUGCACAUAUCAAAACACCACACUAGGUAACAGGUCUGUAAUUUAUUUAAAUCUAAAAUACACACAUUACAUUUUCUUUUCUCCCUCUACAUGUACUGUAGCUUUGAUUUCCAUCCAUCUGGCAAAAUUCAACCAAAUAAUUAUUGGCCCAGCUUUGGUGAAUGCUGCUGCUUUUGUGCCACUGUUAGUGAAAGCCCCUUAGUGAAAGCUGGCUUCACAGCAUCCAGUCACCCAAAAAGCCCAAUUUGAACUGAAGUGAUUUAACAGAGGGUUGGUGCUGUAAUGUCUGUCAUUUCAGUAGCUUUUUGGCACAGUGGUUAUUUUUGCUGGUUAAAAGCCUGCUCUCUCCCAUGGCCUGUCAUAACCUAACUCUCUUACUUAUAACCAGACUGUGUGUGUUUAUGCUUGAUUCUGAUUGGUUAGAACCUCAUCGAAAAGUGACUAUUUGAUCACACAUCAUAUCAAAUGAAUCUACAGAAAGGUGUUCUGGCUCAUUUUACCUGUCGACACUGUGCCAAUAACUUACAGUUUUUUCUCAGUCGAUUUGGUGCAUUUCUCACAUCACUAUUAACAUUUGCACAACAGUUGGUGCAUUUCUCACAACAAUUAGUACAAACUGCAAAACCUAGUGGAUAAUCUGCAAAAGCAGGUCACUUGCUCAAAAUGAAUAGUUGAUUCCUCAAAAGCAAGUCUUCGUGUCAAUGAAAGUGUCAGUGUCAUCAAAAUUAAAAGUCCCUGACACCGUUGUUUAUGAGCAAGACAGUCAAAUGGCUUGGUCAUGUUUUCAUUAUGACAGUUUACUCUCUAUGUGUUUUCCAAGUGAAAAAAAGCCGGACCUUGGUGACACUACCUGAAAAUGCCCAAUACAGCACUAUGCACUACCUGUACAGCCAUUUGAAAACUACAGUAAAGUUGUACAGUAGUGUAUUUAGUGAGUACAAAACACAUAUAUGUUUCAUAUAUUUACUGCUUUUUGCUUUUUGCAAUUCUGCAUCACUGCGCAAAAAACAAGCAACCAAAACAAAACAAAAAAUCACAGUCAUUUAUUUAGAACGAACAUAAGAAAUACCAUUUUGGUAGAACUAUGCACAAAUGUUAACAAUAUAAUAGUACAUAUUACUGUAAACAAUGCUGACCUUCCAUUUUAGAGUCACAGGAUUACAGAAAUGGUACACACUGGGUCACCUGAGAGCAAGUGUUCAAUUUAUGAGACAUUUUCAGAAAAAAUGAAAAAAGAUGAUAAAAAAAAUGAUAAAGGAAUGUAUGAAUUCAGCUUGACAGAUUUUGACAACUAGUUCAACAGUUUUGUAUGAAAUGACUAAACCAAUGAAAUGAGGACUUUUAGUUUUAUAGGUAAUGAUUAUUCAGCAUUCAUAAGGAUAGUUAAUGUUGGCUGACAUGACAAGCAAAUGAUGUUAUAAAACAGCAGAGAAUUGUAUAAAAGUAACUGAUGCAUGUCCAAGAGCAUUUGUAAUUUGUUUAGAGGAAUGAGAAACUGCGACACUGAUGUGUACAAAUGACUCAAUGUUUUGGGGAUUGAACUAAUUGUUGUGAGAACUUUCAUUCUGAUCUGAGAAAUGCACCAAAGUAACUGAGAAUAACUUUAAGUUUCUGUAGCAGGGACAUUUGUUUACAUCUUAAGGAAACAGUUACCACUUUGUGUUGAGUCUGGCUCACCUUUUCUGAUUCUAAUCGGCUAAACCCCCAAUUUAAUACACAUUUUCCUUCCUGACCAGAGAUCCUGGUGGUCCUGUCCUCACAGAGAUCGCCAGAGCUUCUUUGCUUUUCAGUCCAAAUGAGACACUUUUCAGAUCUUUUUUUUCCAAAUAGCACCCAAGUACCUCUUAUUCUUUGGAAAAUCCAGUCUCCAAGACUCCAAGAUAAUUUCAAGCCCUGUUAGAUAUUUUCUGUAAAAGCAUUCGCUGUUGCAGAGCUGCAGUUUCCGCUUCAGUGUUGAGGGGAAAAAAAAAAAAAAUCCUGUGCCUGGCCAAUUUGAGCAUCACAUCUCCAUAGAAAUCAAGGACAGGUGUCUCACAUCAGAUUGUCAGAUUUUUCCCUCUGCACAUAGUUUACAGUUUGGAUGCACAGAUGGAAUCCACAAUCAACGGCACAUAUACUGUACAUCAUCUCCAGCUAUUUCUUUGCAUCAUUCUGCCGUUAAUGCAUAUGCAUGAAACAGAGAUGCACUUUAAUGACUUGAUGCAAGGUGUGCAUCAGAUGACAGCCAAACUAGCUCCCUGGCUGGUGCUUCUGUUUGAUAAAUAAGACACCUCUCUGGGUGCAGGACUCAUCUGAAAGAAGGAGAGGCAGGUUUAGUGUUCUUCCCUCUGUUGAGAUAUUUCCCUCUUUUCUCCCUCUGCUUCGUUUCUUCCUCUCUCAUUUGGUGCUUUGCGUUGCUCCCUCUCUGCACACCACCCUCGCUCUCUUUUUCAAUCCCCUCCAUCACCUGGAUCACCCCUACAUAUGAGAUCUUUUCUGGCUUUUGUCUCUGUCAGACCGCCUUGUCUUUCUCCUUUUUCUUGCUGUGAACCAGGGGCCACCGCUGCAGUCAAGACAGUGGGGGCUAUAGGGGGUUUGUGCUUCCUCAUAUCAUCCAUAUAGGCUCCAAGCAUACGUUUGAGGAAUGCUGAUCUCCACCUGCUGGCAUUUAAAAAGUCAUUACAUAGAGAGAAACUGUUAAGAACAUUCCAAGCGUGAGCAUGUCUCCUUAAUAAAGUCAGGUGAUUUAAAGUAAUAAGGGUAAAUCUGGGCAGAAAUUCACACAUCAUCUGGUUUAGAAAGGGUGGCCAUAUUUUCAAACCAUCAAACAGAGGCACAGCAAUUUUACAACAAACCCUCAUUACGGAUGGAAUUGGCACAAAAAGCAAGAAAAUCCUGUGUCAUAAAUUAUUGUGAUAAAGAAAAAUAACUCCCUUUAACCACUUUAAAUGUGGAUUCAGCACCUGUUCACGUCAUAAUAACUUUACAAACGUCUGUUCAGCACAACAGAAUUUGUAUUGCUGCAGGCUCCAGAGAAGUGGUCUUUGUUUAUUUGUUCCCAUUAGUGUAAUACUCUGGGCUGAAACAGCUGAACAUAUACAUAGAAAUCAGCAUUGAACUUUUUCUCAUGGUGCAUUAGCAGGAUUUUUCUAAGGUGUUGCAAGGGUUUCUCCUUAGAACACGAAAUGUGAUUUUUAAUUUUUAAUAUUAACAUUAACAGUUUCUAUCAUUGUCUGAAAACAUCAGGUCCAAAAUCAACCCUAUUCAGGGCUCGACAGUGUGACUGUUUCACUCACAUUCGCGACUAAAAAUAGAUGUGUGCGAAUUGUAAAAUGUAUUUAGAGGCAAAUGUGCGCAUAAAAAAAAUCAGCAGAGGCAACUUUUUUUUUUCAUGUAAACACUGUGGCAAAGUUAGUUUUAGGUUGGAUAUUUGACGGACAUUCACGGCUUAUCUACUGGUGUCUUCUCACUCUCCAUAACCAGAGAUAGCAACAGCAGCGCGGUUAAAUCUACUCGGCAUCCUCGCUGUCAAUGUUGGGUGUUGAACCAUCAAUAAAUUACCAGUUAAUGUUCUCAGAAAAGGCUGUUUUCUUUCAAAAGCUUCCAUGUCAUGUGACCAAUUGACGUCAAAUUGAUUUUAAAUAAUAGUACUAAGGUCGAACAAUAGGAAAAACUUCUUUAUUUCCUCCUCUAAAAAAUUUUGUGUUAAAUUUAAAGGCCAAUUUUGAACAUUUUCUUCAUUAGCUUCCAUUACAUGUGACCAAUUGACCUGAAAUUGAUUUCAAAUAAUAGUACUUAUGCCGACCAAUAAGACACACAUUAUUUGAUCAAUGUUUAUUGGUGUCAAGCCCUGCUAAUUUUUGUACUGAUUUGUUUAUUUAUUUUAAAUGUAUUGAACCCGGGAAAAAAAAAAUGAGUGCCCUGUAGUGUGUGAGUGUGUUUUAGUUUCAGACACAGAUUGUAGAGACUCCUUCAUCUCAGCCUCUAUAGUACUUAAUCUACCCAUUCAAGUUGAACCUUAAAGGAAAAAACAAGAUCUGUCGUUUAAUUCUUAGAAUUCAUGAGCCAACUUGGUCCCAUCAUGACAAUCACAGAAACCUAAUGCUUUGUCUGCACUGCUCACGUCUGUUGCUGCUUGCUGUUCAUUUAGACAUCCAUGGAAGCAAGUCAUUGAAGCCACACUGCUGCAUAGUGGUGCAACGGAUCACAAAACUCACGGAUCGGAUCGUUCCUCGGAUCAAGAGUCACGGAUCGGAUCAUUUUUCGGAUCAGCAAAAAGAAAAAAAAACAAGACAAAUAAAAUAUAUAAAAGUAGUGCACAGGGCAUAAUAUCUUCUUUUUAACAUAAUUAUUAAUGAAAAACAACUUAAAGUACAAUAUACAGGCAUAUCUCCUUCCUUUAAAAUGUAACAAUGAACCAAAGAUAAAGUGUGUGCGCGAUGGGAUGUCGUAACGUGGCUCAAGCACUUUCAGCAUGUUUUUAAAGCCCUCGUUUUGCACAACUGAAUACGGCCUCAUGUCUGCAGCUAUAAACACACCGAUAGAGUUUGUGAAGGCUUUAGCCUGGUCGGAUUGCGCAGGAAGAGGCUGCUUAAAUGCUGCGGUGAUGAGCGGUUGUUAGGGCUUUCGUUUUAUCUCAGGUGUUAUGCCAAAGAAUGCACCCCUGCCGUAUAGUGCACCCCCUAACGGGAGCGCGGUUGAAAGUACAUAACAAGGCGAAAUAAUACAAGUUUUCCUUACGUUGGAUGUAUUCAACAGCGUUUGCCUUUAAUAAUUUCAUUCAGGCUAUUCAUAUCAAAUAUGAGAUCAUUAUCUCCACUUUAAGAAGCUAACGGAUGCAGGGGGUGCGUUCUACGGCAGGGGUGCAAUCUACGGCACAACACCUGUCAGUAAAACACCCGGGUGAUGUCGCUUCAAAUGCGUGAACAUGCUCGAUGUGUUUCCACUGUCAUAUGGCUUUCUUAUGCCACAGUGCCUACACUCCGUCGCAGUUUUGUACACUGACCUCUUUCCUUCUUCAUCAUAAUUGACAGGGAAGCCAAAAUGCUCCCAUACAGGGGAUUUAAGUGUCGCGGGGCGUUCGAGCUCCUCCUUUCUCCGCUUUCAGAAAUCGAUCCGCGGAUCACAUGUGUGCCGAACCGAAUACGUCGAUCCGAACGGAUCACGGAUCAAUGAUGAUCCGUUGCACCACUACUGCUGCAAUGCUGCAAAUAUGAACAGAAGUCACAUUAUUUUUCCUGCAAGCAACGCUUGAUGUUAGGAAAAAUACUCUGUGAAUGGUUUUUUCAAACAACCAUAUUGACAUUAUACCAGUAUUUAUCUUCCUGUAAUAUAGUUUUGAAGCCAUUAUCAGAAGAAUGUAUCCCAAACACGCUUGUCUUUAGCUCAAAAUUAAUCGUGUUUCAGAUAUUUGUCCAAUUUGAAAUUAAAAAUAUAGUGAGACAAGAUGGUUAGCUAGAUCUUUUUAUGGAUGAUAUAAAAGGCAAACUAAAUUCACAGAUGCAGCGCUGGAAGCAGUUGACUCGCUGCUGGUGUGGAAAAAAGAGGUGGGACAAGCAGCAGUAGUUUAGUGAGGCAACCAUCAUAUUCAGCCCAGGCGUGCAGUGUCCCAGGGGAAACAGUACGUAAUGGUCGCCUUUAAAGAUGGAUACCAUGGAGGUCUGGAGUUCUGGGGGGAACUCUCCUGUGGCCAAUUUCUGCGAGGGAGUCACCAGAACUGUUUGAUCUAAAAACACCUGCUAUCAUAUUUUUAUCUUUCAAAGUCCACAUGAGUGAAAAAAGAGGUGGACUGUUCCAGAGAAGAGAUGAAAUACACAUGAGAGGAACAUUGGGGACUGUGAUUAUUUAGCAGAGAGACAUUUAUGUGUUGUAUUGACGGAAAAAAAAAGAAGGCCCCUUUCUCACAUAAACCCACCUCUUAGAAUGCACCAUAAACACAUUUACGAACCCUUAUAAAGGCCUUUAUAAGGCCUUUGUAAGUGAUAAGAAGCAUACAUAACAACUUAAAGUGAUGUUUAUGAAGCAUUAUAAGGGUCUUAUAAGAUAAAUUCAAGUUAUGUGUUUAUAUAUGAUUAAACAAAGUCACACUGUGGUAGUAAAAUAAGCUGCUCAGAGUUUGAAAGUCUCGACCUGCCACUGGUGAAGUCACGUUAUUCAGCAUGAUCCUGUUCUCUCACAGCCAACACUUUCCGAGCCGACAGUUCUCUUUCCACAACAUCCAUCUGCAGCGCCAGAGGAGACAAAAUAGGGCCAGAAUACAGAGUAGAAGAGGUAAGGUAAUAAAAAAACUGGAAAACACUGAUAAGACACAUCUGUGGGAUUAAAUGAGACUCUCUUUGGCUGCUAAAUGAGCCCCUUCACCUCCAUUAGUGGGGUUCACCAAAACACUCCUGAGUGGGCUGGGAAGUGCCACUCCUGAGAGCCUGUGAGGUUGUUAAACUCAGACACACCAACUCAGACAGGUUCCCUCCUUCAAGAUUUACACAAAAGCCAUAGUUUUAAGUUUUUUUUUUUUUCCAAGUGACAAAUGCAAUUAUUACUGCUGUUAAAGCCUGUAGUGGAGAAAGUGACUGAUCAUGCAGCUCUUUCAUGUGAACACUGGUGGAUUGAUAAACCCCGGGUUUAACAUGGGAUUACCAGCUCACAGGAUAGUCAAUGUUAGAAUUAACGAGUCUAACAGUAUUUCUAACACUUACUAUUCUGUGAUAGAAUUUAUGUUGGAUGAUUUAACGAGUCUUUUAUAAUUGGGUUCGCCUUAGAUAAAGGAAUAGUUCAACAUUUUGGGAAAUUAACGUAAUUUGUUAUAUUACCUGGAAUUAGAGAAGAUUGACACCUUUGUUGUGUACAUGUGAAACAUAAUACGGUUUCUUCAACAGCUAGUUAGCCAAGCUUCACUCCACGCUCAGCUAACUGGAGGGUAGGGGGGAUAAGCUUAUGUGAAGUCUUACAGAGAAACGCCACCAUUAACUUUUUUCUCAAAUUUGUUUAAUUUGUAUUAAAAAGUUCAAUAAGUAAUCCUCUCCUGGGGUUUAUGGAGCUGAUGUUGAGGAAAACUUCUUAGCUUUUUGUGAUGGCAUAAAGUUAACUCUGCAUCACUGCGUUCCAAGUGAACUAGCUGACUAGCUAUUCUCAUAUUUGUAGGCUACAUAUCUGUACAAUGAAACAGACUCUUUUUUUGUUAUUUUUAUAUUUACUCUUAUGACUUGGAUGUGGUUGAAAUUUAACUUAUCAAAAAAGCUUGAAAAGAUUGAUUUUGUUUCAGUAUCAAAUGUUGUUUUCACACUUAAAAACUCUUUUAUUUCUGCUCAAUCAACAACGCCCCUCCCCCCAAAUGUGCCAGAAAAGGAAGUCUUUUAGGACAAGAAAGAGAGAAAUUAGUAUGCCACACAACUUAUAUUUUUUAUAGAGCACCACCAGGAAAGUGCUGUAGUAAGGAAGACGAAUCUGAGUCACACUAAAGGAAUUUAAACCAAUGCUGAGAUGGUCAUUUUUCUCCAAGACGGGGGAAGAUAUUUAAUGUGACACCUCUUAUCUUUUGAUCCAUUGCUGGGGGGGAGAAACUACCCAAUCCCUUCUUUGAAAAAACUUUUCCUGUUGGGGUUUCUGUGUAUUGUGUUGUUGUGGCCUUUAUCACUAAGCAGGAACACGUUAUGUUGUAGUGGAAAAUCAGCAUAAACUCAGUAAAACAGUGCACAGGAGACAGGAUGAGAUCUGAAGAACAGCCUGGGCGUCUUUAUUGUACAGAUGUAGAAAUCAGUACAGAUGACAACAGAGUCUUGACCAAAGCUUUUCUUCUACUCCCUAAAAGGUGGAUGAGGUGUAGCAGCUCAUACCUGAAUGAGCUCUGGUGAUGUUGGCUGCUGGUUGCCAUUUGCCUAAUAUUCUGUUCUUGAGUUGAGCAGUUUAUUUUCCAUAUACUCAUGUUUAAUUGCUGCCAGCAAACUUGAAGACCAAGCAUGUUAGUUUUGUUCAAAGUGGAAGUUUUCUUGACUCUUGCAUCUUCUACUAAUGGCAGUAUAAAAUGCAUUUAAUGUAUUCUGCACUUUCCCUGCACUGGGGAUACUAAAUUAAAUAACCAAAGUCAGUUAGUGAGCUUUAAUGGCAAUGGUCUUAAAACUUGAGUUUUGCAAUUUAUAUUUAAUCUUUGACUUGCAAGCAUGUUUUGUAAGCUCUUGGGCCUAUGGUAAGUCAAAAAUACAAUCUGCAAAGCUGCAAGUGGAAGGGAAAGCCUCUUGUGUUGACCCCUACUGGCUUGGAGUGGUGGUGCAGGUACUAACUCCAGUGGAGAAAAACAAAACAUGGUGGUUGCAACACUUAGCGAUUGUAAUUUCCUUUAUGCUCUGGCUUAACUAAUUAAUGACAAUUAGAAGAAUCAAUAUCAAAAUUGACAUUAUUAAAUGAUCCACUUGCUCUAAAGAGAAGCACCUUUAUUAUCAUGACUUCAUUAUGCUGCAGCUCACUGUUGCAAACUUGAGCUUACUUGUGCUUCUUUUUCAAGCACUUGAGUGAAAAAGGUCUUACCCUUUAAUCUGAGUCUUUUCUGCAAUUGCAUUUCUCAAUUUUCCACAGAUAACUGGAUGUUCUUCUAUCUAAGUGCAGAAGAAAUUCAUAAGCAGAGUUAUAUUUAUUUGAAACACAUAUCAAGUCCAUUUCCUGUGAGGCACAGCUUCAAAAGAGAGUGAUUUAAAUUCAGUCCAAUCUGACAAAACUUGACUUGGAAUUCUAAUGGACUUGCAGGCUUGGAUGUAAUUAUAAGUCUGCCUUGAGUUUAUUUUGUACUUCCUCUCUUAUCCCUUAUAUUGAGAUUAGCACACCAAUCUUCAAGUAAAAAAAGUUUACUUUUACUACAGCAUAAACCACUUUACCUCCGAACUUUGAAACCCCCCUUCAAAUAUAUUCCAAUCAGGGUCCUGCUCACUGACAGCAUCAAUAAUGGCCAACAUAAUAGAUGCGAUGAAGUCAUGUUGGCUACUUGACAGGCAGCACUGAUUACAGUAAUGAUUGAUGUUAAAGGUCCUCAUGCUCUUUAAGGCUUCUACUCUGUUUCGUAAAGCAUCAAGAUAAGGGUGAACUUUUGAAUGGCUUUGAAAGAGUUAACAUGCUAAAUCAGCUUUUGCAUUAUAACACAGGUUUAUAAGAUUCUCAGGCAGCUUUUGGUUCAGGUACAAGCAGUUUAGGUACAUGCUAAGUCCGACUAAUACACAUAAUAACUUUAUGUUUCAGGUCGUUCAGAGUUUGAGCUAUGGAUUUUUUUCAGUUUAACACACAGUUCCAGGUACCCAACGGUGUAAACUGAGAGUUGGAGACGUAGUGAAAGCUGUUCGUGCAGAAUAUAUUUGUAAUUUUAAAUUCAGAGCUAGCUAACAAGGUCACUGUUUAACUGUCUGAUCUCUGCCGGUUAUCUUAAUUUAGCAUGUUUGUACUCUCAUGUAUCAGUGAUUUAGCUAAGUCUAAUAUUGGUCUCCCAGUUGAUAGUUGGGGUAUAAAUUCAACGUGCAUUACAAACAUCUCCUUUAAAACUGCUGCAGCAUUUCUCCUUCCCUGCACAGAGCGCUUGGUGGCUGACAUUGCAUCACCUUCUUUGUCUUCUUUCACCUCCACCUCUGUAAACUUCGAAGUGACUUAGAAAAUCCCUUUGUAAAGUCUACAUCCUCGCAUUAACUGCUCUAUAUACAAUAACACAGCAGAAAGGUGACUCUUUGCCACUAGUGCGUGGAAUUGUGAGAUGAUAUGGAGGAGCUAAAUUUAUCAGCAUAACAAAUGACCAACAAUCCUGCAGACUCCACUUUUAAAAUCAAUCAUUAGUCACUAAAAACCCAGGUUUUAAUGACUCUAAUGUGUAGUUAGUAUCAAGGUUUCACUGCAUAAUAUGCCAGGGACAGCAAAGAGCCUGCUGUGAGAGUUUUUCUUCCCUCCUGCUUUUCUUUUUCUCUCUCUCCCUCCCUCUGUUCGCUCUCCAGGUGUUAUCAUCAUGUUCAGUUUCUACCUGUGCGGUACAGUCUCGCUGCUGCUCAUGGGCUCCUUCAGACCUAAUGCCAGCUAAUCAUUCCAGUUUCUCAUUAAAGUAGUGCACGGUUGGAGUAAAUCUAGAAUUUUCUCUACUCUGUUAAAGCAAAAAUAGAAAAAUAAAAAGAUGCUUUGUGGUUUGUUACUUGAAGUGGCACCAGCUGUCUGAAAAAGCUCCGGGGAUUACCUUCAUUUCUGGACAACAAAACGAGUCGCAGUCGCUGUUUUGUGCAGACACCAAAACAACAUGUGACAUAUUAAAUAAUAAUAAUGAAAAUAAUAAUUGGAAAUUUUAACACAGGGCUUGUCUGAAACUUCAAGUGGUAUGCAACGAAAUGAGGAGGCAUCAUUCAGUCAAACCAUAAUGUCUGACCCAGCACAGAGUAGUUUUACUGCUGCUCAGGUGUAAGCAGCCAUAAUUCAGUGCUGUUGUUGAAAUGUAUGAGAGAAAUUUAUUGAGAGAAAUGUGGAAAAUUGCCCACAGCUUAACAGGAAAAUCCCACAAUGACCUGACUCACAAAAAGACAAUAUAAAAACAAGAUAUUAAAAGAGUGUUUAGAAUCACUGCUGUCCACAACGCCUUUGAAUGAAUGAUAAAUUUCUGAUGCUGGUGCUUCUCAAUAAAUUAGGAUAUCAUCAAAAAGUUGAUUUAUAGCAGAGGUUAAAGGUGGGGUAGGGGCCCGUUAUUCCGCCAGAGUCUCAGGUAUUUACUUCGUUUUCUUGCUUGUGUUGGCAGUCCUGGCCAAAGGAGGAUUCAGACAAUUUUUUGUACUUUCUGGUUGGUUUCUACUGUCUGUUAUUAUAGCACACUAACUUUGUUUAGGCUCCUGCACGUCAUUCGAGGACGUGGAGCAUGCCUCAUAACAUGAGAGAGCAGCGUCCGCCUCACAACCAAUCAGGUUGGGGGAGGCGGAGAACGGCUUUGUUUACAGUCAGAAAGAGCGGGGCACUCAAAAACUUUAAAAUGUUGACUACACAGACACAAGAGAACACAGCGAUAUUGUUAUAUUCCCAAAUGUCAUCAAUAACUAAUAGCUAUUGACUGAUAUUAAAAGCUUUUUUGUCUAUACACCACAAAAAAAACCCCAUGCUUUUUUCAAUGAAAUUCUGCUUACCCCACCUUUAAGUUAAAAAAAGUGAAACGCAUUUAUUAUCUAGAUUUAUCACACACAGACCGAUAUAUUUCAAGUGUUUAUUUUUUUCAUUUCAAUGACUAAAUUGCAGCUAAUGAAAAAACAAAACAUAUAUGUAUAAGAUUCAUUUUUUCACAAAGAUUCACAAAAUUUCUAUCUGCAUAAUAUUGCCAUCCAUGAUUGAUAUUGGUAUCACCCUCUUUAUCAGUAUCAGCCAAAUUGAGUUCGAAGAUAUUGACAAAUUGGACAUCUGCAAAAUUCGCGUAUUACGCACAAGCCAUUGUUACGGCCACUGCCAAGUCUACUGCCAUUCAGUGGGACAAGGUAUAAAUCAAAUGUUAAAUUUAUACACCUGCGCCAUAAAAACUUUUCACUGUUGGUUCAGAUCAGAGGAAACCAAACAUCCCGUCUACCUCAUCCCCCUCCAAAUGAUCCCCUCCUGGGUGAUAGAUGUUGUUUGUGAUUUUUUUCUCUAAAUCCAGGCCCGUUAGAUACUUCAGAGCACUGCACUUUAAUCAGUGGUUUCUUUACUCAGACACUAUAAAAUUCACUUAUUUGUUAAAUAUUUAGAUUUCGAUAUUUAAUUAAGAGAGAAAUCUCAGGUUAUAAAUUGACAAACCAAUCAUGGGAGCUGCUUAAUCCCAGGCUAUGUGGACUGUGGUGAGAAAGGGAGGUAAACAGCCAUCCCCUAAUGUCACAUUCUGACAUUUCCCCUCCCUAUGACCACUUUGUGGCUCCAUAACAUCAAACUAUUGCCUCUUCUGCUCCCCUUUUCCCUUUAGACCACAGUCAUAAUUACAGCUAAAGUCUGUCUACACAGUCUUUACAUACACUAUAGACUCCUAUGGAAAAACACAUCUUGUACAUGUAAAGUAAGACAGAUACAAACUCUUACACAACAGCAGAGUUGCUCUUUGGAGAGGAGACACAGAGUUCAAGGUUGGGACGAUUGCUCCUUACAGAGUUGGCUUCUGGAGACUUAAAGGAAAUCAAGAGGAUGUAAUCUAUAAAUAUAAAUGAGGUGACAUUGAGAUAGCAUUCAGAUAUAUAUCUCAGAGCUUUGUGGACAUAGAAUCUAAAGAGUGUUAUCUAAUGAGCACACAUUUCAAUAAACCCAAUUACCCAAGAACAGUUUCAUCUCUCUUGUGUUUCACACUCGUGCAUGCACAAACACACCAGCCAAGUCUAUGAAAAAGCUUCUCAAACCACGCUGUUCUCAGCCAAUAUGUCACUUUUACAUUCAAUACUUGACGUCUUACAUCUGCACAGACGCUCUGUUUUCCCCCGUCAAAUAAACACACAUCUCUCUCGUAAAGAAAAACACACUUCAUAAACCUUCAUUUCAGAGGAGGAAAGUUGUUGUUUGCAGUUUUGAUUCAAUAACAUUUUAAAACUUUGGUGCACUGAGGCUUUUCUUAUAUGAUUUGAUCCUCUGCGAAUAAAACUGGUUCAGACAGAUUCCUUUCAAAAUCAUUAGCUGCACAUAAAGUUGGAUGGUAACUGAUGUUGUACAAAAGUGAUGCGAAAUUACAAGAAGACUGUUGUAUGUUAAUGGAGCCAGAGUCUGUGGGAAUCAGCAAAUGGAGGUGCAGUGUUGAGUAAAUUAAACAAAUAAAAGUAAAAUUCAUGUAAUUUUUUAGCUAUUGCAAGCAUUUUGUUGAGUAUUUCAAUGUUAUACCUUUUGUUCUGAUUUUUUUUUAGAAAGUAUGACUUUACUGUGUUUUAUCUGAAUAAAUUAGACCUGGAAACAUGCUAGAACAUGCUUGAAAAAAAGGUGUUUUAAAACAAACACGUGCCCUAGUUCUCCUAUUUGUUGAGGCAUUGUAACAGAAAAGACGCCUCUCAACCAGCUUCGGUCUGAUCAGACAGGACAUGGAUGUUCUCUUUCUACGGCCUGUCGGCUCAUCACCUGUGAAACACUGUACAUGCUUUGGUCAGACUCCUCUCUUUAUUCCCUGAGCUUUUCUUGUAUGAUGUACUCUGGAGGCCGAGCACUGAUUUCUGUUGGCUGAGUCAAGCUGUGUUUUUCCUGCAGAAAAUACUACAAAAGACUGCUGGGAGGUUUGGGGGAUUGUUGUGGUUGAUAUGAAAGGCGUGGAGCACAAAAGUCAAGAAACCUACUUCAUUAUUCAUUUAUGGUUUCCUGCUGCUCUUGAUUUGGAUGGAUAGUUUUCAAAGACUCAGCUUGGUACCUUGUGAUUUAAUCUGAUUUAGAUUCUUGUAAGGGUUAUAACUGUUGCUGUUUGAUACAAGUAGUUAUUUCUGAAAGUGUUGCCCCUCAAAAAGACUUAUUUUUCUCCAAUUAAUUUAAAGAGUUGAGAUAAAAAGCCAUCAUUUUCUUAUUAAGAUGUCAAAUAACUCAAAUGUCCAACUUUUAGACAUCUACUGCCUUGUUAUAGACACUCUCUCUCCCAUUACAGUGCACACUCAGGACACAUAAUGAAGCUGUGACAUUCAGUUUUAAACAUCAAAUAUGUUUUGUUGUUAGGAGCAGACAGUCUUAAAAUGUGGCAGCAUAAUGUCAGCCCCUUCCCCAGCCACCCCUGCCCCUUGUGUGGCAGUGAAGCACCAUGUUUGAGGAGCUGACAUUUCAUGGUCCAGUAGCAUUAUUGCGAUCGAAAAACAAAACAGCCUUGACUUUUUGUGAGGGAAGCAAAGCCGCAGAGAGAUGUUGGCACGGAGAGAGAAAAAGAGAGCGAGAGAGAGAGGAGAAUGCUGUCUUAAAUUUUAAACAGCCCAUCAAAAAGUGAAAAUUUGAGAGGAGAUGAAUGUGGAUGGAUAAGUAAUGAUACCCUUUUUGAAAUGGAGUUCCAGUAUUUAUCACCACAACAUCUAAGCAAUUAUUAAACAGUCCUUCCUUUUGAGCAAUAUACUGCUUUUUUCACUGAUAUAAUUUAAUUGCUAACCUUUACAUUUUGAAUGGUGACAUUUAAUGCAGCAAAGAUACAAUUUUGGUCACAUUUUCAAGCUUGGCUUUUCAGAAACACUUUCUGCAGCUGGCAGUUUUUACAAGUAGUGGUACGGCGCUAACACCCUUUAAUUAAUUUAAUGACAGACUGAUGCUUAAAAGUGAAUUUGAUGACUUUGAAGUGAGCCUGAAUGAGAGAAUCAGAGAGAAGGAGAGGGAGGAGCUCAUGGCAUCUUAAACUGCAAUUUCAAGUUAGCGUCUCUGUUACGAGUUUGAGUAUAUCAAGAGUUUUCUUAGAGAUAACAGUUGAAAAAGUCUCAACUAAACAGUGUUUGAUGGAUUUAGAAUUUGAGUGACUGGCAUACAGGCAAGAUACAAAUAAAAGGUGGUCAGUGUAGCUGAUAGUAAACUUAGAGGAGACCUGUUACGUCAGAAAGUGUUUGAAUACAUAUCUAAACAGUAAUGAUAAUAUGUUGAAUGUCUACGUAAAACUUGGUCAAGAUUCCCAACGUGAUUAAUGCAGAUGUUGGUGUUAUCCUUAGAUGUGUUACAAAGGUUCAUUAUGAUGACUACAUAAGAAUUGGCCUGAAUCUAGUGUCAAGCUCUGCUCUCCUUACAUGACAACACUGUAGGACGUUCCUGCUCUACUUUCAGCUCCAAUAGAGCUCUUUCAAGGACCUGUGAGUAGAGCUGGGUGAUUAAUCUUGUUUCGAUUAUGUUUCCGUCUGAUCAGAAAAAUAUGACAAGACCGUGCCACCUGCUAUAUGUCUUGCUCAUUUUAUCCUUUGUGGUAGCACACCCUCCCUUUCCUCCUCCACAAAGCUGUGUAAAAAGUAACACCUAUGAGCCUUCCACCAGUAUACAGAUUUGAAGCUGAAAUGCUCUCGGUAUUUCCAUGAUUUUUCUCUGUUUUCUGAAACCCACAUUGCACAGUGGUGUUGUACACACUUCACCACUUGUGCAGUAGGCAGGAGAGUUGCCGAAAGUCACUGUGAUGACGCUCGGCUCACGCAAUCUUCGCACACCCAUCGGUUGUAACAAGUGUCAAUCAUAGAAAACAUGAACCCCCUAAUAAUUUUUAAAAACAGAGCUGCACACAAAAAAGCACAAACCAGUCUUACAAUAACUACAUGUCAACAUCGCAAGCAGGGGGGAGAAAAGUUUAUAUUCUGUGUAAUAAAUUUCUAAAGUUUGUCCACAUCUCCAUGAGCUUUGCUGGAGGAGGCAGGAUUUAUGACCUACACUGCAGCCCGUCAGCAGAGGGUGCUGUUCUCUGGGUGGCUUCAUCCAGCAAGGACGCAGACGGCGUCCAUUCUAUAUACAGUCUAUGGCUGUUAUUAACUCUUUUAUCACUGUAUAUGCAGCAAAAAUGUAGAUUUUCAGGCAGAGGCUGGAGAGUGUUUAAGUUAGAGCUUCCAUAAAUGCCACUGUAAGACUAAUACGGAGGCAUCAAGGGUUGGUGUAGAAGAAAGCAGCUAACCUCUCUCUGUUUUGGAGUUGCAGCUCAGGUAACUUUAUGUGGCUUCUUUUCUCACUUCUUUUUUUGACUGUUUCCAGUCAUGAUGCAAAGCUGAGCUAAACAAACACUUCUCCAGGGCCUCACAUUUACCAGCCACUUUAGAGUUGAAUGAAUCUUCUUAUCAAACUCCUUGCCAGAAAGGGUUUAUUUUCCCCGUUUAUUAAACUAUUUCCCCAGUUGGGAGGAGCAGAACUCACAAAACUGUGAUGCCAUUUUUAAAAAAGAAAAUAGUUGGGAGGGGAAAAAAAAAAAGGAAAACUCAUCAGACCGCAUUCAUCCUGGGAAGCAGUCUGCUCAGCGCUCUGCCUCUGUGGUGGUGGCAACGUUAUACGACCCUGGCAAAGAAGUGGGUGGCCCAGCACAGCGGCAGAUGUGGAGUGUUUGAUUUAGUCGAGGCAGAUCAGAGUAUCAACAGCAGCACAGGGAGGUGUGGAAAGUGCAAUAAAUGAACGUGCCGGAGUCCAGCCUCUCAUCAGCAGCUCUUUGUCUCAGGAACCCCCUUUUUGUUUCCACUCUGUCAGCUGCUUGAAUUACAUUAACAGUGAUGUAUUACUAAUUUCCAACGUGUUUUUGCCAUCAAGACAUUAUGUUUUUAGUCUGGGUGAGUUUAAAUUAAACAGAGUCUCUGUUUAUUCCUAUGGAUUCAUUCAGAGAGGAGAGGGAUGCUGGGAAUCUAUCUUUCCAGCCAACUGAGCUAAGCCAUUGGGAGACAGUGGGGUUGGCUGCUCCCACUUCCUCUUGGUAAUGGAAAAACCACCACAGAGAGUCAAGAUAAAGAAAAGGGAGCAGACUACACACACUGUAUCUCAAUUCCUGCUGGAUUCAGGCCCCCGUGAGCACGAGGCACAUCUUUGCUCCAUGCAUAUCUUUUUAAUUUUCAGACCGUAUUAAUUGAAUUUACAAUACUUUUGAAAGCGUGUCGGCUAUUUUAAAGCUCAUUUGAUCUUCCAGCAAAUUCUCAUUAGCUGCUUGCUCUCACUGCUACUUGUCUUCAAAGUAAACUGAUUGAAACAUCUUAAUGCCGGUGCACUUUCUUCCCCUUGAAUGAGAAAGAGGAAGGCUUCAAUCUUCCACACACUGUCGGGAGAAAGAGGGAAGGAAACAGAUUCCUCAGGGGGUUCAAUGCAUUAUUACAGUCAAUAUAUUGAUGUACGUUUGAGAGUGAUCCAAGGGUAAAAUCCCCUUAGAGACAAAGGUAAGAAGAGAAGGAGCGAUGAGGAUGUUUGUAUUCAUUCGUCCUCUCCUUGGUGUGCACUUUCUCUCACCCGCUCAUGAAUAACGGAUGCUCGCGCAGCCUAAACUGACCUCUCAGCUAUUACGUCAAAUGAUGGAUUUGUUUGAAAACCACUUGACCUUGUCUGUACCAUCAUCAUUUUGCUGUGUCAAUGACACUAUGGCAAGGUUGCCAAGUCACAGCCUGGCACCGACAGCUGAAUCGCCUUGCAGAAUUGCCGACAUGGAUAAUCUGGCUUUACAGACUGUUAGUCCUGCAGGUCAAGCAGAUAUUCGAUCAUAACCUUUCUGUCUCAUUUGUUUACUCCCUGCCAAAUGUCACACUUUGUUUACGAUAAUUUAACUGAAGAUGUAUUCAUUAAACCUCAAAUGUCUCUUUCCAGAUCUUUGUUAGUACCUAAUUAACUAAAAUCCAAUGGCAGCUAAUUCAAAUAAAGAGGAUGCAAUCUUCUUUAUUCAUUGUCAACAGACUUUUACCCAAUGCUAAAACGUGUAGCUAAUUAAAUCUCUAAUGCUCAUGUAGCUACGUGCACAGAAAGCAUCAAUAGUUCCUCUGCACAAUGGCUAAUUUGUAUGGUGGUCCUGUUUUAUUCAAACACAUGUGAAAACACCUGCCAGGGCAGCAGAAUGUAAAACCAUGAGAAUGUUACUGAUGGAAAUCUCCCGUGAAGGGAUGGAGGCGAGAUACGAUCUCAACACCUACCCUUGAAAAAUAGAAAUUGAAGACUUGUGGUGUAAAUUUGACAUCGAGAUUGACCUUAACUGUUCAGUUUCACACUCAGCGUUGGGCUCUAAUGAGGCUCUACUGGCUUAGACACAUCAUCUCUGUGCACUGAAAUUUAAAUGUACGUGCUGGGACUGAAUAAAUAAAGCUUUUGCAAUCUUCUGGGCUUUCAAAGUCUGAUGUAUCUAUGAAAGUUUGUAAGUUUUUAAGGAUGCAGGCAGUUCUCUAAACAGCUAUUAUGAUGAGAGGGCUUUUGCCAUGCUAAUUGGAGUUGGAGCACUGUGUAAAAUGUUGAUAAAUCAGAACUUAAUGGUUUGCAAAUGAUAAUUAAAAUAGUCUAAAGACCACACAUUGUAUGUUGAACUCAAAAAUGCGUGAUUUAAUGAAAAAUGGUUGCUCAUUCGAUGUUUGAUGCCGGCAGUGGGUUUCAGAACAGUUUGGACAGUUGGACAGUUUUGUCAUAUGAUUGGGUAUAGAAACUGUUCUCCAGAGAGUCUCUGAGAGGUUAAGAUAGGAAAAAAGGUCACCAAUUUACAGUAUGAGGGGAAAUAGAUAAAUGUUCUUGAGAACAAAAUGACUCAAAUUUGAGGAUUUCAUCAGCAGCAAGCGAUCUCACUAAAAGAUCCAAGACAGUCUGGCUGUAGACCUCUACUGAGAGGACCCGAAGUGACUUUUUCUUGCACGCUCCUUGUUUAAAGUGGUCAUCCCGUUUUGUAUUUUGUCUUUUGUUGAACACAUAAACACACAAAAAAAUUAUACUAACAUCCACAGAUACACAUAAAAUAAAACCCCAAGAAAAAAAAAUAUUCACACGACACAAAAUGUACGUACUUCCUGGUGCAAUCACUUUUCAUUUGAAAGGCUUCGAAUCAACUUGGGAUGUACAAAAACAAACGUACUCCUGGUAUAUUUGCUUUUAUUUUGAAAGGCUUCAAACAACUUUCAGUCUGCUCAGUGGAGGUGGUCCUCUCAGUGGAGGUCUGCAGCCAGACCCCUCCCAAAAGACUCAGAGGAUGGUUAAAUUUCAAAAGGAACAGGGAACAACGCCAUAAACUGACACUGGAUGUAGAUUUUUAGGACCUCAGGCAGCACUGCAUUACAAACAGACCUAAAAACCAUUAGAUUUUGACACAGGUCACUGCAUCCAAAAAUUAUAGUCAAAUCUGUUCGUUUUGAACAGAAUGAGCAGAUUAACUGUUAGAGAGGUUUACAUCUUUGUUAUGGGAUUGAUGGUUAACAGAGUUAAACUUUUGGAUUAACUGUGCCCCUCUCUUGAGGUGAUCUGAAAGCACUCAUCAUUACUGUUGCUGAUGCUAGAUUUUCAGUGGCAUUGCUCAGUCUGUCCACCAUUGCUAAUGAUUUGGUUACAUUCAGCUAGAACACUGAAAGAAAUCACAAAUGGAGACACCAGCAUUAACCUGUUGUGAAAUUCUUCAAUAAAUAGUGACCAAAAAGCCAAAAACUAAAGUGAAGCCUGUCAUCCAGAUGUGGAAAAUAGCCAUGUGGUGUUUUGGCCAAACCACUGCCAAGUUAACAUACCUCAGAGGUAAGCUGUCACAGAUAGAGGGGCUGCAGACAAUUCAUAUUAGAUAGAGUGAGGGAGGGAGAGACAGAGAAUGAGGGUAGGAGGGUGACAGUAAUGAAGAGAUGAGUGAGUGUGUGUGUGUGAGAGGGAGAGAGAGCCAAGGGUGAUGUGCAGCCGCCUCUGGCAAGAUCUUAAUAAUGUGGAGUGUGUCAUGCACUGUAAUUUCUAAUCUUGUAUGAGUAUAUUAGUGAUAACAGGGCAAAUAAUCUGUGGAAUUGGGUGUGAUGCAUCCUGAUUUUUAACCUGCUAGGAUUCUAGAUGCAUAAAUUUAUUCAAAGACCUGCAGAAAUGAAUUUAAUCCCAGCAUAUGGUGGGAUCAGGAUUUGAAUGACUUUUUACUGAGAUCAGAUUUCUGUUGUGAUAAGUAACUCGGUUGAAUUUUUCUUUGGCUGACUGAUGUGUGGUUGCAAUUGUAUUCUUAGUUGGGAUGGGAAUUGUUAAGAAUUUAGUGACCCUGAUUCUAUCAUCGAUACUGCUUAUCGAUACGAUUCCUUAUCGAAUCUCUUAUCGAUUCUUAAUGAGUGAGAAAUAAGAUGAUACAAAUGGGUUUGUUUGCAUUAACUCUUAAAUAUUGUCCCUUUUGGAGAAAAGUUAUGGCAUAUCCAUGCACUAGUAAUUUGUUCUGUGACCUACUCUUUGACCACAAAUCUGGUCACCGCUCGGUGACAUAUGUUUAUCUUUGCCUCUGUCAUUUUACUCUUCUCUGCCUCGAUGAAAGAGGCUGCCAAAGGUGCUCGAGAGAUACCUGCUGCAGCUCCUGAGCCAGCGUAAGAGCUAGCUUCUGAGCUAGCAUGAUUCUGGCAGUCACCGUCAUCUUAAUGUAACUGAAGGAGAUGGAGUGUAUUUAUAUAGUGAACGGGGGUCAACAUAGUGCUAAUAUCUACACAACAGACAGGAUCCGGAGGAGUUCUCUGUCUCAGCAUUUAAAGCAGAUGAUGCCGAGACGUUAGCUUUGCUCCUCCUUUUGCCUGUACCAGUCUUGCCUUUGCUAAGUAGUGUAUCAAACAUGUUACACUUCCGCAAAUUAAUUGCAUUCUGGGUGGACAAAUGUUUCCACAUAUUGGAAGUAUUGUCCCCCUUCAACAACAUUAAAGCUUUGCAAGUGUUGCAAGUAACUCUGGUAUCAUCUUUUGCGCCAAACUCUAGAGUGCUUUCGCCGCAAUGCCAUGCUGGAAAGUUCUCAUGUACAAUGUUUUCACGCAUAGAGAUGUAAGAGGAACCGAUAAGCAGAAUCAUUAAGGAGGCAGACGAACAAUUCUUAGGAAUCGAAUCACUGGGAACCGGUCCUAAAAAAGAACAAGUUUGAUUCUCAUCCCUAAUUCUUAGGGACCACAUAUUAGUCCAGCAAAAACAAACAAAAAAUUUCACCAUCAUGUCUCAAUUUGUAGCUAAAAAGUCCAAGUAUCUCAAGUGUUUGAUGUGCAGAUAUCUUACAUGUGAGUAAUACCUGUGGAAGAGACAAUAUCUCCCAGAUAUCUUUAACAAUCAAACAUGUCUCUCGAUGAGUUUAAGCCGUAAAUACAUAAGAAGAACUGUGCUUUCAGAGCUUUGUCUGGCACCAACCCAGUAGCAGCAGGUACAGGCAGUAAAAAUAAAUACAGUCUCAUUUCUGAUGCUCUUCUUUGUCUUUGUAGGUCAUGUAAGAGGCAUCAGUAAUUUUAGUCUACUGUAAAACUAGUUAAAAGUCCAUCGUAGGUUCAAGGCCUCACCAAAGUAACCAUAGAUUAACAUGAUGAUGGCAGCAUCAGAAAGUCUUUAGUCAUUUGUUUUUGAACUGGGGUUGCAAAAACUCUCAACUAAUCACAAAAGCAAUUCAGCGUGGAGCUCUCAUGGUGACUUAGGAUAAGUGGCUACACGAUCCUGCCUACACAAUACAACUUGUGUUUUCUAGUGUAACAGGAACUGACAUUGUGCAAACGCAGCGAAUCCUCACACUGUCAUCAAAAGUACCCAAAAAUAUAACUUAAGAAAGAAGCUAAAGUAGUGCCACCAGACGUGUCCACCUUGACAUGUAUGGGUUGCUUGCUUUAAGUCUCUGGGGUUAGCCAGUAGACAGCAAUGGAAUACUCUCUGCAUUUUAUACUGGUAUGUUGGUCACACCAGUAGGACACAGCUCACUUUUUAGAUGAUGUUGUUAAAAGUGUGUCUUGUGCACCAGAUUUUAUGGUGAUAAACAGUACAUUGCUGACCUGGCAUUGCCAUACCAAUACACCUUGCUGAAUGGGUCUGUAGUCACACACUUCAUCAUGUCUUUCUGUGAUGCUUAAGGUCAACAAACCUUCAAGUGGUGGAAGCUGCCAUCUCAGUUGUUUACAAGUACACUAAAGUGGCACUCCUGUGUCUUCAUCCUGAAUAAAGGACUGUGAUUGAGUCGGUAUACCUGACACCGAGGAGAAAUCGCUGAGAAAGAAGGCAGUCCCAGACCCACCUGGCAGGGAAAAUGAAUUUGAACCGGCUGAUGAGUCUUGCAAAGUCGUGUUCACUGAUUCCUGAGUUGUUAUGGCAUGUAUUUGGCAUUAACAACCGAUUAAAAGGGGGAAAGUAUUAUUAUUAUUAUUUUUUUUUUAAACAAAGUUUAAGCAGUUUGUUACAGCAAGUUAAAGUGGAGAGGAUAUUGGAAAAAAAAAAAUCAAAUGUAAGAUUAGACAAAAUGAUAAAGCUGGUGUGUGCAGACUGAGGUGAAGUGCUUGUGAAAAAAUAAAUACUCCAACUGCAAUUUUGCUAAUUGAGCAAAUCAGCCUGUUUUUAUUGCUUUUUAAACUGCUCAGUCAAGCGAAAGGUGACAUUAACAAAAUGUGCAUGUUGAAGUUUGACACUGAGCAGAUCAAUACGGGUCAGUUCCUGGGUGUGAACUUAGAGUCUGGACACUCCUGAUUUCAUAAUCAUCACAAAGUAGCAGAAUGGAAGGAUGGAGAGUUGGAAAAUAGCCCCUGAGUGAACCUGACUGUACAAGUGUCUGCUCAGCAUUGGCGAGGCCAUUUAACUAGAUGGUAAAAUCAAUGCAAAUGUUAUGCAUUGUACUCCUAUCGAUAAGUCUUAUUUGCAUUUUUCAAUCCCAUGUGCAUUUGGUGUGCUAUAUUUUUUGGCUGCUUGUCAGCAGGGUUGUGGAAAAAAAGUCUUGACCUAAAUUUCAUGAAACUUGAUGGAAGACUGAAACAAGGCAGGUAACAGACAUAGAGGAAAAAGACUACAGAGGUGAAAGAGACAAGGCGCAAGGCUUUGAAGUUCUGGUGUGUGAACAAAAGAGGUGAGCCAGGAUGUGUAGUGAGUGACUGAUGAGGUAAUGAGAUGAGCAGGAAGGUUCAGGCUGGGGGAAUGAGGUGAGGGGGAAUUAUGUUGAGCUGACAAAAGUAAUUGUUGGGAGGAUUAUAGUAACAGCACGUGAGAGGGAAGGUUGGAAAACUGUUGGGAUUUCAGUCAGAGUGGGAUUUUUUAGAGACAAAGAACCUGAUUUAUAUUGGUGUAUAGACCUCAUGCUGCGGGUUACUAAAAUGAUGUUAAAAUCAAUGUCAUGAUAAAGUUGUCCCAGCUGACAGAAUCAGAGAUAUUGUGUAAAAUACUAACUUUGUAAAAGAUAACUGAUAUAUGACUAUUAAAUCACCUAUGCAAUAUGUUAAAAGUAAGACAGCACUGUCCUGGUAGGUACAGGACGAAAACAUGGUUUCUUUUACGUCUUUGUCCACAGGGGUCAUCGUAAUCAAUAUAAACUAAAAGUUCACUGAAGCAGUUCGAAUGAUAUUAAUUUUCAUAUUUAGGAAAAAGUCAUUUAUUGAAUUUAAUUAAAGCUCAUGUUAGGAUUUUUUUAAUGUUUAUGAAAUAGACUAGAAUUCAUACAUGUGUUUUUUUUUUUUUUUUACGAUUAACAAAAACAGACAAGACCACCAGCAAUAAGAUUGACAACUUUUAUGUUGUUAAGAACAGCCUUAAAUCUGUGCGAGGGCGUAGGUGUCAGUCAAGGAAACAGCCCUUUUCUACAAUUUCCACAUAAAAUAUGAACAAUAGGUGAUAUAUUUGACAUUUGAAAGCCAGCAGAAUUAGAGCUUUCUUUUGUCAGGAGACACUUCUGCAGCAUAUAGAGGACAAGAUAUGGAAAGUCUACUUUUUCUACUUGCGGCUCCAAAAUUAACACAAACCAAAAGUCCCUCACAGGAGUUUGAAGGCAUUGUGAAAAACUGUGAUGUGCAUGGAUUCUGGUUACCUCUGUAGACAAGGAUGAAGAUCAUCACUUGCUGUUACACAGAUUUUGCUCUUGUCCAUAUGUGCAUUUGUUGGUGUAAGCAGAUGAAUAGAUUACAGAUGAUCAUUUACUGCUACUUGUCUUUGUUCAAGACAGCUUUUCAAAGAGUGAUGGGGAAAUAUUUCAUUUUGUGUAAACUGUAACGCAACAAUGAUCAAACCUGUGAACUCUGAUAUAUAACAGUCUAUUAGCUUGCUGAAGAUGACUUGAUGUGCCAGUUUAUUUUCCUCAGCCUGAAUAUUACAAAUAUACAUACAGGUUUAACUUUUUUGUCCUGAAAAAAAAACAAGAAGCAUCCUUAACCCCACUAUAGUAUCAGCCAUGAGUACAAAACAUUAUGUAAAAAGAAAAUUAAUUAAAUAAAAAACUCAUCCUUCUAGCUAAUGCACUUCUUGAUCAACUCUGCCAGCAGAGUUUUAUCUUGACUCAGCUUUUCUUAAACACUGACUUUAAAAUUGGUGUGAUGAAAUAACCGAUCUAGAAAGAAAAUCAAAUUUUCCUAUGCAAGUGAUGGUGGAACGUCAUAUUAAGAGUAAGACUGUUUCAAAAUCAGGAAAGAGCUUCUUGUAGUGCCUGGAAGAAAGUUGUUUUCUCUAUGAAUUACUCAUGAAAGUAAUGCAUUUCAAGUGGAUUAACUAUUUUUAUCUUAUAUUAAACCAGUAUGUUAGUGCAGUUCUGAUUGGCACACCAGUGCAUUUAUAGAGGUACACUUGAAACUUUCAGAAACUUUACAUUUGAGCAACAAUUAAAAAAGAAAAACUUAAUCAAGAACCGCACAUGCAAAGACACUUAAAUGCUUUUCAUUAUUAUGUGCAGUUACAUGAAAAGCCUUACAACUUUCAGCUUGGUUUCUCAAAAACACCUUAAAGCUCCUAUGAGAAGUUUUUCACCUAUGAGGGUUAUGAAACAGUCUGCAAUGAACACGGAUGCAGAAUGUAAAGGAGACCAUCGGUGACAAGAUUGGUCAUUUCUAUAUGAUUAUUUUUAAUUCCUGUAACUGCUGAGAGGGGUUAGGUACGCUUAAGAAACAGACAAGACCAUGUGAGAUCAAAAUAAGGGUUACCAGUUUGUCCACACAGACAGAAAUAAGUUUCAAAGCCCCCUCCCCCCAUAAACGUUUUCUUUUUACUCUCGGACAGGAUGAAAGUUUUUCUGCUUGGUUACACAAUGUACAAAGAGACCCUUGUUGUACAGUGUAGCUACAUGUGUCUAAAGCAAAGUCCUUUAGUUUUUCUUCUUCUUCUUCCCAAACACAUCACCGGAUGAUUUUACUCUGGAGAUCUCCUCUGUGGCUGAAGAUAUUUUAAUUAGCUGCAGAAGUGUUUGGUUGGGAUGACAACCUGCAGGCGCGUCCCUCGACACCUCCUGGUUUGAGAAGCAGUGAUGUAGAACAAUGAAAGGCUACACCUCAGUGUUCAAACACACCCCCAGCUGCCAGACUGAAUCAAAGAGCAACAAUGUUCAAAGGAAGGGCACGCCCCCAGUCACACCAAUCCAUCAGCUGAUGCAACAAUGGACAUCAGGUUUACGUUGGCUAAACAUUUAUUAUUCAUAUCUCGUUCAUAAGGGAGGGAGGUGAAGACGAAAUGAACAUAAAUCUUUCCAUUUCUAACUGUCCAUUUCCCUCUCAGAGAGAAAGAAAUCCCACGUAUCUUACUCUCACACAGACUCAUACACAGAGACAAAACACACACUCACUCACUCACUCACUCACUCUCUCUCUCUCUCUCUCUCCAUGAGGCAGCCUUAGGAUCUGUCAGUAUAUUGACCUGCAGAGAAAACCCCCCUCAGGAGUUGUUCUGUCUCCCUUUUCUCUCAGAGCAGCUCAUAGCUUACUGAAGGUAAACAAGAUAAGCUGUUAUCAUCCUGUGAAUUUCUCUCACAGUGUUAAGGUAUUGCACUACAACGGAUAACCUGCCGAUGAAUUUCAGUUUUGUUUAACUUCAGCAGCAGUAAUCAAACCAUAAUGAUGUGAUUAAGAUUAAAUAUACCAGGCAGAUGUGUUGUUCCUGAUGCUUUUGAGAUCGCUCAUGUCUCAGUUCUUAUUAUGUGUUUUCGGAGCAUCUGGUCUGAAACUCAAAGGGACAGUGCUGUGUUCAUUUGUGGUUUCGUUAAUCAAAAGUUUACUCUGUUUAUAAAUCAGGCUCAUCUGCCAGUGUGAAAUAAAAAUGUCCCAAAAUUUCCCACUACUUCAGUAGAACAUGUAGUUGUGUAGCUUUAUUGUGUGCUGAAUUAUCAAAGUCCAGUUCAAUAAGAGAAGGUGACAUCAGUAACUACAAAACAUCUUGGCCAGGAUAAUUUACUUAUUUACUUGCUGACUUAAUCAAUUCAUUGACUGAUGAUUAUAUUUUUUGCGAAGUGUGAAUACAAAGGCAACAACGGGGGGCUAUUUAGUGGGCUGUCCAAAGUACAGCUUUCAGCUUCAUAAACUAAGUCCAGUGAAGUGGCAGAUUUUGAUCUGUUCCUGGGAUGCCACAGGGCUCUAUUUUAGGUCCCUCAUAUUUUUCUCUGUUGUUGCACAGAGUGAUGCAAAGCUGGUUGAUACAAUACAGUAAAAGUAACAUUUUUUCCCCCUGGCUCUUAAUUUAGUCACCCACCAGAGACUUGGUUUAUGUUUUCUACUGCAUGGUAAAUAGAAGUAUAGAGAUAAGAUGUUCUUCUUUAUCCAAGGGGAACACAAAAAUGACAAAAAUGAAAUUAAAUAUUUCUUUCAAGAAGCAUUAAUAUGCUGUUCAAGCAUCAGUAUUCAGAUCUCAAAUGUUAUCACAGUAGAGUGUGAGAAAUUAAAGGGUCCUAAAUACAGAUUGUAACCAGUGGUGUGCCACAAGGUGUCGCUGUAGGUCCCCACCUUUUUCUCUACCAUAUUAAUAUGGAAAGCAUACACAGUACCAUGGUAGCCAAACUGAAUAAAUUAUUUCUACAUCAGCGACAUAGAAUUGAAUGAUCGUUGCAUGUAUCCACAUUAUAUAUAUAUUUUUUGAUAAGAAAUAGUUCAAAAAAUUUAAAUACAUUUUUUAAGAACGGGGUUAAAGCUAAAACAAUCAACUUAAAAAAGCAAACCCUACAGCACUUGCACACACUGAUUAUUAUUUUACUGGGUUGUCUUUCUUUACAUCUCUACUCUGUAGUCUUUCUCUGGAUGUUAAAAAUGUAUUAGAUUGUUAACAGAAAUUGUAUGCUGCAUGUAUUCUGAGUAGCUGUGGAUAAAAGCAUCAAUUUUGAUGGCAUAGUUGAAAGUUGGAUCCACACUUUAAUGAUAUUGUUUUCUUUUCUAACGUGACAGUGUGAGAUUCUGGAAAUUACAGGCCAUUGAGACUCAAAGAAUAUAGAGCGCUGGUUAUGAGUAGGUUGCAAUUUUAAGAAUCCUCAUGGGUAUGAAUAACUUCCAUAUGCAUUUGGCGCUUUUCACUUUUUAGUGAAUGCAUAUCAAAAAGGAGAGGGCGAGGCAGCAGAUGGGACCAGUGGGGGGCAGCCUCUUAUAAAAUUAGAAUAACAUACAGAGGCUAUAAAGCAGUGUUUCCUUUAUGAUUAAUCUCAUGUAUCAAAGGCAUGUGUUUUACAUAAAAAUACUACACUUUCGGCCCAUGGCCACCAUCGCUCCAUGGCUGGUCAGAAACAGUUGAACUGUUUUCAAUUUAAAAAUGUAAUAUUGCAAGUCCACUUUGUCAUGUAUAUUUAUGAAAACAGGAGUAUAGUAUAACCACAAAUAUAUGCAAGUGACUACUGUGCUGUUUUCACAUCAGAUUCCAUCUGGUUUGAUUAUUGCUUUUAAUGAUUUCGUGUUUGUUUUCCUCACAUCAAAAAGAAAAAACACAGAUAAUACUUAAUUUCUCAUAUCCGUGUUCAUUAGCAGCACACAAAAAAUGUUAUCUUCCUUCAAAUGAAACUUAUAUGAAAUGGUACAAAUAAUAGAAACUCAACAUCUGCUGUUACAUAUUAAACAGUGCUUCUUAAAGUGUUAAAAGCUAAAUACCUGCUUCCGUUGUAGUGUCAUAAUAUUCAAUAUUAAAAGAACAACAACAGCAGAACAGCUGCUAAUGCCUGUCUUCACAUUAUAGUUUGCUUUUCCCACAUUUCCAGCUAAUUGCUGCUUUUGAAUCUUAAUCUGAACAUUUCAUACAGUACACUUAUUUUUGGUUUGCUAGGAACUGACCCAGAUGGUGUAAUAAAUGUUGUGUGGAAAAGAUUUUCUCUCAAUUUCUCUCAAAAACAGGUACUUGAACAUGUGUACUGUGCGCUCAUAAAUCAAUGGAAAAGAAUAAGAAGCAAAUACAAAGAAGAAGAAAUACUGAACAUUAAUACAGAUGUUGCAAAUGUAAGAAUUAGUUUGGGUGUGUAUCCACUGACAGCAUUUUAAAGCUGGCAGUGCUCUUUUUCUAUACAAAACAAAUCAAAUUGAGUGUUUUCAGUGCUUGAUGCUCUGAAUGUUAAAAUGCCCUUGGUGUCAGCUGGUUUUGUUGCUGCUCUCCCAGCAUUUAGAUAUGAAAAUAGUUUGGGAAUACUGUUAGGCACUCUUCUCUCACUAGUCGACGGGAAUCAGGACAGAUCUGGAAUCCUUUGUUUCAUUAGCUUUGUUUGGAGGACAUGGUUUUUAGAUCUAGAGCUGAUGUGUUUAACGGACAUAGACCCUUAAGUGCACUGAUACUCUUUCUGUAUUUAUUGUGAUUAGAUUAGAACAAUUUACUGCCCAGAAUCUCUGUUAAGCAGUCAAUGUGAGAAGUCCCAGCAUUCAGCUGUUUAUUCCAUGCCCAAACAACAGAAUAAAUCUACUUAUACAGUAUCUCACAAGGCAGCAGCAGCAUACAAAAUAGACAGCAUUGAUUUAUCACUCUCAUUAUGUUGUGUUAGCCACACUGAAACAAUGACAAAAGAGCCAAACGAGAGAGAGCGAGACAAGCCUACAAGGAAAGUUUAACAAGUGAUGUAUCAUUAAUCUCAACCUGCUCCCCACAUCUAAGAGCCCUGUUUCCUGUCGACACAUGCCACUCUUUAAUCUGGGUGGAUCAAAUUAAAGGCAGAGCUCGUCUUAUCGUGGUUAGUGCCACCCCUAAAUCCUAACCGCAGUCGGCGUCACUUCCACUACAGAGAAGGGUGUGAACUGGUCAUCCAGGCGUCUUCACAGCAUGUGCUUUGCAGAUUUUUAUUCUCAUUACAUGCAAGUAAAACAACCCCAACUGCAACUGGCUUUAAGUGUUACAGUCCUCAUCAAAGUCUCACCCACUGACCCUACAUUCAAUGCAGCAAUAGAAGAAUUUACUGUGCCUGAGGUUGCACUCAGAGACUCAGUGAUCUAACGUUACAGAUGAGAAGUUGAUUUUUUUUUCCACUAAAUAUUUUGGUCAGUGGUCAGGCAAGUCACUGAAAACUGGCAAGGAGUUAAAAUGACUAUUUACUGCUUCCAGAAAGUGACUAACUAAUUACCGCCUUGGUUGCUGCAUUAUAAAAGUGAACAUAAAAUGAGAAAAAGUAACUUUUGCGUAACUUCUUUUUGCUUAAAUCUUCCAGUUACUGUACCCUGUCUCUCAUUUUACUGUUGUUACGCUAAUUAGCCCUCAGAGAGCUGCUGAUAUUUUAAGCAUGUCUUCAAUAACAUACCUUGAUAUUAGUCUGUUAGGCCCUCUGGCUGAUAGAUUGUGAAGCUGGUGGCUCUUUAAAAUCGACUCUUGGCUGUAGGUUUGCUCAGUCAGGUGGUUUAUGAAAUAAGAAUAGCUAAUGUUGGUAAUAGACACAGUUAACUUAUCCUUUACCUUGAGGAGGGAAACUAAGGCUGGUGUUUUCAAGAUAAAUAUUGCAGCUUUAAAGUCCCACUCAGUGUUCUCAGUGGUCUUUAGAUCAAGUUUAUGGAGGUUUUAGUCAAAAUCGUGUUAUCUGUGUCAUUUUCAAGGGCUUUUCUUCUGCAGAGCUCCAGUAGCUCGUUAUCAAUUCGUCUCUGAGUCGUGGGCGGAGACAGCGCUGCUCUUCACACUUGUCUUCAUGUUAGCUUGCAGCCUAACAUUGCUGAUGUAGAGGAAGUGGCAGGUAACAUAGGAGCUAUACAGCUCUCGGACACUAUUGUCAUCAUCAUAUAAUAAUUAGCUUUCUUUCUUAUGAGCAUUGCAAUCCGCGAAUGCACGUGUUUGUUCCGCAAUCGUCCUCUGUAUUUCUCCGCUGUAUGCAGAGUGUGGCCUGCAUAGCGGGGCUCCAGGGGCAAGGCUUGGAUUAGUUACGUAUGACAUCUCACUGUUUCUGAACCUGCCUUUUGAGUCUGCCAGAGAUCCACCGCAAUUUGAAUAAAUAAAGACUCAGACAAGCAAUUUUGCAUUAAGUUUUCUCAUAUGUCCUGUAGCAUCAGAAAAAUGCCAUAUGAACAUAUAAAAACAAGAAAAACAUGAUUUUCAUUGAAGCGGGUCUUUAAUGUGACGUCAAGUGACGGCUGUAACACAGGGGGCGCCAAAUUUGUCACAAACAUAAAGUUCCUCUCAAAGAUAAAAUUUCUCCAAACAAAGAUAUGUUUGAUAAAUCACAAGCUCAUUUUAGACCAUAAUUUUGGUUUAUUGUGCUUUCUAACAUUUACUCCUUGAGCCAACACUUUGUUUGAAAGCACACUGAUUUUCAACCAUGUGCUUUGACAUUGCAACAAGCCUACUUUGUGUAUUUUUCCCCUGUUGUGCAUCUCCUAAGAGUUGUUCCUUCUUGUGAAUGUAAAACAAUGAGCUCACAGUCCUUUAAGGUAACUUUUUAUCAUUGUUAUAAAUACCACAGCCUCAAGUCAACCUGCCAUAACUUUUGUAGAGACAAUUAAAAAUAUAAACCGAACAGUGCAGACUGAAAAACACUUGAUUAGAGAAUUGUUUGCUUAACUUCUUAUGCUGAAGUUUUAUUCUAACAAGUAAAACAGAGGGACAUGUGGGAAGAAUAAUGAUACAUAAUCCUAAAGUCUAACACCUGAAUGCAUCUAAUGAGACCCUCACUGCUGCUGCAGCUGUGUGCUAAAGAUCAUUUCACACCCUGUCUCAUCAGGGCUGUAUUGUCAGCCGGCUCCUUCCUUAUCUCUGUACUCGAUCCACAUCUGCCAGCCUGAAGAUAAGAAAUGUCAUUUUCAGCCUAUUAGAGCUCUGACAUUACCUGUCUGAUGUGAGUGGCUCACUGACCGGACAUUACCUCACUGCUGUAUUUUCAGUGAAUACCCGUCAUUAAGGUCUUAUUUUACAGUCUCAGUUUGUGGUGUGUUUUUGCAUUAAGGCUUUCAUUUUUUAAGGAAGCAAAACUUUUGUAUCUGCACUGAUUAGUUCUUUAAUACAAGACCAUCUGUAAGUAUCAAAGACAUUCAUUAAAUAGACAUCAGAUCUGUCAAGAUGAAAUCCAAUCUUAUUAUACUCUACAACUGAAAAGAUAAAACUAGGGUGAAAAUUGAGCGAAUACCUUAGUACAUAUGAGCUCUCCUCUUUCUUCAUUUAUCAUUAGUGCUUCAUUAUUAAAGGUUAAAUAGUAAAACCUCCCUCCUUACAUUUAACUGACUGAUCCAGGCUAGAAAUAUUUUUUUUCUUUUUAAAGUCAUUAAGUAGACUCGUACUAACAGAUCGAUGAUGAGGAAUCAUUAUGGAUGAUGUUAUUUUUCCAUUCUGAAGCUUUUCACUGGACAUAAAGAUAAUUAAGUGAGCAAAACUAACGGAGCCUUAAAAGUCCAGCAGCCCUGAGAUCAAUAUGUGAUCAAUGCUUUGCUACAGUAGAAGCUCGUAGUUUAAUGGCACUUGAUGUGGUGGAUAGUUUAUGACUUUAUGAUGAGUUGAGUUCCCACAGUGUUAUCAUCACAGCAGUAUGCCACCCAUCUUUUAAUAAAAUAUAUAAUAUUCUGUAUAACAUAAAUCUAGCAGCAAGUGUCACUCAAAAUUAAAAGCUGUCCGUAAAACAGAAUAAGAUUCCAUUCUCGGUUUUGAAAACCUGAAUAUUCUUUUUCGUCUUCUUCUUUUUUGCCUUUUUGAAAUACUCAGAGUAAGAGAGCACUUUAAUGCCAAAAUAGAGAUGUUAGGCUUUUUAAUCUAAAAAAACAUCAGUUUACAUCAGGCUAACCCCUACUCCUCUGCACGGGUUUCAGCCAUCAAAAUACAAAUUUAAAGGGAUAUUCUGCCAUAAAAUUAAGGUAACCGACUGCAGGGGGGGGGGGGGGGGGUGACGCAGCUCAAGGAAGAACAUGAUCAUUUCUUCACAAGACACUAAGGCAGAAGAACUACCAUGUCUGCAGUGCAAAAUGAUUAAUAUGAUGAUUAUUACUUCAUUGAAAUGAUAAAGUAAUGAUCAAAAAUGCUCUUCUUUGAGCUGCGUCCCCCCGCUGCAGUUGGUGAUGGACUUGUCUGAGGUCUCCAUACAAACAAGCUGCUGCUGGAGGAGAGAGGGUGAGUUGUAUUUAGUCUCUUUGCUAAAGAAAUUAGGCAAAGCUAAAAAGAGGUUUGGUGGCUAGUGCUGUGGAUAGGACCCUCUAUGUACUGUUGUUGAAGUUAGGUGCUGUUCUGAGCAUUAUUUGUGGCUGUAGAGUGGCUUUUUGGUUGAGGUUUGUUUAUGGCUCCUGAGACCGCUGUGUAUUGCUAUCGUGUGGUUGUUACUAAAGUUGGUUUAACUAGAGAAGUAAGCGGUCGGCAACACUCAUCUCUCGACAGGGUGUCUUAACUCAGUGUUACGGUGUGUUUGACCUUAGCUUAAUUUUAUGCUGCAAUAUAACUUUAAGGGUGAACAAUCAAGUAACUAAUGGCUGUGUUUGCUUUUAAAAGGGCAUCCGGAUGAAUCUCAGUCAAUUUCAAAAAACUCCUCACAAGAGCUUUAAAGUAUGACUCACGGGAAAUUCUCUCUUUUGCACAGAUUCUUAUUACUGCUUACUUUAACAUGGUAUAUUAGGGGAAAGGAAAUGGGGUUGACAUGCAGUAAAAAGGCCUAAAAGCUGGAGUCAAACAGAGACCACAGCUAAAAGGGUUCAGCCUCUGUGUCUGGGCUGUGCUCUUCCUUGCCUCCUCAAACUGCCUCAUUCAUGUGGGGUCGACAUAAACUUUCACCAUAAGGCAGUGAUGGAGGAAAACUCAUGGUCUUAUCAAAGCUAGCUUGCAGCAGUCAUUGUUUUGGGAAAUGUAGAAAAAGGAACUCACUGAAUCCCACCAAACAGUGGAUGAAGUACAUUACCCUGCACUAAAGGGAUGAACAGACUGAUUCACGCUGCCCAUGGCUCUGUUGAGAGAUGUCUGAUCAGUCGUCUGCAGCUGAAAUACUGCUGUGGUCUUUGCUUUUUUGUUUUUGUUUCUGUCCAUUUGACAAACACACGUUAUAGCCAAAAUGAGAGACAAUUUCCACCCUGUGCUCUGAAUUGGCUUAUCACAAAGAUGCAGUGCACCAUUGAAAAGAAUUACAAAAACCAGGAAGGGUGAUUGGACAGCCUGAGGUAUAAAUGUUCUGGCACAUGGGUCUCUUUCCUCAUGGUCAACAUUACAAUAAAAAACCCUCACUUUUCUCAGGUUCACAAGUUCAAACUGAAGAUUAGAGUGUGGGUUUGAUCACAGAGCCAAAAAAUUAAUUGCACAGCUGCAGGCUACAGGACAAAGUGUCUGUUCAAAUCUAAAUGCCAUUCUCUCUCAGACUUUUCUCUCGUCUUUUUAGUCGUGGCUAAAACAAAAGGUGCAGAACAAUAAACCCAAGUACGGCCUUUCAGAGGUGUUAUGAGUAAAACAGAUAUGAGGUAGAGAGCAGAGAGGCAGUAAUUGCUUUCGGGCUGUUAUUGAGGAUUAAAUUAACACAGGUAAAAACGGCAUGGCUGCUGCAGUUGGACUGCCUAAAUGUUCCAUCCUUGCUGCAUGCUCAACUGCAUUAGACGCAUGAUCUAAUGUACAGUCAUUAACGGCACAUUAGUGACGGGGAAGCAGAAACUCUGAAUGGUGUCAAGUGUCUCUUUUUUGUUUGCUAACUGAGCUGUGUGAGUGCCGACUGUCCCCUCGUCUCAUAUAAGACUUUUGUCUUUGACAAAGAGCGAAGUGAGGUUUUAUGCUGCAACUGUACGUGCAUGAUUGGCCUUUAAAAGGCGGCAGAGGGGGAUCCCAUCCCCCAGUUGGACUUAAUGAAUCAUGGAGAGACUACCUAUAUGCAUGGUAAUUAGGACACUUGGUCAAGUCGUUUUAUGGUGAGCUGGUAAUUACCAUCUGGGACAUAAAACGCUCAGCAAAGAGCACAAUCAACCAGCGUAUGCUUGGUUUUACGACUACGAAAAAACAUUAAAGUCAGAUCCUUCCAAGAUGGAGUUACUUAAAUUUAUCAGCCAAAGUAUGAUUCUGAAAAAAAAAAUCAAAGUGUUUGAUGAGAAAUGACAUUAAAGGGAAUAAGCGCUAUGUGUCAUCUGUGGCCUUAUUAAGAUGAAUUUCUACCCUUGUCAAGAAAAACACCCACACAAUCUGUCUGCUCACAAAGACCACCAAGUGGGCAGUAACAGACUAUGGCUGUUGGACACCCUGCGUGGUAUGUGGCACCCAGAAAAGAGAUAGGGAGGUGGAAUAUCUCAGACUUCAAUCAUAAAAUAUCAACCCACUUCAAAUAAAUCACAGGCUUCUGUCUACAAGAGCUAAUAAUCAUUGAAAUUCAUGGGAUUUUUAUGCAAAUAGAACAUUGCCCUGCUGUAUUACUUACUGCUCCUCAUAGGUUUUAUACUUUCCUACCUGGCUCCUUUUUUUUUUUUCUUUUUAGUUUUUAUGCCAAAGUCAGGGCUGUGAUCAGAAUUUUUCUCCUAGUACACACGCAAGAACAUACUUAUACUUUGAUGCAAAAAGUUGCAUUGAGAUUUUACAUUACCAUUUAAUCAACAUGACUUUACUGUCUUUUGUUUGCAUCUAUGAACAUGCAUAAGGUUUAUGUAUCGCAUGCUCUUCAAGCUGCAUUAGAGGAAUCAGGAGACAAUGAAAAUGUAAUAAACACAUAGAGAUACCAAACAUUACAAACAAACUUUAGCAAAAAGCAGUUGCAGUUUACACUUCUAGCAGAAAUAAAGCAAUAUAAGCAACCAUUUGGAGUUGUUUUGUGUCUAUAUGAUGAAUGUUAGUCCAGAAUUCACUCACUUGUGGCAGUGGCAGAUAAUGAGCUGUAAUAUACUUUUAAAACCCCAGCAAGGCAGUGUUUUGAAUGGCUACCCCAUAAUGAAACUUCAGUUUUCACAGAUAUUGAGCCAUAUGGUGAAAUUUGGAGAUAAUCUUUGUAUUUGGUUUAGUGAAUAGUUCUUUUUAUGGUUUAAAAAUGAUGCAGUUUGCAGCAGUCAUCUGUUUGUCUUGCAUUUAGGCAAACUGCUGAGUAAAACUUCAAAAUCCUCAGUAGCUGUUGUGUCUUUUAAAUGCCCUGCUAUUACAAUAUUAUCAUAAUGGUGGCUGUGCAACAUUUAAAAGUUUGCUGUUUAACCUGUCUCACUUUGAUCAAUAUCUGUCUUUCAUAGGCCUGGGUAAGGUGACAUGAUUUCUGUCUAUGUAAUGUUAACCCAGUUAGGGUUGUGCUUUCUGUUGAAUGUGGAUCCACUUACAGCUAAGCUCUGAUAAAUAGCUUUUAAUGUCAUUGAUUGAAAACCUAUCAUUAUGAUCAGCUGGUGUCUGUGUGCACAGAAUGCAACAUUAAACCAAGUCACUUCUUUUUCAGUAGUUAACCUGUGGUAAUUUAGACUGAAUGUUAAUGAUGUCAAAUCAUCUUUAACACAGAAAUAUGUGAUUUAUUGGAUAAUUCUGCUGCUGCAAUGUUUUCAAAGGAGGGCAGAAAAUAGCUGUAAUUACUGCUUCAAUUACUCUCACUGCAGUGCUGGUUUGAAAUCGUAAUGAGUUUUGAAAAGUUUUAAAAAUCUGUAAAUAUUUACUUAAUGCCCUCUUGAAAUUCAUGGUGUGAUUGACCUUAAGGGCCACCAUAGAAACUGGUUAUUAUGAGAGGAAACUCUGUGACAAUAUUCCUUUAAGAUAAGUUCCAUCUGCUGAUUGGCAAAAGAAAGUAAAAAUGUAAUUUCUGCAACAAUAUUCGGCUGGUUUGGGCCUUUUGUUUGACAUUAUAUCUCUGCGUUGCAACCAAACAAUGACGAGACUUGAAGCUGAGCAACUUUCUGUUUGUGUAAAGUUUGGUGCCCCCUACAGAUAAGGCAGUCGUUUCUCAUCUUGUCCUCUGCGUGCGCAAGUCGUGUUUCUUGAAAAUCAAUCUCAUCCAGUUGACUUUUGAAAGCCAAAUGUAUCAUAUCAUCAUGAAUAUUUAAUAUUCAAGAUAUUAAAAGAAAAAUCACUUUUUCUUUGGUUGCUUGGCUGACACCUAGCCCCUUCCAGGCAUUCAAAAUAACAGUAUACAAAUCAGCAUUCUUGUCACAGGUGGGUUUGUUCAUUACAAAAAGGCACCAAUAUGAAUUUCAAUCUAUUUCAUAAAUGUCGUAUUAACUCUUCAUGAGAACUUAAAGUGAUAAACUGCCAAGUUUCAACAUAUGGUUUAGACUGGACUUAGCACAGUCCCUUAAUACAAAACUUACACAUUGCUUCCAUAACAAGCCACAGGUUCACAUGAUUGGGGCGGCAGUAGCUCAGCAGGUAGAGUGGUUGUCCAAUAACUGGAGGGUUGGUGGUUCGACUCCCCCCCUAUCCCUAGUCUGUCCGUUGAGUCCUUGGGCACGACACUUAACCCAUCUUGCUCCCAGUGUGUGUCCUCCGCUGGUGUAUAAAUGUGAGUGUUGUGUGAUGUUGGUCGGAGAGGCCGUAGGCACAAACUGGCCGCCACGCUUCCAUUAGUUUGCCCCCAGGGCAGCUGUGUUUACUAAGGUAGUUUACCACCACCAAGGUGUGACUGUGUGAGUGAAUGAAUGAUGUAUCCAAUGUAAAGCGCUUUAAAGGUCUCUGAUAGAGCACUAUAUAAAAUCUGAUGCAUUAUUAUUAUGAUAUUUUUGUACACUGAAUUGCCUCAGAUAACUUUGACCAGGGGUAAUGUAAGGAAAGAGGCCCCAUUUACAAAAGCUAGUCCUCAAAGCAGCCAAUCAGAGAGAUAAGAUGUAUCAUUUUGUUGCUGGGGUGUCCCACUAAUUUUAAAAUCAUUCGAUUUCAGUUGUCAAAUUCAUGACAACUGCAGUUUGAUCAAAGCAUGAUGUACUGUAUUAUUGCUUCACUAAUGUCUAAACUUAGAUCAAAUAUCCAGCAGAGCCGAUGGAGAUAAUUAUCCGGUCUAUACAUCACUUAAGUGUUUUCGCUUCUCUGUGCUCCACACUCAAGCUGACUGGACCAAGACUUUGAAGCAGACACCCAACAGAUGGCCGAGAAACAGAGAGAUGGAUGCAUUGCAUGUACUGUAGCUCAUGGUAGAGGAUGAGGGAACAGCUGUGGUGCCGGGAAAAGAAGGAAGCAGAGGUAGUGAGAUUAAGACAAGUCCAAAUGGGUCAUGACAUAAGCUCCUCAAGAUGGGGGUGAGAUGGAAGGAUUAUCCAACAAGAUGAGACCAGCUAAUCAAAGGAACAGUCUGGAGACUUCAUGGGAGGAAUUUUAACAGAGUGUAAAUUCAGAGGGAGGAUAGACACUUAUCCUUCAUGGUAGUAAGAUCGUUUUUCUGUCUUGCGGUAACAUUUUAUAGAAGCACAAUUAAAGGUGAUGUGACUGACUUGAACAGAUGACAUGGUUUUAAAAUGACAAACAGGAGCAGAACAUUAAAAAACAGAUCACACUGAGAACUUUUUGUAACCAAUUUCUAGAGCCCACACCAUCUGAGGAGUACAGAGCUGGUGGUGUGAUUCAAGGUACAUUCGAAAGGAGUUCCAGCUUUACUUUCCAUCAGCUUUAUUUGGCUUGAUGCCUCCAUAGGCCGUGAAGCAAUCACUGCCAUCUAAAAGUAAAAGCUUUUGUUGUAUGAAAACACAUUUUUCUCGCACUCUCAGGGAUGAAUAUUUGAAAAAGGGAAAAAUAAACAUGUGUGGGUCUAGAUGUUUUUUUUUUUUCAACUCAACAUCACAAUAAAAACAACAGUCUAAACGUGAGAUCAGGAGAUACGUGGUGAAAGGUGAAAAAUCACACACUUUGUUAGGGAUAAUGUAUAGUGUGUGGGUGGUUUUUCUAAAUAAAAUCUUGACACAAAGUGGAAGGGUCCAUCCAGAGGGGAUUGUAAUUACCAUAGCCACCCACUACAUAUUAUCAUGCCUGUUACCCAGAGACAGAAACAAGCUGUCAGUAGGUAUUAAUUUAAAGAUGGUUAUACUCAUUUAAAGUGGUAUAUUUUUUACAGCUAUAACAAACAGUCCCUCAGAUUAAUCUGUCAGCAGCAUCUCCAUGACAACAAUAUUCCCAUUAGCCUGCUUCAAUCAAAACUAAACUCGACAUUUUCUUUCACAUUAUAGUCUGCUUAAUUGUUCAACAUCACAUUAAACUUAACAUUGUGUGUCCUAAUGUGAUAGGGAAGGAUCUACCUCCAUGUCCUGUUUUUAUUUUAAACCUUGAAGUUAAUGCAGGUUCAACUUCAACAGGUUCAGAAGUUUGAAUCAAUCCUGCUUGUAUUAAUACCAGUGUGCCUUUGUAUUUGAACAUUAAAUCCCACAACAGCAUUAACUCAUCGGUGUCCAGAGAGUGAUUUUUCUUGACAUUGCAGAGACAGAAUAGUCACCAUGUGUACACAAACAGCUGUAGGUGUCACAGUCUAGUUGAUCAUCCAAUGUAACUCAUCUGAUUUUCCUAAAGUUGUAUGAUAAUCGUCUUCAUCCACAACCCCACACUUCUUGUGUUUGUGUUUUGCCCCCCUCUUAAAGCAGAAAAUUGGGUGCUAAUAUCAGUGUAAGUAGGCCAAAGGUUGAGUUGAGCAUAACCCUCCCUUGCCACUUAAUGAUUUGCACUCUGAAGAACUUAAAGAAAUCUCAACACCCUGAGAGACUGAAUGAUUGUAGCGAGUUAUAAAACCAGUCUAUUCGGCUUCAGUUUCUAGUAAGCGUAGCUCUAAUUAUGUUCUCCUCUGCCGUAGAGUGUCUCAUUAAAAUGUUGUACAAGCCGUGUGAUUUUCAUAACAGCAUCUGCAGAUUGACCUCAUUCGUCUUUAUGAAUUGAAGACUUGGUUGCCGUGCCUGUUCUUCUUUAAUGACAGACAAUACUUCACACUACUUCAAUCUGUAACGUUAUUGUCAUUGCACUUCACAAUAUAACGAAACAUUGUUUGGCAGUAGUCCUUUUGUAGCAGCUUGUAGCACCCUUCUAAAAGUAGACUUUUAGAAUAACAUCCAAAGAUUAUCACCAUGACUGUUUCGGUUUAGUUUUUGAGCAGACGCAGUUCUUUUUAAUAUUUUGAUUUUUUUGUUGUGGUACCUUUUUUUUCUUUUAGUAACUUAUUGAAACUUGUUCUUUGAACCCUCAGUACAGCAAGAUGCAUUAAGGCUUGAUAUUGGCACUUGGCCUCAGUCUGUCACCUAUCAUGAAGAAAACACCUAUUGAUAUAAUAUUUGCUUUAAUAUUUGAAAUACCAGCAACUCAUUGACGAGCCAAUUUCCCACAUGCACUCCUCAAAAUUCAGAGAAAUUUGCUCUGCCAAGUUUUCCCAGUGAUAGAUGAAGCAAUAAGGACCUCUGCCUCCAUGACUGUUUUUGCUCUAUGUGAACUCUAUGUUUAAAGAGACAGAUAGUUGGACACCUCUGCUGGUCAACUUUGAAUUGCUUUAUAGGAUGGUUGCAGGAUGGGGAAUAUUAUCAAACUUACCUACUGGCUGUGAAUGUUCCCAAUCAUUUUAUUGUCUCUUCUAUAGUCUCACAUCAGUUCUUCCUGAUUUCACAUGGGAAUUUUUCUCAGUGUUGGGAGGUUUACGUCCAUGUUAAGUCUGGGUAAAAAUUAAUCAGCUAUCUGAGUUCACACAUGCAGCCUGCACUGGCAUUUUUGGGGAAGGUUUCUAAAGUUGCAUACAUAUGUGAAUACACUUAAUUUUUGAACAGGAAUUUUAUUAGCAAUUGGUCUGUUUGUUAAAAUGAUCUUACAGCUUUGAUUGCCAAUGUAUUUUUGGCAGUUUGUUUCUGUGAAUUUGAUCUUGAAUCUUAUUUCUCAGUUGCUAUCCAAGAAACUGCAGUGUUAAAAAAUAAUUCACCAGCUCUCUUCAGAUUGUAUGGCUGAUUUCUUGCAGAGCUGCAGGGAUGAAUGUUAUGGCAACCACCUGCAAUACAGCUUGCGAAAAAUGUAAAUCCUUCAAGAAACUGAUGUACGUUUUGACGCCUGAUUAUUCUUUUAUCCAUGCUUUCAAUGCUUCCUCUGAGUUCACUCUUAAUAAUUUAUGCUACAUUGCAUUUCAGCCAUCACAGUUUUUCCUCAUCCAUGUAUGAGCCCCUCUGUCUGCUCAGAUUUGUUGCAGCACCUUGCACGGAUAAGGCCUGUAAAUGGGAUGCGAGCCAUUCACGAGCCAUUUGAAGUGAUCUACAUUCAAGCUUUCAUGGUCUCCCCUGUCAGGCUGACGCUGCCUGUGCUCAGCUCUGCACAUCAGACCAGUAAAAGGAAAUUACAUCAUUUUGGAAAUAUGCAAGAGCCUCUGAUGAAGGAUUUCCAAGAGAAGGGGAUUAUCCUCUUACGCUCUAUUUGAGUCUCUGGAGGAGGCACAGCGUAUCGACCCGCGUUAUAACACACACAUUUUGUCUCUUUCAUUCAUACAAUACUCAAUUUUUAAAUUUCUUAUAGAAAAUAUAUUUCAAAAGACACCUGUAGACCAGCCUGAGGCUGCAUAAAUGGAAAGUCAAUACUACACCACUAGUCAUGCCUUCAGAGCCACAAAAUGAUUAAUGUGGUUCAUAUUGUGUUAAAAGUUUAUAGCUUAAUUCCCACUGUUUCAUUGAUCUUAAAAGACAAAGAUGUGUGUAUGGAAGAUUUUUCUUUUUGAUUGUUGUGAAGCUCUUAAAGUGAGACCAUUCUGACCAAACACUCAACAUUAUUAUUAUUAUUUUUUUUGACAUGGUGCACUUUUUGGAAAUAUCCUGAACAAGCUUUUUAACAGAAACUUAGAUGUUAUUUUGUAAUUGUUCAAUCCCAAAGGAACUCAUUAGAGGGCUAUAGUAACCAUGAAUGCAGAGCCAGGUCAUAUUUUGCUACCCUACCGCCUCCCCUUGAAACAUGGGCUUUAUAUAAAUUGCAAGUUGUCGAUGGAAGUACUUGUGUGGCAAACAUGAGAACAGUGUUUGUAGUUAGCUUCCUCAUAGCUAUGUUAGCUCUCUGAUGCCCACAGACCUUUUGACACACUAAUGUGUCAGAAACACAAUAGCAGAGUACACACAGCUGGCAUUAGACCUGUUUCACUGUCAUGCUCAGGCUACUGUUUACAUGCUACAGCAGGCAGCAUCUGCUUUGAAGAGCCAGCCUCUUUGCAACAUGUCAAGCUGAGCAGUUGAGGUCAAAGAAUCAGAAUGAGCAAGUUCUAUUUUGUUUUUGAUGAAUGAUCCAGUAAUUUUGGCCAGUAUCAAAUCAGUAAAAGUGAGUGUAGGAUUGGUGCAUUUUUAGCUGACAUACCUUUAAAUGGACACCAUAAGCAGUAGUGAUAACAGCGAAAAGUUGUAAAACUUUCCCGCAUCAAGUUAUUUUUUUAGUGAUCAGCAACUAAUCUCAGCCACGUACUAUCUAAUAAAACCUUUGCCUCCCUAUGAAGUGUGUCAAAAUCCAAUCAGCAUUUGGUUUCAUGUUCUGUAUUUAUAAUAACUGAAGAUAUAAAUUAAAACUGUUGUCCCCUGUGGUAGAACGAGUCAUCCAGCUACAGUUGACUCACACUGUCCUUGAAUUCUUACAUUGAUUAUUGGUUUGCUUCAUUGUUGAUGUUCAUCCAUCUAUACAUCCAUUGAUACAUAUUUCAUCCAUCCAUCUAUCCAUGCACAUUUCAUCCAUCCAUCCAUUUGAAACACUUUGGGACCUUACUUUAGUAGAUUGAGGAAAUGUGUGUUUCCUUUUGUCCCUCUUACCUUGUUAAAAAUAAGAUUUCCUCUCACAUUAUAUCCUUUACUCACUGUGUUCUGCACUACUAGGCUGUUGUUUCUCUUGCCAGUGAUGAAAAUCAUACAUCAGUUCAGGAACACGUGCACAAACACUCUCACACAAAGACAUACAUUCUUCAGAGGCCCAAACCAUCUGUUAUUGUUCCUGAACACCUGUGUUGGUGACCACCUGUGUUGAAAACAUCCUUGUUGGACUAGUUUCAUAUUAAGUCUGUAAUUGGCUGUGCCCUUUGUAAAAUCUGGUGCAAUUUGGAUCUCUUCCCUUCACAUCUGGGAGGUGCUUAAUGAGUUUCUGACUCGAAACAACAGCAGGCUCUGUUAUUAUGAGCUUUGUCUUAAUAUCCUCUGAAAACCCACAUUUUUGACUUUGCAGCUUUGGUGCAUUUAGCCAAGGUGACAGGUUUGUAAGAAUUGUACUAUAAAUAAUCCAUGAUCAAGUGGAGUAAAUUAAGAAAUGGUAACUCACAGUCAGAUUCCUGCAAUAGCAGAUAUUUUGAGUGUGGAGUGCUUCUACUGGUAUCCUAUUAAUACAGGUGCAAUUAUAAAUCAGGCUAUUGCAUAAAAUAUUUUUGGUUAAGGCCUAAAAAUCUUUUUUUUUUUUCAAUAAAAGCUACAAUAUGUAGGUUAUAUGACCUGAUGAAGGUUGCCAGAGUUUAAGAUCAAAACUGUGGCGGCUGGGCAGUAGUGAGUGUAGGGCCCCAUCCCUACAUGUACAAUAGAAACUAUUAUUAAAUGAUAUAUUUUAGAAUUAAUUCAGAUUGAAGUUAGGAUUAAAAAUGUGGUUAAUAUUUCAACCAACUGAGUACAAUUGAUAAGCUGCAGUUGAAAUAUAGAUUCGAUUUCUGCGUGUCUAAAUUUACUGAUCAGUCACAUGUUUACGGCCCAGGGCAAUCUUUGAUGAUUGCACCCUAGACCAAAAGAAUGUGACUGAGUAGUUGUUCUGUGACUGCAACCUCACAACUGCACUGUACUGUACUGUAUAAUCUGCAGGCUGAAUCUAUUUGUGUAAGACCUCAGUAUUACACCGAAGCAGUAAAUUACACAAGCACUCCACAUACUGUUAAAGACAAACAACAUACAUCAGUUUAUGAUUUCGCUGCUUCAUUGAACAAAUGAACAAAACACCAGACCAGGGGCAAGGUGGGUUAUGGAAGAAAUGUAGGCUUCUGAAGCAAAAAGUAAAGCCUAAGUUACAUUUUCAAGAGACUGAAUUUCCUUUAGAAUGCAGUUGCUCAGUAAUUCAGUCACCUUUGAAAGGAGGCUGGAGUCACUGAGAGUCAAGUUGCUGAAAAUAAUGUUCUUUGAGAGAAGGUCUUUAGGCUGAGAGUUAAAUGGUUUGGACCUGGUAUGCUGUAUGUUAAAAUCAAACUUUUUAAAAACUUUAGAUACUUCCAAGAAUAAGCUUUGAAAAAGAGGGUCUAUGUGGAAAUGUCAACUCAACUUAGCAAAUGCAUGUGAAUGCCUUAAAUUCAAAUGAUCUAGUACAUAGCUUCAAUAUCUGUUGUUGCACCUUGUACAUGAUAUGUCUCUUUAGAAUUGUGUUUUAGCCAAACCUGGAGAAAACCUGGAUUAAAAUAUUACUCAACAAUAUUUUUUAUAUCAUUCUACCACUUGACUAAUAAUGGAAUAUACUGGAGUUUCACGACUUUGUUGACUGUGUGUAUUUAAAACAGGAUAAAUACUUACAGCACUCAGUUUUUUGACUGGGCCUCUCAAGAACACAAUGAGUUGGUAUUUUGGAAAAAUCACAACUUAAAACAGAAACACUAAAAGGGGAAACAACAAAAAAUAAUACUCUGGAGUCUUUAGCCCAGUCAGGAUUAAGGUUAAAUGAAUUUAAUUUCAUUUUGGAUGAUGUUUAUGGGUAUUUUAGUAUUUAGAGCUCUGGUUCAUGCCAAACUACUGAAAAAUGCACUGGAUUUCCCAGCCACAGAGUUCAAAUAAUUAAUCCCAUGGGUUUAAAAUAGACCUGAACUGGGUUCUACUCUAAGGAACAAUGAGUUCACUGGUUUCAGGCAUAAAAAGUCUAUAUAAAAAUGAUCAAUCUUGCUGCUGAUGAACUUGUUUGCUUUAGAAUACCAUGGAAAUGCAUCAAUAUGAGUUUCAGUUUAGUUCAUAAAUGCCAAAAAAUACCUCAUGGGAGCUUCAAUAUUUUUAGCACGGAUGAAAAUAUAUAGACUCAUUAUUAUUUCUACUGUCAGUCAUAGAUGAAGAAAGGGCAACAUGAACUCAAACAACUGAAGACUAGCUGCAGUGAAUGUGUUGAUUACAGAAUUAUACACCUUAUUAUAGCCCACACAAACUGAAAAAGCUGAGGUUGGAGCUUUUGUAUGAAGUGUAAAACUGUAUAUAUUAAUAGUCAGUUGAGUCCACACUAUUAUUUAAGAUUACAUAUAAUAUAAAAGUGUGUGCACAUGUGUAUUCAGCCUGCAAAGGAUUUAAAUAAUAACCACAUAAAAGACAAAUGACAGAUAAUGCAAAUCAACAGCAUCAACAACACUGCCAGUGCUUGAAAGACUCGAUUAAUAUAAAAAGUGCAGAGUUUUUCCAACAGGACAGAAAUCUGAAGGGAAAAAAAUCUGGGUAAUCCAAAGGCAAAAGAAAUAAUCUCAUUUUUUAGUUGAUAUCAUUGUUUGCUAAAAGAAAAAAAAAAAAAGGAAAAGUAUUGGAUGACUUUCAGUGCCUGAUCGCAUGCAUAUCAACAGGAAAAGCUCACUUGUUGUAUAGAAAAUGACUGAAUAAAAAUCGAUGCCUGCACUAAUCUCUUGUACAUUCAGGUUGUAAUCCUGCCUCUUCCACUGGUGCACUCCACAUACCAUGUUGUCAUGAACUGACCGAGCAUCCACUGUAAAUCCCUGCAGUGAAUUCCGGUCUAAUUCAUAUUGGAUAUGGAUACCCAAGAGUCCCGGUGGGUGUUGCAGUUGACAAUGCAGGACUGGUGUUUGGCACCCGCUUGUCCUGGAGAUGUUAGUGCUUGUCAUCCCGAGGAUUAGAGGAUGAAUAGAAUGAUGAAGGAUACAUGCCGUUUCCCAGAUUAGGACUGACCUGCUUUAAAACAUAAUGGUGAUUUCUUCUCAUCCGAUUAAAGCCACCGACUGACCCACAUUAUUCAGCUUUCUCUGCAUUGGAUUUCUGAAAUAUCCGCAACAGUGGCAUGAGGAAUAAUUCGAUUUCCAUGUAACGAAGAAGCCUUUAUUUUGGUUGAUUUAAAUCAGGAGCUGAACCUGAAGCAGUGUAUCGUGAGCUUGUACUCUUGCAGUCAGUGUUUGUUCUGCACAUGUUGAUCUGUGAACUGUGUUUCACUGCCCGUCUGUCACAGGAGGCAGCUGAAGCACACAAAUCAAAUCCUGUGGCUGACUCAGUAAUGUUUGGCUCUCUAUAAUCUACCUCUCUCUUCAAAAUUAACUAUUUUUUCUGUCUGUGCCUUUCCUUUUCAUAUCAUACUUCAAUUUCCACAAUGUGCCUGACAGAGCAGACAAACAUAGCACUGCCAACAGAUGUUCUGCAAUUAUUAUUUAGAAAAAGCAUCAACCCCUUGCUGUGUUGAGGAUUUUUUAAACUGAAAACUAAAUGAAACAAUCAAUAAUAUUUACGCCUUACCCCAAUUUCCAUCGCAUUUGGAACGGCCACGAAAAGGCCAUAUCCACCUAUCGUAGCUGAUCGUCACCAGUCACGUUUAAGUGUCAAUUUCCACCAGCUUCUUUACAUUCCGCUGCAGAUUGCCGAACUCUGCAAAUGGGCGAGGAUGAACAAGCGAAAGGUUUAUAGACAGCAUUUCAUUCUGAUGACUUCAUGGAUGAGGAGAUGCUGAUUUUAUAAGUCUAGAUUUCCUCCUCUGGAAGGACACAAUCUACUGCUUAUAUGGUUAGCCUACGUGGCUAAAGACAACUUCUUAUCACACAAUUGCACGUAAAUCUGCAGGUUCUUGUGAGUCCUCGCAAUUCCUGUUGUCCAUAAUCCGCCACGAAAUUCGCCUCACAAACGGAUCCAGUAGGAAUUGGCGUACGGCGAAAAUUGCCGCCGUUCCGGAUGCAGUGGAAGUCCCGGGUUACAAUUCUGCUGUUGAAUUUUGUGGCCAAGCACAUCAAGAGUGUAGAGUACUCUAAUAGUGCAAUACCUAUGAAUACCUAUGGCUGUGUUUGUGUUGCAAAAAAAAAAAACAAAAAAAACAUUGACACACUCACACAUCUCUAGUCAUGCAGCAGUACGCAGCACAUCCAAACUUUGAAGCAAGUCCCAUUAGGCAAAAAUGGUAAUCCAGUGUUGAAUCUGUGUUGAAGUUGGCAAAAACUUAAAGAAGCUUAAAAGAAGCUGACUAAGGCCAGGCAUACACUGUGAUAUGUGUCCUGCAGGGCUACAAGAUGAGUCCCCAACUUCAGUGCUUUUAACCUGAUAGUGCCUGUGUGAAAAUGGUGGAAAAGAACCAUGGCAACACACUGCAGAUUGUGGACAACAGAAUUAUCUUCCGAUCAGCCACCGGCAAUAUUCCAGCACCAUCCUAAUUCGAUACACAUAGAGUGGGCACUCAAGGUUGUGCCUCACUGUGGGAUUGUACAGUGUAAGCGCAUGAAUUUUGAGCUUUGGCCAUGUGUCACAAAUGAUUCAGUCAUUCAAAGUGAAUUCACUUUCCACCAGUACAUUUAUAAAAUCAAACACAGUAUGCAUGGCUUAACUUAACAAGGUUACUUUAUGAUAUAUUCAAGGUCAGGCUGUGACUAUUCAGGUAAAUGGGAAAUGAUCACAAAAUACCAGAAUACUUACCCUGUUCGAAAUGUUUCAUCAUAUUGUCGUCUUAAGGGAAGAGUAAUGGAGGUGGAACCAAUUAAGACCGAGCUCAUUAAGGAGACUUGAUAGUGGUUACAAUAUACAGCCGAUGUCCACGGUCCUCUGGAAACGGUAACCAGCAUUAUUUAGUAGGUUGUUUUUGGCUUGGCUUGAGAUAUUUUGGAAAAAUGUGAGGUCACUUACCUUUUGAAUCAAGCAUUAUUUGAAUAAGUUAAUACUGAUAAAUGGGAGCAGACUGUCAGACCCAAGUGCUCAGUGGAUUGAUGGUUUACCGACGAUCCUCUCCUCUUAGAGUAAUUGUGUUUAAAGUUGUAUUUUUGUUGAUGGACUGUGAAGAUAGUUUACAGUAGAUUUUUACUUUUAAAAUUUUAGUUUUACUUCUUCUAUUUUGGUACCCAACAACACACCAUGAUGCUAUUCCAAGAUGGCACCUAUUGUCUUGUUGGGGCGUUUGUGUUUGCCACCAGCUGCAACCUUAAUGUAAUCCUGACUUUAGCCCUAAAACGGUCCAUUACCACUGCAUGGACUUACACUCUGUUUUAAUUUAACCCAGCCUGUAAGACAGCAUAGGAUACCAAUGACCUAUAAAUUUAUAUCUACAUGACUAAUUUUUGUAGCAAACAAUCUGGUCCAUAAUAUUUGCUAAUGAUAUUUCAUAGGGAGCUUCACCACCCUUGAAGAGCGGAUUAUAACUAUGUAAGAGAGUGCCGUUUUUUUUUAUGGUCUUUGAACAAGAAUAGCAGUAUAAGUUGUUUAAUGAUAUUCUAAAACUAGUCGGCAAUUUGUGUCCCUACAUUUGUGUGUUCGUAUUUGUUGUAGGCCAUCAAAGACAAGGGUACAAAACAGAGCAGGCACAGGGCGCCAAGAGUUAAUCUAAAAGUGCUGAGCAGACACUGAGUGCAUCCACUGUAACUUUAUGGUUGGAGCUCUGAUCACUGAGCCACCUCAUCUAUUUUGGUAUAUCUCAUUAUGGUAAAUGGUGGGAGAAGCAGAAAAGGGAAAGUGUGUAAAACCCCUUUCACAAUGGAUUACCUUCUCUUUGAGAAAAUGAGGUAAUUAAAUGUUUACAGCAGAACAGCCUCUGGUCUGUUGUUACCUGGUGAAAAUAAAGAAAUUCAGACCUCCACUGAGAUACUGUUUCAAUUUCCUUUAACUUUUGUUCAACUACUCCAACCUUACACAAAAACAGAAAGGAGUCAGUCCAAAUCUUAAUUUUCAACUUAAUACUGAUAUAUGUUAAUUCUGAAAUAUAUAUGAAUGCAAGCUUAAAACAAUACCAUAUACUUUAUUGAUCAGGAGACCCAUUUGUUACAUGCAUAGAAAAAGUUUUACCUCUCAGGUUUCUACUUCUACUUAUAUCACUAUUUCCAUUUCACUUCUACUACACUCAACACUAUGUCAACAAUUUGAGUUCAAGAUGUCACGAUUGCUAAUAGUUCCUAAUGAGUUAGUCCAGUAAAUGACUUAACAACCAUGAAUAUUGGAUUAGACAGAAAUAGUUCACCCUAAGGUGGUACUACGGAAAGCUGAUUUUUCUUAUUACUUCAGCUAACAUGUGUCACAACAGUGUCUUUGUCGAGCACUUUUCCUUGCUGAAAGAACAAUCUAUUAAGUUACAGCAGGUAGAAUAACUUCAUGAUUGUUACAAACUUUGAUUAUUGCUUAUUACUGAUAAAACUAAACGGAAAUAUUUCAUAAUCAGACAACAUAAGCUCGGAUUUGACAAGCCAAUCACAGUGACUUUGUAGAAAAUGUUUGCUUCCAUGUGGCCUGUGUCAGCAGCCCCUUACUUUCUAAUUCACACUUUCCUCUGUGAUGCUCGGAGCAUGGUGGCAACACUACACAUGGUGUUACGUUUUAUUUUAACAUGUGCAGGGUUUCUGUUUUCAAAGUGUGAUAAAACAUUUGGAAAAGAAAUUUUGCAGUAACAGUUGGCAUGUUUGUUUGGAGGAAUUUUUCCUCUUUUUGUUGGGAUAUUCAUGUAGCUUCCUGCCCCUGAAGAAGAUCUGGUUCGUGUCAAUUUUGGCACCCAGUGGACAAAAAUGUCCUUGCUUAUCUUGACCUGUGUAUACUAAAGUAGUGUGUUGUGACAAAAAUCACACCCUGCUGACUUUUGACUGUUUCUUCAGCUUCUUGACGAACACUUACUUUCAUAAUAAAUUUUAUUUAAAAUACGCACAAGUUUCAGGUAUUAAAAAAUGCAUCACAAAACUUGUAUACCUUGCCAAUGAUUGUCUUGUUUGCUUUAAUAUAAGCUUUAAGACACAUGACUAAAUUAGUUAUAACAUUAUGAGUUAAGAUUGUUAUUAAAAAACUGACAUUCUGAUAGUUUCAGUCUGCUCCCACACAACAUCCCAUGGAGAAUUUCUCAGAUUCAGAACACUUUCAUUUUGGGACCCACGGUGUGAGGAAACCAGCAUUAUUGGUUCUCAUACAUGAGCAGCUUAUUUAAAUAUGACUGCAUAUAUCAGGCUUGAUGUAUGAAGUAAUCAGCCAUCAGUUUAAAGCAUGAACAAAUGUUGGUUAUUUCCCUCUGGGGUUCCUGGUGAGACCCCAGCUGAGUGCUGCUAUGUUGAAGUUUUCCCAGGAGAAAAGAAGCAUUCAUGCACCAGAGAAGCUUUCGACUGUACUCUGUGUCUAUGUGUCAAGCAGAGUCACUAAAGGAGGUCCUGGAGGGGGCAGAGUUUGGGGACUGUGGAGCUGGGAUUUGGGACUUUAGUAUUAAAGGACAAAUCUAAAGGGGGUUGACUGAGGAGAAAAAUAGCUGGCCUGAUUAAAGGCAGCAUGGUGUGUUGUAUGAACUUAUAUCAGGGCGUCAGUCAUUGUGUUAUCAAUUUUUUGGUUGUGCUGUCAUGCAGCUGUCUGUCUUUGUCACUUUAAUAAACAGGGGAGAAGAGCGAUUACUUUCACAGAUGUCCUUAUACUGUUUUGUCCUUCCCAAAACCAAUUCUGAUACCUUGACUAAGUAUUUUCCAAGAUUGAUAUGUCCUCUAAUAUCAGCUUGUUGAGGCAACAUAAAUGAAUUUAUUAGAAAAUUCCUGCUGCUGUUUGCUCACUAGCAUUGACACUGCUGAUUUGCAUAACAACAAAAAUUCUCAUUGUUCUUGCCUCCUCUGCCAUCACUGCUCCACUUGGGUGGCAAGCCAUCAGGCAAAGCAACAGAUUUGUCGUUGUUCAUGAGUUUGACAGCUGCUUUGUACAACAUCAACAAACCUGACUGAUAUGAUAUAUGCUUUACCUUUUAUUUUUCCAUCUAUGUUGAAGGUUGAGUGUCCACCUCAGUUCUGCUUUGCUUGACCAUUUUCUUUAUUUUUGUAGAACAGCAUUAAUAUGCUAGUUCACUAGAUCAAAAGUGCAGAGAUUGGCAGUCUCUGCUGGAUAAUAAGACAAGCCACUUAAGGUGACCCCAUGGACUGGUUUACUGUAUUAUGAGUUCCAACGGCUCAUUGCAGUAUAACUGUUAACCUUUUCUCCACAGUUCAAGUGAGGUGUUGAAUAACGGAUAAAAAGUGACAGCCAUAUCACAGACCAGUCACAUUGGCAAACACACGUUUUUAAAGACAUAUUUAUUAAGCACUUAUUUUCCUUCUUUAUUUAUUUGCAACCACAGCUGGGCUAUCAUGAUUAUACUGUCUGUAGCAACUUGAAUAGCAUGCUACUUAGAGGACGACCAGGUUAUUAACAAGGUUGUUUUAUUAAGCGCCUGGUUUUGAACAACAAAAUGCACUCAAAUGAUCACUCAAUUAGGGACAAAAUUAGCAAUCACAAUUAUAUUUUUCUAGGUCCAUAUCUGAAGAAAGUUUCAGUUUUCUGUGUGUCUGGCCAAUCUCGUGAAGUGUCCUCUCUUAAACAGAAGAGCUCUCAGGGCUUGUAUGUUGAGCGAAAUCGACAGUUACUACAAAGCCAAUGUACAUAGCGUUUGUAUGUAAAGAAGGCAUAUAUUGUAUCAGCCUUAAAGGGAUAUUCCAGGGUAAAGUUAAUUUAGGGUAAAACACACCGUAACACUGAGUUAGACACCCCCUCAAGAGAUGAAUGUUGCCGACUGCUUGCUUCUCUAGUUGUACCAACUUUAGUAACGACCGCACGAUAGCAAUACACAGUGGUCCCAGGAGCCACGUGCUCAACCAAAACGCCACUCUAUAGCCACAAAUAAUGCUCAGAACAGAAGAACAUUUAUGUUCAUUUCUCUAUGGAAAUGCAAUCAGACCAAGACGCUAAGGCAGAAGAACUACCGCGUCUGCAGUGCAAAACGAUUAAUAUGAUAACUUCAAGGACAUGAUAAAGUAAUGAUCAUAAAUGUUCUUCCUUGAGAUGCGUCACCCCGCUGCAGUCAGUGAUGGACUUGUCCAAGGUCUCCGUACAACAGCCGGCUAACUUAAUUUUACGUCGGAAUAUCCCUUUAAGGUGCACUAUUUUUUCAACCUCGCACCAGGUAACAGUGAGUAGACAGCCGACUUAGUGCAGUGUAUGUGCCUGUUUUAAAAUUGAGACGUCACUUCGUCCUCCAGACAGGCAUUUCCAGGAGCAGAUUUUGAAAGUUUCUAAGAGAAAGUUAAUGCUGAUACCUUCUAAGGAUGAAUGUUUGAAUGUAUGUCAAGUACGCUGCAGACACUCCAGUAAGAUGCUGAAGGUACUGUUUCUCCAGGGUAUUGGUAGAAAUCCAACUACACACUCUCACUCACUCACACACCUUAGGAAUCCUUUAAUCCUGUGAUAUGGAAGAGAGGAUUUAAGCAACAAGAGUUCCUAAAAAUAACACCAAAGUGCCAAUAUAGGGCACUGAUGAUACACCGUUGGUGCACAGUCGUCGGAGGUGACAGGAAUCAUCUUUGAGUAAGUUCUGCAAGUCUUGUGUCAGCUCCACUGCUGCAUAUCUACCUUAAAAAAACAUUAAUGUCACACCAGUUGGAGACAAAUUAUGCUAUUAACAAAUUCAGUCUGGCAUAUCUCCCCGGCCUGGUGAAAAAUGGUCAAGGGAUAAUUGUUCUCCAUUACAUGUACACUGGUUUUAGAGGACAGCAAGGGUGGACUGUUUUUCAAAUGGGUAAUUGGAGUCUCCUCUUUUACUUUUCAGGGUUCACUGCGAGUCACCUGCAUGGGCGAACAGCUGAUAAGCGACUCAAAUACCAUCUUUGUCCGGGUGUGUGGUAAUUGAGCUGCCAGCAGACAUCCAGCCCACUGCUGCUCAGAUGUAUGACAGUCCGGCUCCGUAUCAUGCCCCCGGGUCUCAGAUAGGGAGGUCGUGUCAUGCCAAUCAAAGGGAGACAACUCAAAAUCCUCCAG